GGACCUGUAAGCCUUCGCAGCUACUCUCGGUCUGCAUCCAAUGGGCACAGCCGGCGUUACAGUGAUCCAGCCGAGAAUGGUGAUGUGAGAUCUGGUUCAAACUCGGGCAGUCGUCGUACUCCUAAUCGGGUGCCGCCGCCUCCGCCACCAACACAGUCAGGCUCCAAGUACUUUUAGGUGGCUUACAGAUUUUGGUUGACAAUUCAUAUUUUCUCUGCAUAUUUUUAGUGAGUGAAGGCCUGCUUAACCACUCAUGAUUCCAGUAGUUGGUUAAUCACUUCUUUAGAAUCUUCAAAAGAGGGUGCUUUGUGUAAAUAGGACUCUAUAGUUCCUGAGCUGAAAGUCAGGAUUUUACGGCUUGCCCCUUGUCAGAACUAUGAAUUCAAAGUGUAUUUGAAUUCCAUUUAUCAUAUUCUUCUAUUCAUUAUUUUGUUUUUGUUUUUGCUUUUGCUUUUGGCUCCUCCCCUCAUUUUUGGACGAUGGUAUAGUUGUAUUUGUUUGUGUCAGUUCUGGAUAUAUGCUUUCGGACUUUUGGCUUUGUAUCAUUUGGAAAAUUCUUGUAAGGGGAGAGAUAUAAAAAUAUUUCAUAUAUCUACUUCUCUAUUAAAGAUGCAACUUUUUGUUGUAUUUCUGAGUUGGGAUGUUGCUCGGCGAUUAGUUUUUUUGUUUUUUUUUUGACAGUAAUUGGUCUCAUUAUAAUAUAACUAACUCUUUUGAUUGUUACUGAUUUAGUGAAUCAAGGUGGCCAUCAUACGGGGCAUAUUUAAUAUGUUUUCCCUCUACGUUAUUUGUUUAAUUUUUAUUUUAUUUUUAUCAACUAAUUUUUAUGCACCUCAGUUAGUCUGUAACUGUACGAGUAUAAUGGUUUAUUUAUGUUUUUUUUUUUAAUAUUUUGAAGUAAUCUAUCUCUUAUCAAACUGCAACAAGUUAAUAGAUUAUUUUCGUUAGAGCCCGCGGACAGACGCAAAAGCCUAUACACUAGACAGUCAUUGCCGAUAGUUAUGGUGCGAACAAUUUGAGAAUGACUGUAGCUCUUAGUUUUUCUCUCUUAAUUUGCAAUGAUAGUUACAAGUAAAUUUGAGAUUUCUUCUUAUAAAAUGAUUUGUGAAAUUAAUGCGUUCACUUAAAUAUUAAUCUGGUAUAUUCUUUUAAUAUAAUUUUUUUUAAUUUAAACAUCCAAAUUGAUUAUAGAAUAAAUGUAGUAGACUCCAAUUAAUUUUGUAUUAUAUAUAUUAAUAUUUUUGUAACGUAAUUUCGUGACUUGUAUAUGAACAUUUUCCUUGUACAAUUUCUUUUAAUAAUUGCAAUAUAGUAUUGACUCAAUCCUAUUAGGGAUUUAUUUAUUUAUUUUUCUUUUUUUUUCUUUUUAAAUCUCGGCAAAGCUUAAAGAGGAGAGCCAAGAGAGCAAAUUUGUUAAACAAACAAAUUAGAAAAACGAAAGGCAUUAAGGUAAUAGCUGAAAAUCAUAAACAAUUGUACUUCCUACAUUGCGGCGUGGAAAUAUACGAAUAAAUUAUGAAGCAAAAAUUUUCAGACAUACUGAAGUUAAAAUUUUUAGACACAUUGAGUUCAGACCGUUAAAUAAAAUAAAUUAAUUUGAUUCCUUUUACUAUAACCUUUUUUUUCGCAAAAUUUGUUAAGGAAUAUGCACUAACAAAUGUAGCCAUAUCUAUGAUGGUACCUGAAACUUUUUCUCUAAUCUCUCCUAUUUUGUUCUUCAAUUAUUGCCGCUUUAUAAAUAUUUGUUUACGAUGAUCGAAAGAAAAAGUUUAGGUACUACAGUUACUUUUAGUCAUUAGAUAUAGUUAAUGUAAUUGUAUAACUGUGGAUUUAACGACUACAAAUAACUGUAAUACCAUACCACAGUUGCAACAUAAUUUUACCCCGUUAAUUGAGUGUGUUAAAUAGGUGUUCAGGGUAAUAAUGUUAUAUUUAUUUACAAUAAAUUAUUUUUAAUAGUAAUUAUAUUAUAGAUGUUUUUAUAAUAAUUUUUUAAUUAAAAUAUAAGUAUUUUUAAUAAUUUUUCAAUUAAGUCAAUCAGUCAAAGAUCCAGUGGUUAGAGCAGCAACUGUUAAAGAGAACCGAUGUGUUCUGCAUAGUCGCGAUCAUUUUGAUUCAGUAAUUGUUUUCAUCUCAUCAAAUAUCUUUCUAGUCAAUUGAAUUUUUGUUAUGGCUGCUUAUUCUUCUUCUCCUUCUUCUCCUCGAAACCGUAAGUAUGAUGUUUUUCAAAGUUUCAGAGGAGAGGACAACCGUGACAACUUUACUGGCCAUCUUUAUUCAGCCUUGUCUCAGAAAGGCAUUGAAACUUUCAUUGAUGACCAGCUUAACAGAGGAGAUGAAAUUUCACAGUCGCUUGUGGAUGCAAUUGAAGCAUCAGCUAUUUCACUCAUCAUUUUCUCUGAAGGGUAUGCCUCUUCCAGAUGGUGUCUCGAUGAACUUGUCAAAAUCCUCACACGUGAGGUGGCGAACUGGGUCUUUUGGGGAUUCAUUUUUGAAGCUUGAAGAAAUGUUCAAGGAGAAUUCAGAGAAGCUGCAGACUUGGAGGAAUGCUGAUACAACCUUCCACAUUCAGCUGGAUCAACCGGAUUAUUUACGAGAAGGGCAGCCCAUCGAUGAGUCUAAUUGUGUGCAGCCCAUGAAGGAAGCCUCAUCACAAGUUGAAGUAGACAUAGCUCGUGAGGAAGGGUAUACCGGCACAAGAGUGAGAAGAUCCCCUGGGUGGUUUAAAGAUUAUGUCGUAUAGUGAAAUUGAUAAAGCUUUAUAUUUUGCUGGUUUAUGUUGCUGUCAUAUUUUCUGUUACAAAGUUAUGCUGAGCUGUAUUCUUUUAAAAAGCCAAAAGACAGAGGAGUAUAUGUAUAGCAUAACUAAUUCGUGCAAAAGGAAUCCAGAAUGAAUCAUUUCUUUUUAACUUUUCUCUAUUCUUCUCUCACUCUCCAUCUCUCUCCCCACUCUUGCUCAUCUUUGUCAAUUUCUUUUGGAGUCAGCCCUCACUCGAAGAGUGCAAAUUUAUCGAUACAGCCUUGAUUGCAGAGAGGUGUAUCAAAUGCUUUGAAGGAAGCGGCCGGUCUGUCCGGCUUUCAUUCUCAGAACAUUAGGUAAUCAAAUUUCUUUUCUCAUACCAUUAUGGUGAUGCAACAGAAUGUUAUUUUCUGCUUGAUUAAUUACCAGCGCCCCAGCCAGUUAUAGUGAAUUUUUUUUUGUCAAGUAUGCUGAAUUAUGUACUUCAAUUUUAUUAGGCAUCCUAGUGUCUUCCGGCAAGUGAUUUGUGGAAUUGAUAUUUGACGGUUACAUUUGGUGUGCUAAAUUCUGUAUGUGUUAAACUCAUUUGAAAGAAUUUUGACAGAGUUAUUGAAAUCAGCAUUUGUGUGUUUUCAUUGGGUGUUCUUUCAUAUUUCAAGUAAUUCCAAUCUGUCACUCAUAUUCCUAUUUAAGAGUUAUUGUCAUAUUUUCGUGCAAAUCCCUCCUAUUUGAACUUAUUAUUUUACAUAUUUGCUAGGUCUGAAUCAGAACUUGUAAAGGAAGUUGUUAAUCAAAUUUUGAAGAGGCCGGCUGAAGUCUCUCCUUGUAGUAAUAAAAACCAGUUGGUUGGAGUUGAAUCAAGAGUUGAGGAAAUUGAAUCUCUACUAGGUGCUGAGUCGAAAGAUGUUUACGCUUUAGGGAUUUGGGGCACUGGUGUUAUAGACAGGACAACAAUUGCUAGAGCUAUUUUCAAUAAAAUCUCUAGUAACUUUGAAGGUUCUUGCUUCCUUCAAAAUGUUAGAGAAGAAUCACAAAGACCGGGAGGAUUAGGUUGCUUGCAACAAAAACUUCUUUCAAAAUUAUUGCAGGAUGGCAAUGUGAUUCCUGAUAUUGCCCUGAGCUUUAGACAGCUCAGCCGCAGGAAGGUUCUGAUUGUUCUUGAUGAUGUGACUUGUUUCAGACAAAUAAAAUCCUUAAUCGGAAGUCUUGAUUGGUACAUGGCAGAGAGUUGAAUCAUAAUAACAAGAAGAAAUCAACAAGUGCUUAGAAAUUGUUGUGUCAAAGAGAAAUAUGAGAUGAAGGAAUUAGGAGAUGAUCAUGCACUUGAGCUUUUUAGUCGACAUGCCUUCAAACAAAACAAUCCUCAUAUAGGUUUUGAGGAACUGUCAAGCAGGGUCACACAAUAUGCUCAAGGUGUUCCAUUAGCUAUUGAAAUUUUGGGUUGUUUUCUAUUUGAAAAAGAAAAACAAUUUUGGGAAAGUGCAAUAAACAAAUUGAAAAGAAUCCCUAAUAUGGAAAUCCAGAAGGUGCUAAAAAUAAGUUUUGAUGGUUUGGAUGAUGAAGAGAAAAAUAUUCUUCUAGACAUUGCUUGUUUCUUUAAAUGGAAAAAUAAAGACUUGGUCAUAAAAUUUCUUAAUGCUUGUGGCUUCACUGCACAAAUAGGAAUAAGUAGUCUUGUUGACAAGUCUCUUAUUUGUAUGCACGGCAACAAUAUAACAAUGCAUGAUCUUCUACAAGAAAUGGGUAGGGAAAUUGUACGGCAAGAAUCAACGAAUGAUCCAGCAAAACGUAGUCGGUUGUGGCAUCAUGAGGAUAUUAUCAAAGUCCUGACAUCUAAUACGGUAAGCAUUUUGUUAGAGAAUAUAUUAUUUUGGAAUGCUAUUUAAUAUUCAAAGUUUACUUAUAAUUGUAUAAAUAGAUGGGUUUAUAAAAUUUAUAAAAGAUUGGCAAUGAUUAAGUGGGAAAAAAAAAAGAAAAAUUGGAAAAAAGGAAACCAGUAGUACAUGAUGUAGCAAUAAUGUAUAAUUGCUAUGUCAAUUUGUAUAUAACAGUUUGCGGACAAGCAUUGAUAGUUUAUACGUUGUCUGCAUUGAUAGUUUAUAUGUUUAGUAUUACUUGUAUUAUCCUGUUUCUUUGUAAGUAGGUUUAGAUUUACCAGUUUGAUUGCCAAACAAUAACUAUCUACUUGAAUUGUAUAAAUUUGAUUUUAACAUUAUGGUCUUUUUAUUGAUUAUUAGGGGACUGAAGCAAUUGAAGGCAUUUGCUUGGAUAUGUCUAAAGUGAAAGAGAUCCAUCUAAAUCCUGAUACUUUCACAAAGAUGAGUAAAUUGAGAUUUUUGAAAUUCUAUUGCUCAAUCCAUGGAGAGAACAAAUGUAAGGCAUCUGAUUUCUAAGGUCCUGUAUUUGCUGAAGUGAGGUAUUUUCACUGGCAUGGAUAUCCAUUGAAAUCACUGCCUUCAAAUAUUCAUCCAGAGAAACUAGUUUUACUUGAAAUGCCUCAUAGCAAUAUUCAACAACUUUGGGAUGGUGUCCUGGUAUGUAUAUCUUAACAUAUGCAUGCAAUGUUUAAGUCAUAACAUUUAAUUAUCAUAGCAUGCUAAUGAUUUGUCUUGACCUCUUUUUUGUCUCAGCAGCGUUGUGGUAAGCUAAAGCAGAAAAUCAUCUCUGCCUGCAAUAUUUUUACCAAAACUCCAAACCCCUCGUUGAGUCAACCUCUGAACACGCUGGUUGUCCUGAAUCUAAGGCAUUGCAAAAGUCUGAAAAGUCUUCCAGCUGGAAUUCAUUUGGAAUUUCUUAAAGAAUUUGAUCUUUCAGGUCGUUCAAAACUGAGGCGGCUUCCAGAUAUCUCAUCAGCUGCUAAUAUAGAAGAGAUGCUUUUAAAUGGAACUGCAAUUGAAGAGCUGCCCUCAUCCAUCGAGUGUCUGUAUAAGCUUUUGCGCUUGGACCUUGAAGAUUGCAAAAGCCUUAAGAGUCUCCCAAGUGGCCUGUGUAAGUUAAAAUCAUUAAAAUAUCUUACUCUCAAUGGUUGCUCAAAUCUUCAGAGAUUGCCUGAUGAACUCGGAAAUUUAGAAGCUUUGUGGAGUUCGCAUGCUAUAAGAACUGCUAUAAGAGAAGUGCUAUCAUCUUUUUUCCGUUUGAACAACAUUGAUCUCUUAAGUUUCCAGAGAAGCAGGGGUCAUAAGCAGAUGGGUUUAUCAUUGCCUAUCAUGUUAUCUUUAGAUGGCUUGCACACUCUAACGUAUUUAAAUCUAACUAAUUGUGGCAUCACACGGUUACCUGAAAAUAUUGGCCAGUUAUCCUCGAGAGAAUUCCAGAAAGCAUCAUACAACUUUGUAAGUUGGGAAGGUUCUACUUAAGGUAUUGUGAGAGGCUUCAAUCCUUACCAAAGCUUCCAUGCAAACUACAUGAGUUGGAUGCACAUCAUUGCACGGCACUGGAAUCGUUAUCAGGUUUAUUCUCAAGUUAUGAAGCUUGUACUCAGUAUUUUGACCUGAGUUAUAAUUAUAAAUUGGAUCGAAAUGAGAUCAGAGGAAUUCUUGAAGAAGCUCUGCAAGAAAUUCAACUCUUGGCAACUGCACGAUGGAAAGAAGUAAGAGCGGAGUUAUUAAUUUCUUUUUUCUUCAAAUUAAAGUUGACAAUUAAUAUUUGAUUAAAAUUAUGAUUUUCUGUGGUACAGAUAUAUUAUUCUCAAAAAUAUGCACUGUUGGUUCGUGUCUUUUUUCCUGGGGAUGAAAUUCCGAUGAGGUUUAGCUUUCAAAGUAUGAAAUCUUCUAUAACCUUGAAGAUGCCACCAGGUUGGUUCGGUAAUAAAAAGGUACUCGGCUUUGCUUUUAGUGCUAUUGUGGCAUUUGGAGAACAUAAUGUCAGAGAAAAGAGGUGGUUCGAAUUGUUUUGUGAAUUCAAAGUCAGACCCAAAGAUUCGCAUGCCAUACAGAGAUUUAUGGGGAUGGUUGAUUAUGUAGAGUCAGAUCACUUACUUUUGGGAUACUAUUUCUUCGAUGAUCAGGAUUUGAAUGGUUUUUGGAAAUACAAUUGCAUUCUUGAGGCAGUUCAAUUCUAUUUUAAGGAGGAUUUUAUCGCUCUGAACGUUUGGAGUGUUGCCCGGUGAAAAAAUGUGGGAUCCAUUUAUUGUAUGUACCAGACUCUACAAAAUCAAUGGAAGAUCCAAGUGAAUUUUUCUACCAUAACCAUGAAGAGGAACGACACCCCAAAAGACUCAAAUAUUCUUGAAAACGUGUAUUGCAGCUGGUAUUUUUGAGAAGAGAUAUGUUAGAUUAAUUCAUCGGUACUGUUUGAUCUUAAAAUGUUGCUUUCCAAACAUUUCUUUUAUGAUUUUAUAUUUUUAUAUGAAGAUGGAAGUGACUUUUAGAUGUUUUUCAACUCUUUUAUUUUGAUAAAAGCUACAUUUCACGUCCAGUACUAUUGUUUGGUCCAAGCAGUUAUUGUUUGACUUUUGGUUGGUCUGGCUAGUGUUUAGAUCCUUGUGUAUUUGUGUUUAUUUGGUUUCUGCAUGAAAUGUAUAUUAAAUCAAAUUUACAAUGCAUGUAAGUCCGUUUAUAGUUUAGACAUAAUUUUCGGCCACUAUUACUUUAAGAUGUUCGGAUCAAUGCUUCCUUAUCAGUAGUAAAUUUUUGCUGAAUUCUUUUGGGAAAAUUUCUCUGCAACUAGCUUAUGUUGAAAUCUCUGUAGUCUUGUUUGGCUGGAAAGACAGCAUCAGGUGUUGGAGGUGAACUAGAAACGAACUUCAAAAAAGGCAACUGAGGUAGAUCAAGGGAUUGUGAACAGGGUAUGGGGUCCUUUUCCUGAUAUAAUCGGAUUACGACUUCAAAUGACAAAUGCAUUGAGUAGACACUUUUUCCUUUGAAAUGAGUAUCUAAACUAUGCUGCUCAAUGGUUCUAGUGUUAUAAAACUUUGGAAAUGAGUUACAUUUUAGCCUCUAUUCACUGAUUUUUAUACGUCUUUCCAUAUAAAUAUAUAGACAGAGGUACAUACCUAAUUCAACAUUUCUUCCUAUAUAGCUAGUAUUCAUAGAGAUGCACCGAUAUAUGGAGCAUUUUGCUGUUAGUAUUAACAACUUUUAUUUAUUCCUAUAAGUUCUUUGUAGAAACAAUCAGGUGAUGACUGGAAAUCUGCAUUUGAUGCUGCUGCUGCCAAUGGACCUGUUAAGCCAUCGCAGCUACUAUCGUUCUGCAUUCAAUGGUCAUAGCGGGGAUUACGGUGAUCUGGCCUAGAAUGGUGAAGUGAGAUCUGGUUCAAACUCCAGCAGUCAUCGUAAUCCUAAUGAGGUGCUGGCACCACCCCCACCAGCAGCAGAGUCAGGAGGCUAUAGGCACUUCCAGUUGGCUUACAGAUUUUGGUUGACAAUUCAUAUAUUCACUGCAAAUUUUUAGUGAGUGAAGCCCUGUUUAACCACUCCGUGAUUCCAGUGCUUGUUCAAAAAUCACUUUACUAGAAUCUUUAGAAGAGGGUGUUUUGUGUACAUAGACAUAGGACUCUAUACGGCUAGCUUCAUGUCAAAGCAAUGAAUUCAAAGUGUAUUCAAAAUUCAUUUACUAUAUUCUUUCUUCUUUUCAUUAUUUUGCUUUUAUUUUUGGUUCCUCCCCUCACUUUUGGACAACGAUAUAGAUGUAUUUGCUUGUAUCAGUUCUGGUUAUAUACAUACUCUUGGACUCGUGGCUCCGUUUAGAAAAAAAAAAAAAAUUCUUGUAAUGGGAGGUAUGUAUUUUAUUUCAUAUACUCACUUCUCUGCUCAAGAUUCUGCUACUAUAAUCAAAGAUGCAACUUUUUGAACUAUUAUUUAUGCCAAAAAAUUCAGUAGUUAUUAUUAUUAUUUUUUUGACAGCAUAUCUCUUCUUUGAUUGUCUCACAUAUUUAUGGAAUAUUUAAGGAAAGUAAAUAGCUUUUGUUCACAAAUUGUUUUUGUUAGAGCAAAAUAGAAUUCUGACAAAUUCGAGAAUUGACCAAGAAAGCAAAGGGUAGCGUAUGAAGUUGCGGGUUGAAAUUACGGUGCUUUUGGGCAAUUCACACCCUCUAGAACCUUUCCAGCUGUCAUUCACUUUUUCUUUCUCCACUUGAAUAACGCGGAAUAAUUUCAAAUAAAAGUGAACAAAGCUGCAUUUUAAGUAAAAUUAUUGUCCAGAGAGCCAAGGAAAUCAAAUGAGAUGAAAUUAUCAAGAAACAACCUGUUUUUACUCUGCACAGAUACUACAGUCACUAACGUUUGCUCGAGAAAAAUACGCCGACUUUUCCGGGAAAUUUUUUUAUAUAUAUAUAUGAAAUAUAUAUAUAUAUAUAUAUAUAUAUGAAAGGAGUGAAAAAAUUUUGAACUUUAGAAAUUCUUUUUUGACUUUAGAAAUAGUGUAACACUAUUCACAUCAAAGAAGGAAGAUAAUGAGGCCAAUUCCCCAUAUAUAAAGCCAACAAAAUUAAAUUGAGUGAAGCCUUGCUUAAAAAACCCAUUCCAUGAUCCCAGUCCCACCACGCACUUUGUAUAAAAUUCAAUUUAUUAGAAUAAUUGGAAUCAUUAGGAGAGGAAAUAUAUUUGUGUGCUUAGGACUACAUAUAGUUCCUGAUGAACGUUGGGAUUUUUACGCGUGCCCCUUGCCUCCAUGUCUAAACAAUGGAUUUAAUUAAAUUGCAUUUGAAAUCCACUAAGCAUAUUCUUCCUUCAUUGUUUUGUAUUUUUUUUCUCUUUUUUUUCCCCAUUUUUCAAUCCUAUCUCAUUUUUGGAUGAUAUAAUGAACAUGUUUGAUCAGUUCUGGUCGGUUAUCAUUUGGAAAUAUUACAUUUUUUUUAUCCCAAUGCGAUAUAUUUUCUUCUCCAUUGAAGAUUCUCUGGACGCUAUUAACCAAAAAAUGCAACUUUUUUUCUGUUUAUAAAUUGCUUCUGUACCCAAAGUUGCAAGUACUUACCAAUAAUUUGAUAAACUUCAAUAAUAAAUAGGAUUUAAAAAAUGAACUUGAAACAUCUAUGUAAAAUAUUGGAAUUCAAUGAAAAGAGUAGGAAUAUAAAACCAAAAAGUUGUGGAAAAAAGAGUUGAAGAGCUAACCUAAAACUCGGAAAGAACUACCGAAAAUCUGAUAAAUCCAAUAAGAAGUAGGGAUCAAAAAAUAAACUCGAAACAUUCACAAAAAAUAUUGGAAUUAAGUUAAAAGAGUAGAAAUAUAGAACAAAAAAAUGGUGGAAACAAGAGUUGAAGAGUAACACAGGAGUGUUUGAAAUAUUUGGUAAUCAAGUUAAGUCAAGUGCAGCUCAAGUUCUUACAUUAAUCAAGUGAGCAGAAUUUCUGUGCAGAAGGGGCAUCUUUGGGAAUUAAACUGUACUGCAUGAGAUCGAAUUAAUUUUCGAACCAUACAUCAUUGGAAAGAUAUUUCUGUUAGCUUUCCAAUGAAUUUUACUAAUCUAAAUUUGGAGUUUUCUACAGUAAGUUAUGAUCAGUUAAGUGCAGACUGUUCAGUUUUUGAGUCAAGAAGGAUAUUUCGGGACUUGGAUUUUUUUUAAUGUUCUUUGUUGUGUUUUAAGCAUACCAAUGUUUUAUUAAUGUCUAGCUUUAAUGUUGGUCUUUAAAGUCAAGUUAUUUGAAGGGUUUCUUUGUAGUAAAUCUAUGCUUGGAGGAUUGUUCCAAGAAAGCUAUUUAAGCUUAUGUAGUUGUAACCAAAGGACAGAGAUUAAUUUUGGGAAUUGGAUGAACUUUGAGUUAUUAUCAAACUCUGUAUCUCUUUGGUGGAUUCCAUUGAGUGGUGAGUAUUUUUAAGCCCUGUAUCCUUAGCUUAACAACUUUAGGUGGUGAAUUUUUCUGUAUCCUUUUGUUGUUUGCUGUGGUGGUGAGCUUGUGAAUUCUUGGGUGUGUGACGUUGUGUUUUCUCAUCUAUUGUGUCCGGUGUCAAAUUGGUAUCAGAGAAUUGGGUUCUGAAAAUUUAUGGCUCAACGACGUCGGCGUAAUGCAAGAGUUGCAGAGCCUCUUGUUCGUGAGAGGGACUUGGGUGAUAUAGAAAGGGAUGAUCUUAGAAGACAAGUAGAACAGCUUCAGCAACGAUUACAACACCUUGAAGGAACUCGAGAAGCUGCUCCUAAUGGUAGUUCGGAAGAAGAAGGCUCAAUCAAUGACGGGGUAGAUUAUAAUCCCUUCCAUCAGGAACAAAGCUCCAAUAGUGAAUUUUCUUCUCGUUCUCGAAUUCAUAGGCGUCGUAAAUCUUAUCAGCCUUUCGACUUCAAGAUCGAAAUUCCUGAAUUUGAAGGAAGAAUGCAACCAGAAGAGUUUGUUGAUUGGCUUAAUACUGUUGAACUCAUUUUUGAAUACAGAGAUGUGCCUGAAGAUCGCAAAGUGAAACUCAUUGCCAUUAAACUUAAAAAGUAUGCUUCUUUAUGGUGGGAAAAUCUUAAGAGGCAAAGGAAACGAGAGGGACGGAGGAAAAUUGUUACUUGGGAGAAAAUGAAAAAAGAGCUUAAGAGAAAGUUUUUGCCCGAUAACUACAGGCAAGAUAUCUACCUUAAAUUCCACAACUUCAGGCAAAAGGAAUUGUCAGUGGAAGACUAUACAGCAGAGUUCGACAAUCUAAUGAUGAAGUGUGAUUUGGUAGAGGCGGAAGAGCAUACGAUCGCACGCUAUCUGGGUGGUUUAAAACCUGAGAUUGGUAAUGUGGUCCAGCUCCAACCAUAUUGGACUUAUAGUGAUGUAUGCAGACUUGCUCUUAAGGUGGAAAAGCAACAAAAAGAUGCUUGUGGUGGGGGUAUUCGGUUCACAGUUCAUGAUGUCAAUCGAGGGAGUGACUCCGUUUCUAAGCAUAAUUCUGGUUCGAAUUCUACUGCAAAGAAAAUUACGAGGAUUGAUAUUGGGGAAGGAUCUAAACAGCGAGCAAGUGGUUCGAAUGCUAGUUCUCGUCAAUGUUUUAAAUGCCAUGGUUAUGGGCACAUUGCUUCUGAGUGUCCUAAUCGUAGGGUGGUUGCCCUUGUUGAAGAGGAAAGCGAUGACGAGGAUGCGGAAGAUCAUGAGAAUCCUAGUGUCGAAAAGGAUGUUGAAGAUGAAGAAGUUACAUUUGCUGAUGAUGGAAACUCUCUAGUUAUUCAAAAGAGUUUGAGUAUUGUUUGUGAAGAUGGGGAAGAUUGGCUGAGAAAGAAUAUCUUUCAUACCAGAUGCACUUGUCAUGGAAAGAUAUGUAAUGUCAUUAUUGAUAGUGGCAGUUUUGAGAAUGUGGUAGCAACUGAAAUGGUGAAGAAGUUGAAGCUCAAAACGGAGCAGCAUCCUCAGCCUUAUAAACUUUCUUGGCUUAAAAAGGGAAAUGAGAUUGAGGUAAACACACAUUGCCUUAUUUCAUUUUCUAUUGGGAAUAAAUAUAAAGAUGAAGUUUGGUGCGAUGUUGUCCCUAUGGAUACAUGUCAUUUGCUUUUGGGUCGUCCUUGGCAGUACGAUAGAAUGGUUGUUCAUGAUGGUUAUAGGAAUACUUAUACUUUCAUUAAAGAUGGAGGUAAAGUCAUUUUGGGUCCUUCAAAGGUAGAGAAAAGUUCUAAACCUAUCAAAGGAGUGGAAAGCAAUUUGCUGACUGUUUCAGAUUGUAAAAAAAAAUUGGAAAUGGGUAGUGAAGUUUACGUGCUGCUGGUGUUUGAGGAAAAUGAAGAUAGCAAUGAGCCGCCUUUGAUUAUGAAGUAUUUUCUUGAAGAAUUCUCAGAUGUUGUUCCAGAAAAAUUACCACAUGGCCUUCCUCCUAUGAGGGACAUUCAACAUUGCAUUGAUCUUAUUCCGGGUUAUGUACUACCAAAUAAAGCGGCUUAUCGAAUGAAUCCAAAGGAGCACGAAGAAUUACAGAGGCAAGUUGAAGAGCUAUACAAGGAUGAUUCUUUCUUUGGCAGGAUUUGGAGAGAAUGUGAGAAUGGAUCAUAUGACCAGUACCAAUUGCAUGAUGACUUUCUUUUCAAAGGGAAUCGUUUAUGUAUUCCUCAGUAUUCUUUGCUGGAAUCUAUUAUCAUGGAGGCACAUGGCAGUGCUGUUGGAGGUCACUUUGGAAGGGAUAAGACGUUAGCUUGCUUGCAAGGUAAUUUCUAUUGGCCAAAGAUGGAUAAAGAUGUUGUGCAUCAUAUGCAGAGGUGUAAAAUAUGUCAUAUUGCCAAAGCUCAUGGUCAAAACACAGGCCUAUACAAUCCUUUACCAGUCCCUGAAGCUCCUUGGGAAGAUGUUAGUCUAGACUUUGUUGUUGGGUUGCCAAGAACUCAAAGAAACAAAGACUCUGUCAUGGUGGUGGUUGAUCGAUUCUCAAAAAUGGCUCAUUUUGUUCCGUGUAACAAGACAUUGGAUGCCUCUCAUGUGGCUGAUUUGUACUUCAAGGAGAUUUGGUUUGGGUUCAUCUUAGGAAAGAUCGUUUUCCACCUGGGAAAUUUGCUAAACUUAGACCAAGGGCUGAUGGACCAUUUACAGUGUUGCAACGCAUUGGUGAUAAUGCUUACAAGAUUGAGCUACCAGAUGGCUAUGGUGUUUCGUCAACAUUCAACAUAUCAGACUUGUCUCCUUAUCAUGAAGAAAAUGAUCAAAACUCGAGGUCGAAUUUUUUUUUUCAACUAGGGGAGAUUAACACAGGAGUGUUUGAAAUAUUUGGUAAUCAAGUUAAGUCAAGUGCAGCUCAAGUUCUUACAUUAAUCAAGUGAGCAGAAUUUCUGUGCAGAAGGGGCAUCUUUGGGAAUUAAACUGUACUGCAUGAGAUCGAAUUAAUUUUCGAACCAUACAUCAUUGGAAAGAUAUUUCUGUUAGCUUUCCAAUGAAUUUUACUAAUCUAAAUUUGGAGUUUUCUACAGUAAGUUAUGAUCAGUUAAGUGCAGACUGUUCAGUUUUUGAGUCAAGAAGGAUAUUUCGGGACUUGGAUUUUUUUUAAUGUUCUUUGUUGUGUUUUAAGCAUACCAAUGUUUUAUUAAUGUCUAGCUUUAAUGUUGGUCUUUAAAGUCAAGUUAUUUGAAGGGUUUCUUUGUAGUAAAUCUAUGCUUGGAGGAUUGUUCCAAGAAAGCUAUUUAAGCUUAUGUAGUUGUAACCAAAGGACAGAGAUUAAUUUUGGGAAUUGGAUGAACUUUGAGUUAUUAUCAAACUCUGUAUCUCUUUGGUGGAUUCCAUUGAGUGGUGAGUAUUUUUAAGCCCUGUAUCCUUAGCUUAACAACUUUAGGUGGUGAAUUUUUCUGUAUCCUUUUGUUGUUUGCUGUGGUGGUGAGCUUGUGAAUUCUUGGGUGUGUGACGUUGUGUUUUCUCAUCUAUUGUGUCCGGUGUCAAAGAGCAUAACCUAAAAGUUUGAAGAAGUUAACAAGAAUCUGAUAAAGUUUAACAAGUAGUCGAGAUCUAGAAAAUGAACCUGAAAUAUCCAAGCAAAAUGUUAGAAUUCAAUGAAAAUAGUUGGAAUAUAGAACCAAAAAGUGGUGAAAAUAAGAGUGGAAGAAGUUAACACAAAAAUUGAAAUAACUUAACAAUAAUUUGAUAAAUUUAAACGCAAAGUAGGGAUCUAAAAAGUAAAUUUGAUACAUUUACCCAAAAUAUUGGAAUUCAAUAAAAAUAGUAGGAAUAUUGAACCAAAAGUAGUGGAAAAAUAAGUUGGAACAACUUAGCAAUAAUUAGAUAAAGUCUAAUAGAAUAUUGAGAUUAAAAAAUAAACUUGAAAUAUCAACCUGAAAACUGGAAAUUUAAGGAAAGAACUGGAAAUAUAGAACUAAUAACUGAUGGAAAAAUGAGUUGAAACAGCUUACAAAAAAUUGGAUAAAUUCCAACGGAGAGUAUGGAUCUAGAAAUUGAACUUGAAAUAUCCAAACAAAAUUUUGAAAUUCAAUAAAAAGAGUAGGAAUAUAGAACUAAAAAGUGGUAGGAACAAGAGUUGAAAAAAUUAACCCAAAAGUUGAAAUAAUUUACCAAGAAUUUAAUAAAUUCAAAUGAGAAGUAAGGAUCUAAAAACUAAACUUGAUAUAUUUACCCAAAAUAUUAAAAUUCAAUAAAAAAUAGUAGGAAUAUAGAACCAAAAAGUGGUAGAAAAAUAAAUCGGAACAAUUUACCAAAAAAUAGAUAAAGUUUAAUAUAUUAUAGAAAUAUAAAAAUAAACUUGAAAUAUACACCUAAAAAACUGGAAGUUAAUGAAAAGAGUGUAUAUAUGAAACCAGAAACUAGUGGGAAAAUGAGUUGAAACAACGUACCAAAAUUUAGAUAAAUAACCACGAAAAAUAGGAAUUUGAAAAAUAAACUUGAAAUAUGUAUUAUAAAUAUUGGAAUAUAACAAAAUAAAUAGGAAUGUAACCAUUUUGUGAUAUGUUAAUAUUUUUUAUAUAUUUUUUGUACUAUUUUUAAAUUUUAAAUUAUUACAAUCUUUUUCCUCAUUUAAUUACAAUUUUAACCUUUUUCUAAUUUUUUCAUAAUUUUUUCACAUUAAAAACAAAUAAAAAUAUAAUUUUCAGUAUAUUAUCCGGUUAAAAACCGGUUGUACCAGUUGCAUGCACGCGCUGUAUGAGAUACAGCGUUGCAUGGUAGGUUGACUGAAAAAGACAUAGUUGAAGUCUCAUCAAGAUUGUCUUCAUUCGAGAAAAAGCAACUAUGUUUAAAACACCUUUAAUAAAGUACUAAUAAUUAUUAAAGACAUGUUUGACUAGACUUGCAGUUGGCAAGCAAAAGAGGAUGAAAUUAUUAAUUAAUUAGAACACAUGAAAGAUUCCUCUCAUUUUAUUUUUUAAAAGAAAGUAAACAUUUCAUUAAACUAAACUUUCAGCCAUACAUAAAACAUCAGCUGGGAAAUUGUUUCUCCAGAUAACAGAUUUCUGAGCUACACAAAGCCCUUUUAGCUAAAAAAUGGGCAAAACCAUUACACUUUCUUGGAACAUAUUGGAAAGAUAUCAGUUGGAAAUCUUGUGUGCUCUUGUGGAAGUCUGACAUAGUCCACCAAAUCUCUGUCCUGUUGCUAACUUUCUUAUUUGCUAAGUCAGCUACAUUUUUGCAGUCGGUCUCUAUAAUCACAUUUGACAGACUAAGAUCCUUGGCUACCUCCAUACCCCACUUGACAGCAUGAGCUUCUGCUAUAGCUACGUUCCCCUGGAAAUUCAUGCUUUUUACUGCUGCUGCUAACACUUGCCCUCGAUGAUUUCUGAUGACCACGCCCAAGCCUGCACUCUUCCUAUCUUCUUUGACUGCUGCAUCAACAUUGACUUUCACUUUGUUGUUUGGUGGUGGAGUCCAUAUCUGCAUCUUUCCCUCUACUGUAUUUCCAUGGCUCUCCCGUUCUUUAACCUGCUGAGCCUGAUACACUUCCAUAACUGCUUUGCCCCUAGCCACUGACCCUACUGGAUCUAACUUUUUUCCUUGAAAAAGGAGUUUGUUUCUAGCAUGCCAAGCAACCCACCAAAUCGUGGCCACGUAAUCUGCCUCAGACUUAGCCCAAUUAUUCAUAGCCCCAAUCAUGACACUAAGCAUGUCUUCUCUGAUGACGCUCUUCACCUCAUUCUCCAAGUGAGUACAUUUCCAGAUUUCCGAGCCACUCUGCAUUCCAUCAAGGCGUGGAAAACAUCUUCACAACCCGCUUUGCAUAAAUGGCAUGUCGGUUCCUUCAGCACUUUCCUUCUCCACAGAUUUUCUGCCGUUGGCAGCAGGUUCUUUGCAGCUUUCCACACAAAGAUCUUAAUUUUCUCUGGUAAGUUUAGCCUCCAAAUAUGUUGCCCGCCCUGUGGAGCUCCUGUAGAUCCGGCUGGAGAUUCAGAGAACUUAAUUUUGAGAGCUAGUUGAUAUCCACUCUUUACUGAGUAUAUACCUUUCUUAUCAUAAUGCCAUAUCACCAUAUCUUCUUGAGGAGUUCUCGGUAAAGGGAUAUUCCUUAUGAUUUCAGCAUCUUCCUUUGCAAAGUUUUGAUUGAUCAUUGUUUCAUUCCAUUGGUGAUUUUGAUCAAGAAGCUCUGAGACUCUAGAUUCAGUAGGCAAGGACUGUACCAGGAUUGGUUUGAAGGUUGAGGGCCUAGGGAAAUAUUCCUCUCAUUGAUUUCGUUGAAACAGACUUAAUUUGUAAUCAAAGUGAAAAUUCGUCAUCUUUCAGCGGUGAUUCCAACUUCUAACAAUCUCUAAGCAGUAAGUUUUCUGACAGUUUUAUAUUUACAUGUCUCUUGUAUUUGUGUAAUUAGUCUCUCACAUAAUUCAAUUUAAUAGGAAGUUUUGAUCUCUUGCUUCCAAGGCUCAAAACUUAUUGCAACAUUGCUGGCAAUUAGUGUGGGUUUCGGCUCUUUAAUUCAGCUUUGCUAGGUUUAAGUUCGACAUCGAAUUUUAUGCGUUUAGUGCAGUAUUUUAUGAACUAUUUUAAAGAGAUUUUUAAUUAAUUCUUAGGUACUUAAAAUAAACUUCUUGUCGGCAUACAAAGGACUAAAAGAGUAAAAAUUAACUAGAACACAUAAAAUCUUCUCAUUAAUUUCACUGAAACAACGUAAAAAUUCAUCUAACUGUGGUCGAAUACUUGCAUGUGUCUUGUAUUUUCAGCUUAUUUUUUGAACUUUUAUAUGUAUGUUUUUUGUGACAUAUUUUAAUCUUAUUUGGAAUUAAGAUAUUGUAGCUUUUAAACUACAGCAGCUAUGAAAAAAACUGUAAUUAUGAAACAAAAGUUAAUAAUAUAUAAUAAAUAUAAAUUUUAAAUAAUAAUUUUGAUAAAAUUAUUAGAGAUAUAAUGAAUUUUUUAUCAUAUAAGUGAAAAAUUAUAUCAAUAUAAUUUUUAAGUUACAGCAGUUAGUAUUUACCAAAUACUUUUCUGUUGUAGCUUAAAUAUCCACCCCCAUCCCAAAAGCACUCUUUAUAUAAUUAAUUUUUUCACAUAAUUCCAAAAAAUCAAUUUAGAGGAAAUUUCGUUCUCUUGUUGCCAAGACAUGAAAACUGGUUCCAACUCUGCAGGUAGUGUGUGUUUCUUGGACAGGAAAGUUGGCAGUGCAGGUUUUAAGUCUUCUUCAAUUCGGCAUUGAUACAGCAUCUAAUUCUAAAUUAGUUCUUAGGGACUUAAGAGUGCGACUGUCGUGGCGUCAAUUGCUCGCAUCAUGAGCAUCCACAAAGUUUCUCCUUUUGUUCCUUAUCCUCUUCCUCACUGGAAAUAUGACGUCUUCUUAAGUUUCAGAGGAGUAGACACCCGCAAAAAUUUCACGGACCAUUUGUACACUGCUUUGGAUCAGAAGGGAAUCAUAGUCUUCAGGGAUGACAAAGAACUUGAGAGAGGAGAAUCCAUUUCACCUGGACUCUUUAAAGCAAUUGAAGAAUCAAAAAUUUCAAUUAUUGUUUUCUCUAGAAACUAUGCUUGUUCGACAUGGUGCUUGGACGAACUUGUUCAUAUUCUUGAAUGCAAAAACAAAAAUCAUCAACAAAUGGUUUAUCCAAUUUUCUAUGAUGUGGAACCAACUGAUGUAAGGAAACAGACAGGAAUUCUUGAAGAAGUUUUUGCUCGACAUGAAGAAAUUCUUGCUCAGAAUAAAGAAAAGGUGCAAAAGUGGAGAGACGCUUUGAAAGAAGUGGCUAAUAUCUGUGGCUGGGAAUUGAAGGACAGGUAGUCUUUCUUAUUCUCAAAGAUUAAUUACCUAUAAUAGAUUUGAUUUGAAACUAUGUUUACACUCACUUUAAUUCAACAACACCAAUGUUUUCUUAAUCUUUUGCAAGCUGCAGGAAUCAGUCUGAAUUUAUUUUGGAGGUUGUCAAGGUGAUAUCAAGUAAAAGUCCUAUAAUAUCAGGGAUUCUUAAGAAUCUAGUAGGAAUAGAUUCACACUUGAAGAAUCUGAGGCUUCUCAUGGAUAAAGGAUCUAAUGAUGUUCGCAUGAUAGGGAUAUGCGGUAUGGGAGGUAUAGGGAAGACAACCCUUGCAAGGGUUGUUUAUGACUUGACUUCUCAUAAGUUUGAAGGAAGUAGCUUUCUUGCCAAUGUUCGAGAAAUUUCAAAAGAAGGCGGCCUGAUCUCUUUACAGAAGCAACUCCUUUCCCAGUUACUAAAGCUUCCAAAUAAUGGCAUAUGGAAUGUUUAUGAUGGUAUCAACAUCAUAGGAAGUAGGCUGCACCACAAAAAGGUUCUUUUGCUUAUCGAUGAUGUAGUUGAUAUCAAGCAAUUAGAAUGUUUAGCUGGAAACCGUGAAUGGUUUGGUCCUGGCAGCAGGAUCAUAAUAACAUCGAGAGAUAAGCAUUUGUUGAUGACGCAUGGAGUAGAUGAAGUAUAUAAGCUCAGGGAACUACAUGAUGAUAACGCUCUUCAAUUAUUUUGUAAAAAAGCCUUCAAAACCCAUCAGCCUAAGAAAGGAUAUGAGCAGCUGUCUGAAUGGGUUACAAAGUAUUCAGGUGGUCUUCCAUUAGCUCUCAAAGUUUUGGGAUCCCUUUUGUAUGGUAAAACAACAAAAGAAUGGCAAAGCGCAGUAAAGAGACUGAAAAGAGAUUCAGAAAAUGAAAUCUUGGAUAUACUUCAAAUAAGUUUUGAUGGGCUUAAAGAAACAGAGAAGAAAAUAUUUCUUGACAUUGCGUGCUUUCAUCGAGGGGAGAAUAGAGAUUAUGUAACAAAAAUUCUUGAUUACUGUGAUUUUGACCCAGUUAUUGGAAUAAGGGUUCUUAUUGAUAAAUCUCUCAUAGAGGUUUUAUCCAACAAUCAACUAUGGAUGCACGAUUUGUUACGAGAAAUGGGUCAACAAAUUGUUAAGAGACAAUGCCCUGAAGAUCCUGGGAAACGUAGCAGAUUGUGGAAGGAAGCAGAUGUACGUCAGCUGUUAACAAGAAACACAGUAAGCAAUGAUAAGUCAAAAACAUGUACUUCUAAGAUUUCAACCCAUUCACAUUCUUAUCUUUGCUUAUUCUUUACUUUUUUAACUUUCAGGGAUCUGAAACUGUUGAAGUCAUAUAUCUCAACUUCCCUGCAGAAGCAGAAGUGCAUUUCAGAGCAAGUUCUAAUACAUUUUUGAAGAUGACUAACCUGAGAAUGCUUCUUAUCCGUAAUGUGCAAGUGCAACUUCCCGAAGGCCUUGAAUAUCUCUCCAAUGAGUUACGGUUACUUGAAUGGCCUGGAUAUCCUCUGAAAUCCUUGCCAUCAAAUUUUCAACCGGAUAAAAUUGUUGAACUUAACAUGUGUUACAGUCACAUCGAACAAAUGUGGAAUGGAAUCAAAGUAAGUUUUAUUUCAUUUCUUUUUUUCCCGUGAAUAAAUGUUGAUAGAGUUAUCAUUCAUCCCUUGAAAAAUUGCUGAAAUCAUUGUUUUUGAACAGCCUUUAAGCAAUUUGAAAUUCAUGAGACUUGGCAAAUCCAAAAAUCUGAUCAGAACGCCAGAUUUCUCAGGGAUGCCAUAUUUAGAGGAGCUGGAUCUUGGAGGAUGUACAAGAUUGUGUGACAUUCACCCAACAUUGCUACUUCACAAGAAGGUAAUUUUAUUGAAUCUAAAAGACUGUACAAGUCUCACGACUCUUCCGGGCAAGAUUUUUAUGGAAUCUCUAAAAAUACUUGUACUUUCUGGUUGCAUGAAAUUGAAGAACUUUCCAGAGAUUGUGGGUAGUAUGAAGUGUCUGUCAGAUCUUCUUUUGGAUGGAACCGAUAUUAAAGAACUACCAAUAUUACCAUUUGAACUUCUAUCUGGACUUGUUCAGUUAAAUGUGGAAGGCUGUAAUAAACUUGAGCGUCUUCCAAGAAAUAUAAGCGCUCUAAAAUAUCAUCCAACUUGGAAUCUUUCUGGCCUAUUGAAAUUCUCAAAUUUCCCAGAGAUCAUGACAAAUAUGGAGCAUGUGUUGGAGCUUCAUUUGGAAGGAACUGCCAUAAGAGGAUUGCCUAUAUCAAUUGAACUUUUCUCUGGUCUUGUUUUGUUGAAUUUGAGAGAUUGCAAAAAUCUCUUGAGUCUUCCGUGUACUAUUAACGGUCUGAAGUCCCUGAAAAAGUUGUAUCUCUCUGGCUGCUCCAAACUUAAAAAUGUGCCAGAGAACUUGGGGAAAGUAGAAAGCUUGGAGGUGCUAGAAUUAAGCGGGUGCAAAGAACCACCAGUAUCAUCAUCAUUGUAUCUGCCCUUCCCCAUUAGUUUGAAGCGAAGCUGUUCAGAUCCUACCGCUUUGAGGCUUCCUUCUCUGUCAGGUUUGUGGUCUUUAAGGAAAUUGGACCUCAGUGACUGUGAUCUAGGGGAAGGAGCAAUACCAAAUGAUAUUGGCAACUUAUGGUCGUUAGAAGAGUUGUAUCUGAGUAAAAACAGUUUCAUUACAGCGCCAGCAAGCAUUAACCGUCUUUUUAAUCUUGAAGAACUAGAGUUGGAAGAUUGCAAAAGACUACAAUCUAUGCCGCAACUUCCACCCAACAUAAAAGAAGUCGGAGUAAAUGGUUGUGCUUCAUUGGAAAAAUUAUCAGAUGCCUUAAAAUUAUGCAAAUCGGAGUACAUUUCAAUUAGUUGUAUAGACAACCUGAAAUUGCUCAGCAACGAUGGUUUGGCAUUUUCAAUGCUAAAAGAGUAUCUUGAGGUCAGUCUCUCUCUCUCUCUCUCCUCUCUCAUUUGUGCAAAAAAUUAUGCCUAAAAAUGAUGCAUUUUUAUGGGCUCCUUUUUUUUCCCCCUUUUUUCGGUUACAGGCAGUGUCACGCCCAAUGCAAAAGUUUGGUAUAGUUGUUCCAGGAAGUGAAAUUCCAGAGUGGUUCAUGCAUCAGAAUGAUGGAUCUUCAAUAAAAUUCAUAAUGCCUUCAAAUUUAUAUUGUAAGAAUAAGGCGCUGGGAUAUGCCGUCUGCUGCGUCUUUCAUGUCCGUGAACAUUCCCCUGGUAUCCAAACAAGGCGUUCAUAUCCCACGCAUCAAUUGAACUGCCAGAUGAAAGGUUCUUCUACCAGUUAUUCAAUCGAGUUCAGAGAGAAAUUUGCUCAAGCAGAGUCAGGCCAUCUUUGGCUACUCUACUUGUCUCUUAAAAAAUGCUAUUAUAGCAAUUGGCGUUUUGAUAAUAAUCUCAUUGAGUUGUCGUUUGGGCCUGUGUCUGGCUCAGGGUUGCAGGUGAAGAGAUGUGGUUUCCAUCCCAUUUAUAGGCACAAAGUUGAGUUCUUCAACCAAAUAAGAAACCAAUGGACUCACUCACUACACUGCCUAUAAUAUGAAUGAAUUUUAUCCCGAUUCUGUUUGAUCAAAGAUACUUGUAGCCACAACGUCAAGGUGAAGUGUGAAUGAAUAUUUGGGCUUGAAGAGUGGGAAUGGUGUUCUGUUGAUGAGGAACCACAGCCUGAAAAAUUUAAUGCAGAAGCCUGCUUAUUCUCUGAAUUCAUCGAUAAGCAUUCAUCUUCAAUUUCAGUUCAUGUUCUUUGCACUUGGUAAUUCAUUUACAUUAAUUUUAUUUAUUUAUUGCAUCUCCUUAUCGAAAAACAUUUGAUGUUAAAUUACCAGAAAUCCUCUGCUUGGAUCAAAAGCAAAGAGUACCUAUAGUUGUUUAAGAAUGUGCCUUCAUGAAUUGAAAUAGCAUUACUGCUCUAUUAGCUUGGCUCCUCACUUGAAUUUCUUUGAUGUUUGUUAAUAAUUCCAAAUUCCAGUGAACAUGGAUUUUGAUCGAGAUAAUUCUAUGCUUUUGCCCUGUUGAUAAAAUCAAGCAGUUGUUGUGAUUGUUGCAAGUGUUUCUUAUUUUAUAUUUUUUCGUUUUUGUUGUUUGGUUCGGGAGAAGAUGUGGAAUUAGAACUGCACUGGAGUGAGAAGAAAUGAGAAGAAAAAGAAAGAAUGUAAAGUUUAGUGAAUGUGUGUGUGUAUUUUUUUUAAAGCCUUGAAUUUUUUGAUUUCUCAUGAGUUGAAAAUUAAGGAUUGAAACAAAUCUUCUGUUUUGUUGUAUUCUUAUUAUAUUUCUUCUCAUAAAUUUCUCAUUUUUGUAAAUAGUGCAUAAUUUGGUAGAAGCUUAACUGAAAGCCACUAAUUUUACUGCAAGAAUAACUUAAUUUUUAAUUCAAUCCAGGGAUUCAAAAUGACUCAGAGUUCUUUCGAACUUAAAUAACAUGACAACUUAACUAUCCAUUCCCUUCUUUUUGUGCAAAAGUUGGCAGAUUCGGAGCCAAUUAGGGUGAGUUUUUUGGUACACUUGAAGGGGCUGGUGUCAUAGUUCAUGAAUUGCAUUGCUAUGAAUGAAUAACAAAGAAAUUAGAUUAGCUUAUUGAAUCUGUUUGAAUUUUUUUAUAUAGCCUAUGCAAUCAGAGGCAUUUAAAUUAUGUGAGUCAAAGUUCUCACAUAUUAGCUGUGCACAGUGCUUGAAAUUGCUUGGUAACAACGGUUUGGCCUUUUCAAUUUUAGAGAGUAUGUCAACUAAUGCCAGCCUUUUCACUCUGUUUCUCUCGAAGCCUUAUGCAUAAAAAUUUAUGCUGUGGAAAAGAUUAAUCUAAGGGCCAGGAGUUUCUAUAGAAAGAAUAUAAAGAUGAUAAGGUUUGUUGUGUCAAUCUCAAAUAUAUUAUGGGUGUUAGGAGUAUCUGAUGAUGCUGAUGAUGUUGUGCAGUGAUGUUGAGCUGAUGGUGCUAUGUAGUGAUGCUGAUAUGGUGUUAUGCAGAGUUUACAGAGCAUGAUGGAAGAACAUGAUAAGGCUGGUGGUUUAGCAUGUAGCUUAGUAUACCAGCUGAGAAUUAGUUAUGCUGAGCUGUCAAGUUGGUUAUAACUGAUUCAGUAGCCUUUAACCACGCAUGAAGAUUCCAGAACAAUCUAGCUACUAGAUUCUUGUAUCCAUCUUGUAGUAUAAGUAGAGUGAUCUGUAUAUUCUAUACACAUUGUUAAGUAUGCUAUGAUUGAAUAAAAUACAUUUUCCGUCACUUUCAAUUUCAUUUUCUCUAUAACCAAACACUGUUUUAGCCGAAUUCAAUCAAUGGGAAUUAUAAGAAAAUAAGCAGUAAAAGCAAAUAAACAUUAGGGAAAUGAACACUCAACAAUAUACCUACAUGUAAACAUCCUCGGAAGAUCUAAGAAGUUGAGCAUAGUACACAAACGCACACACAGAGCAAUUGAAACUUGUAGCAAGUCUGCACACUGCAGAUACAUGUCCGUAUCAGCACUAGAAUUUUGCUUGGAAGCGUAGCACUUUGGAUUAAAGAUAUACUUGUUGACUUGCUUCUGUCCACAGAAACAAUAAGAACCUUCAGUUGGAAUGAAAUCAGAGAUACAUUCAGAACCACCUUGAGGAAUUCAUGCUCAACAGCAACUUCAGUAAUAAUCAAGAUUAUAAACAGUAGAGAGACUCCAUUCAGCUUCAAUCCCGAGUGUCCCGAGUGUAUGGAAACUGGAUGGAGACUACACUUCUUCACCUUCAAUCCCGAACUAGUUUGAAACAACUAAACUUGGUCAGAUCCAAACUUCCAGUCAAGAUUAUUGCACUGUUGAAGAUCAAGAAUAUUAUGUAUACGAGCUUUAUUUGAUCAGCUUUCAUGUGGUAGUGGUAGUGGUAGUGAUGUUUAUGUUUGCCUCUGACAGGAUGUGAAUGUUUAUUAACACGAAACGCACAGCAAAUAGCAUAUCCAACCAUCUUCUUCUUAUCGUAUGAAUCUGGAGGACUUAUUAUUGAUAUUGAAGAUCCCUCAUUCGGAUAGUCGAACCACUCCGGAAUCUUACGUCUAGGAAUAGCUAUGAAAUCUGACUCCCAGGAAGAACAAUGGUGAAAACUCAGGUACUUUGUGGGAUCAUAUAACUCUAUUCAAUUAUUUAAUGGAUGAAUGACAUAUUAGUUGAGAAAUUCAACAUUACACGUGGGUAAAAUAGUAGAGUUUUGGAUCAGCCGUCAUCGUAUUCUUUCUUUAAUGUUAAACAAAUUGUUGGUUAUAAAUAAUUGGUGAUCAAAUUUGACUAAUCAAAAUUGAUUAAUCUGUUUAUAUAAAUUAUUGAAAUUGAUCUUGUUCAUAAAAAACACUGCAUAUAGCUAGUAUAGUUGAUCUUCCUAAUGAUGGAGGUUGAAAAGUUUUGAGUCUUCAUAUAUGCAUUGUGGGAGUAAUUUUUCUCUUUCUUUCAGAAACAUAUUAAAUUUUUUCAAGCUAUUUCAUACAUAACAUCAAGGGUUUACUUUUCCAAAAGAGAGAUUAAUGCAACUUAACUGGUCAAUAAAAAUUAACAAUAGGUUCAAUUUAAGUUUUAUCUUGACAAAAAGAAAAAUUACAUUAGGUUUAAGAAUUUAAUAAGCUAAAACAAUUAAGAAAUUAAUGGGUUAAAGUAAACAUGCAACUAAAGUGAAAUUAGAAAAAUAAUGAAGAUGAAAUGGAUACAAGUAUUUUUCUUGGUUUCACUUGGAAACCUCCAAUAGUAUGAGUUAAAUUUUAGAAAAUUGAUGGGUAAAGCUGACACACAACUAAAGUAAAAUUAAGAAACAAUAAUCAUAAAAAAACACCAGUGAUAACACUAUGAAAUGAGAGUUAUCAUGAUAUUUUUAUGCCUAAAUUAACAUUACUUAGAGAGUAAAUGACAUAUUUUCAUUACAUUUUAGCUACAUUUUGCAUGGGUAGUCAUUUAAGUUUAAUUUUAAUAAAAUUCAUGUGUUUUUAGAUUAUUGUGUGCUUUGAUUACUUGCAUAAUUGUAGGUGACUAAAAAGCUCAAAUUUCAUGGAUGGAACGUUGCUGUAGCAGGCUUGCGGAGUUACAAAAGAACUUGGAUGAGAAGUAAUUUUGAAAUAAUAAAAGAUGCUGGAGCAAUAUGUUGUAGUACUAUUGCUGCAGCAACUCCUGGAGCAACGAUAAAUGAGAUAUCACACGUUAAAUAGAAGACCGCAAUCUAAAGUUUCCAAAAAUAAGAGAUUCACUGCCAUAAGUUUCUGGUAACCCUAAUUUUGAUUUAUAAAAAGAGCACAUUACAAUGAAAAAAGGAGAGUUGUCAUUAGAGAAAAGAAUCGAGAAACAGUACAAGAGAAAAUAAAGAUAAAGAGACAGAAUUAAGGGCUGCAUCAAAGGAUUUAUGAAGAAUAUUAAGGGGAUUCAUAAGGACGAGCGGAUUUCGACUCUUAUUCUUACUCUCUUAUUUUUAUCUUGUUAUGAAGACUUGUUUGAUGGCUAAAACUAUUUUGGUUUUUGUUUUAUAACAAAUUAUGAACUAAAAUUACUUAUGGUUGAGUGAUAAACAAUGUUGAUGGUUAAUUGACUGAUUAUAUGUGUUGCUGCAUGUUUGCUAUAGCAUGUUGUUUUUGUAAUACUUAUUUCAAUUCACUAUUUCAGCUGACUACCCAUUUAGUGGUACUAGCUAAGUAAAAGCCUAAAAAAGGUCUGUCUUAGUGGGACAUAUCAAAGUAAUUCUUGGUUUUAGGUUGGAUUUCAUGAGUUGAGUUUAACUUGAUUCAAAAAAGGUCAUGCUUAAUCUAAAAUUAGUGAUGAACUAGACAUAGAGAUUUACCUUGUAGGAUAAUUAGAAUCUAAAACGUGUAAUGCUAUAUUUUAUGUUAGCAUAACAAUUGGUCACUGUUAAGUUGUAUCAAGAUAUAAGACAUCCAAUAAGUGAUAGCUGAGGAUACAUAAGGAUUCUGUAUAGUACUGUAAAAGACGUUGUGGCAACAUAACCAAAAAAUAGAAAAAUAGUCAAAACCAUUAAAAGAGUUUAAUCACUCAACUACUCCAUUCUCAUUGAUUAUAUCCUUGUAUUUGACGUGAUGAUUUACCUUAUUGCAUUUUUUAUUUUAAUUAAUUCAUUAGUUUUAUAAAUUAUUUUAUUUUUAAUUUUGGAACAAAAUAAGGUUGCUGUAGCAAUUCAUAUAACAUCAAUUCCUAUGGAGACAAUCUCGAAUACUUAUCAUUAUAUUACUUGUUGUGUACACUUGCACAAUGACACCCAUAGCAUACAACAAUCAGAAUUUUCAUAGUUAAACUUUUAGCCUACAUUCAUAGGUGAAGACAGAAGGAAAUGUUUUACUAACGAAAAGAAGUUACAAGUAUUGUAGUACUUUGUCUCACAAUCCAAAAACCUUAAUAUACCUAAACUCUAAAAACAUUAGAACAAGAGUUUAAAGCUCUCAACACACUCUUAGUCUCCAAUUCAUGGCUCUAUCACUUCUUAAUUAGAUUGAGAAUUAAAGAAAAUGAAAUGAAUGAAGAGGACAAAUGAAGCCUCUAUUUAUAGGCCAAGCAAUACCCAAAAUCAGCAAUGUUGGACUUUAAAAUAAUAUAUAUUUUCAUUCAACUUUCAACUUUGGUGACAAAGCCAAAAGUUGUGUGCUAGACAAAUGCCUCCCACUUACUCAACAAAUUAUGCCAAAAGUCAAAAGUUGCAUGUUAGCAACAUAUAAUUGUUUUCCAUAUACAUGCACAUGUUCAACAAUUCUCCCACUUAGAGACUUGAUUGAGAACCAAUCAUGUCUCCACACUAUCCAUUCUUUUUCGUCAUUGUUAUGUUGCUUACAUCUCUGCUAGGCUACAAGAGGAUCUACUCCAUACAAACUUGUCAGCAUUGGUUUGCUUGGUCAAAACAUCUCCUCGGUUCUCUUUGGUAUGGAUUUUUUUGUAAUAAAGUGGUAUUGUACCUGAUAACUCUAGAAAAUGAGAGUUAUCAUGGCAUUUUUAGGCUUAAAUUAAGACUCCUUAGAGAGUAAUUGAUGUGUUUUAGUGCAUUUUAACGAUAGUUUGCAUUACAUUAAUUUUAGUUUAAGUUUAAUAAAGUUUACGUGAAUUUUGAAUAAUUGUAUGCCUAAAACAUAUGUUCAACUAUAGGUCAAUGGAAACCUGAAUUUUAUGGAAAAGAUGUUGUUCCAAUAGACCUAUAAGGAGGACAAACGAGCAUGGCUAUAUAAGAAUUGGAGCACAUCUGGAAUAGUGAAGAUGCUAUAGCCAUUGUUGUAGGCUGUAGCAAUCCUUGAGCAUUGACGGAGAAAAUAUGGGCAAGAUUUUCAUAAUAUUGCGAUUUGCAGUUUUCUAAUCUGAAGAUGCAUGCCCUAGAGUUUCCAGUUACCCUAAUUUGUGAUUAUAAAAUGAGGCAUACAUGCAAAGGAAAGAGGAGGCCGUCAAUCGAAACCAAAAUAGAAAAGAAAUGAAGAAGAAACAAAAUUCCCGAGCAGAAUUUAAGGCUUCACCAAUAGAAGAAAUUUACAGAUUCAAUUGGAAUUCACUCUUUCUCAUUCUUUUCUUGUUUUCUUGUCAUUCAUUGAUCAUGACUAUGUACUCGAUGGCUACCACUUGGUUGUUUAAUUUCUAUGCACAAAUUAUGAGCUCAAUUUAUUUAUGGUUGACUGUUAAGCUAUCUUGAUGGUUGAUUGACCGAAAAUAAGUAUUGUUGCAUGUUUGCUAUAGCAUUUUGCUUUAAUAACAUUUAUUUAGAUUCAUUAUUCUGGUUGACCACUUAUUUAAUGAUACAAGUUAAGAAAGAGCCGCAAAAUGACCUAUUUUAGUGGAACAUAUUAGAGCAAUACUUAGUUUUAGAUUGAGUUUCCUAAAUUGAGUUUAACUUGAGUCCAAAAAGGGUCAUGCUUAAUCUAAAGAUUAGUGAUAAACCAGAUGUGGGGAUUCACCUUGUAGGGUAAAGAGAACAUGAACGUGUAAUGUUAUAUUUUAUGUUGACAUAACAAUUGGUCAUUAUUAGGUUGCAUAAAGAUAUAAGACAUCCAACAUGUUACUGCUGAGGAUAAAGAUGAAAUAUAAGUGUGCAACCCAAGAGGGGGGUGAAUUGGAAUUUUAAAAAUUAUCCUAGCAAAUCCACACAACAAGCAAUCUAAUGUCUUAAUAAAAAUUGAAAACAAUAAGUUCAAUAAAAGCACAAUAACAAAUGAGUAAGAGAGAAGAGAAACAAACACAUGAAUUUUUACGUGGUUCGGCAAUCCCCGCCUACGUCCACGCCUCCAAGCGAUCCAAACUUGAGGAUUUCACUAUCCAAACUUUUCUAAGGCUUCAACCGUUUACAAUUAACUUCAAGGUGUCAAUGAACCUUUACAACAAAGAGUUUAUCUCCCAAUCUCUUCAUUCAAGUGUCUCACACACUCAAACUUUUACAAUUAAGAUGAAGAAAUGAAAGUUACAAUAAAACUCACUCAAAGAGUAGAUAUUCAAAAAUGAAGAACAAGAGAUGAUUCAAUGUUUUGUGAUUUGCAAAUUGAAAGCUCAAGAUAUCUUGUGUGCUUUUUAUUUAUGCUUGCUAGAGAGAUUGAAAAUGAGUUGGAUUUGAGUUUAUAUAGUUUGAUCUCAAAAACUAGCCGUUAUGCACAUUUUGGUCAUAAUCGGCUUGCCAUUUAGGAAUCUGGUAAAGCCGCUUUUAUGUUGCCAUUAAGGCAAAAAUUUGAAUUUCAGAAUAUCUGGCAUGCCGCUUUUCAUAUCCGGUAAGCCGCGUUUGAAAUCCGGAUUGCUGCUUUGCGAAAUUCGGAUAGCCGUUUAUGCUCUAGAAGCUUACUGUCCAAAAUCUAGUUUGCCGUUUACCAUAUCCGGUAAGCCGCUUGCUACAGUAACUGCUACAGUGAAAUAUUUUUUAAAUUUAUAGUUUGACCCCAAAACUUUAUAAAACUAUGUUAUGGCCCAAAAUGUUAUAUUAUUUUGAAAAUAGGUCCAAUUUCAGAAUCUCUAAAUAAUGCUUGCUAUUCCCAAAACUUUUUAAAAUUAUGAUAUGACCCAAAAUGUUAUGAAACUUUUCCAAUAAGUCCUCCAAAAUUUCGAGCAAUACUUGUUGAUUUCAAAGUUUUCAAAACUCUUUCAAUUAAAUCAUAAACUUGAAAAACAACUAAUUUCAUAAAAUCAUUUUUCCAUUAAAUAUAAAACCUUUAUAAUGUGAAAAUAAUGAUUUAUUUAAAAUAUAUAAAAAAUAAUUUGAGCUUAAAAGAUUAAUCAUUCUUAAUCUUGUUUGUUAUCAUCAAAAUCAACAUUAUGCAAACAUAUAUAUUAACAAAAGAUGGUUUCUGUCCAGUGUUGUAACAGAUGCUGCAGUAACUAUACUCAAUAUAAAUAAAAUAGUUAACACCAUUACAAGAGUUUAAUCACUCAACCACUCUAUUCCAAUUGAAUUUACUUUUGUGUCUAACAUGCAAUUUUCAUUCAUUGCAUUUUCUUUAUUAUCGCGGUUUAUUUUACAUAGUCUAUUAGUUGUAUUAGUUACAUUGAUUUUUAAUUGAGAACAUAGAUUACACUGUGAAAUUGUUGUAACAAGUCUGAUAGCAUCAAUCCCUAUGGAGACGAUCUUAGAUACUCACCCUUAUAUUACUUGUUGUGUACAUUUGCACAUUGACAUUACUAGCAAUUAAGUUAAAGAUUACAAUAGUACCCCUAUGUGCUUUGUCUUGAAAUGAAAUGCUGGAUUCCUUACAAUGUACAAGAUACUCUAAUUGUCACAAAACAAAAACAUUUUCUCUUGUUUGUACCCAAACUCCUCCAACAACCUUUGAAUCUAAAGAACCUCUUUGCAAGGUUAUGUAGCUACCAUUAUUAUGCUUCUGUUGUAGAUAAAGUCACAACGGUUUUCAGUUUUGAAACGCAGGUUACAGCUUUUCUUGCAAGUGUAAACACAUAGCCAGUAGUAAAUUUCCUUUAUCAAGGUCCCCUGCAAAAUAUGAAUCCUCAAGGUCUCUGACAGUAAAUUUUAAUCCUCCAUAACAUAAUGCAACAUCUAAGAUUCAUUUGAUGUAUCUGAGAAUCCUCUUUACAGUUUUCCAAUAUUCUUCACCAGGAUUCACUCUCUAUCAACUGACCACUCACACGACUUGUGCAAUAUCUAAUUUCGUAUAUAUCACAGUGAACAUUAAACUUCCUAUUGCUGAUACAGAAGGUAUUCGAGACAUCUCCUUCCUCUCUACUCUGUUGCUAGAAUAUUUACUUGAGGAUAACUUGAAAUUAACAAGAAGUGAGGUAGAAAUUAGCAUACAAUCUUGCAUGUUGAAGCGUCACAAGAUUUUCUUCAAGUAAUUCUUUUGAGAUAGCCAAAUCUUCUUGUUAUUUAUGUCUUAGUGAAUUUGCAUUCCUAUAUUCUUGUUUGUGUUAGAGUGCAAUUUACGCACUAGUUUUGUAUUGUUUACUUCCCUUAAUAUCGAUGUUAUAAUGAUUUACUUGUGUUUUACUUUUGUAGGUACAAUUCUAGUGAUUGGUGAUAAAAUUGAACUAAAAGAUGAUGUUUAAGGAGGAUUGUUCUCUUGGAGAAAUUAUGAGCGUCAGAAGAACUUUGUUGAUAAGGCGUGGGCGCGUGCUGUCAACUGCGGACCUGUAGUUUUUAGUUUAACGUGUUUUGUAUUUUUGGUUAUUUUUGUAAUUACGAAUUUAAUAUUUCAGAUAUUAGGAUUUUAUUUUAAAUAGAAUUCUAAAAGAGAAGAGAGAGAGAGUAUUUAAGGGAGGAAUCUUUUGUGGAAAAGGGGGAUUUUUGGAUGGGAGAAAAGAAAGAAACCCUAGAUUUAAUUUUUCUCUUCUCUCUAUGAAGAACUAAACUUAUUUUUCUGGUUGAAGGUUAAUGAAGCUUUGAUUCAUCACUACUGUGAGAUCUUUCUUGUGCUUUAAUUGUUUUAUUGCUUUUUGGGUAUUUGUUUAUUCUCUGAAUUAUUUUCAUGAUUAUGUUUGUUAAUUAGGUAAUUGGCCACUAUUUAAUUAUCAACUUAAUCUAUUGUCAAUUAAAGGAUUCAUCGUAUGAAGAAUUUAAUGUUUGUGACAAAUAACAUAGCAGAGAGUUGUGUUGUGAGAAUAAACAAUCUAAUUUAAAUGAAUCAUCAUAUGUGUUGAUUAGGAUUUGGGUCUCUCUGGUUUUUCAGGCUGUCAAUUGAUUAAAUCCUAUGAUCGUAUUUAGGGUUGUCUAUUGAUUGGGGAAAUAACCAACGGUCAUACCUUGGUUAUCGACUAGUUAAGGAGAGAUUGGCUAUUAGAGGGUCUCAGUAGCUAUAACUGGUCUAUUCAUGAGUAAUAAUAAUCUAUAUUUGAAUCAAUGAUCAGUAGUCGAAUCAAGCUGAGUUAAUUCCUUCAACCAGAGCUUUCUCCAAUUUGAAUUACAACUUUAAUUUGCAUUCUUGUUAUUUUAAUUUGAUUUUUAUUAUUGUCAACAAAACCGCCAUUUUAUGUUUUACGUUUUAAAAGGAUUUAAAUAACUACUGAUCUCUGUGGACACGACCCUGCUCAAUUACUAUACACAAUUUAUUUAGAGUAGGAAUUUAUUUUUUUUGGCUUCGACACCCACCAAAUUUUGGCGCCGUUUUGGCUUCGACACCCACCAAAUUUUGGCGCCGUUGCCGGGGAUUGGUGUCAUUUAUUUAAUCAUUUUUACGUUUUACUUGGUGUAUGGUUCGUUCUUCUCGUACAGGUACACUUUCGUUUGAUCCUGAAAUUGAGAAGACAACUCGCCAGCUGAGACAGCAGAUGAAGCGAGCUAAGCAACGAUCCUCGUUGCCUUUGCUUUCUGAAACAGAUACGGUGCCUGAUUUAGUUGAAUCAUCUAGCGAUUCAGAAGAACAAGUGAUGGAUAGACCUGCACCUGUAGAAAGAACUCUUAGAGAGUUAGCUGAACCAGACUUGAAUCAACAACCACUCUGCAUUCAAUAUGUAGACUUGGAGGUAAAUUUUGAAUUAAAGUCUGGUCUUAUUCAUUUAUUACCCAAGUUUCAUGAUUUUGCAGGUGAAGAUCCUCAUAAACAUCUUAAGGAGUUUCAUGUUGUGUGUUCAAGUAUGAGACCACAAGGUGUGACUGAAGAGCAGAUUAAGCUGCGUGCUUUUCCGUUCUCUGUAGAUGGGCUAGCUAAAGAUUGGUUGUACUACUUGCCUCCUGGAUCAAUUACAACGUGGAAUGGUUUGAAGAAGCAGUUCCUUGAGAAGUACUUUCCUGCUUCAAGAGCUGCCAACAUCAGAAAAGAUAUUUGUGGGAUCAGACAACUUCCUGGGAAGACUUUAUAUGAGUAUUGGGAGCGAUUCAAACAAUUGUGUGCCAGCUGUCCUCAGCAUCAAAUUUCUGAUCAACUUCUUAUUCAAUAUUUUUACGAAGGACUGUCAUUGAUGGAUAGGAGUAUGAUAGAUGCUGCUAGUGGAGGCGUGUUGGUGAACAAGACCCCUACUUAAGCAAGGGAGUUGAUAUCAAAUAUGGCUGCCAAUGCACAACAAUUUAGCAGCAGGCAAGAGCUCACUUCAAGGAAGGUGAAUGAGGUAAAUAUUUCUUCUAUUGAACAACGUUUAGAUAAACUUACUUCUCUUGUGGAAAAGUUUGUUGUAGGUAAUGUGCAGCAGGUGAAGACUUGUGGUAUAUGUUACAAUAUGGGUCAUUCAACUGAUAUGUGUCCUACACUUCAAGAAGAACCCAUUGAACAAGCCAAUGCAGUUGGAGGAUUUCCAGGCAUGCCUCAGAGGAGGUAUGAUCCUUAUGCACAAACAUACAAUCCGGAAUGGAAGGAUCAUCCCAACUUCAGCUAUGGAGUUAGGCCGUCAGGAUUCCCACAACAGUAUCCACCAAGACAACCAGCACCUCCACAGUCAAACUCCAAGUCGGGUAUAUCUCUUGAAGAAAUUGUUAAAUCACUUGUGACUAACACUCAACAAUUUCAGCAGGCAACUACAACAAGCAUUCAGAACUUGGAGAACCAAAUGAGUCAAUUGGCGACUACAGUGAGCCGUCUGGAGUCUCAAGUAUUAGGGAGAUUGCCUUCACAAUCUGAGGUGAAUCCAAAGCAAAACGUUAGUGCUGUCAUCCUUAGAAGUGGGACGGAGUUGCAAGAGCCUAGUAAGAAAGUAACAAAGCAUGUAGAAGAUGAGCUUGAGAAGAAUGAAUUGAUGCCUCAAUCUCAAGAUGCACAACCCACUAAAGCGAAACCCCUACCUAUUGUGAUACCUCCUCCUUUUCCAAGCCGAUUUGCAAAAUCCAAGAAGGAGGAACAAGAGAAAGACAUCCUUGAGACAUUUUGCAAGGUUGAGGUAAAUAUUCCUUUAUUAGAUGCUAUAAAACAAAUACCUCGAUAUGCUAAAGUCCUUAAGGAACUGUGCACCUCCAAGAGAAAAUUAAGAGAAGAUGAAAAAGUUCACAUGGGGGAGAAUGUUUCAGCAGUUCUUCAAAAGAAACUCCCUCCUAAGUGCAAGGAUCCAUGUAUGUUUACUAUCCCUUGUAAAAUUGGUAGUGUUAGAGUUGAAAAGGUUUUGUUAGAUCUAGGAGCUUCUAUUAAUGUCAUGCCUCGUUCCAUUUAUUCAUCUUUAAAUAUUGGUCCAUUAAAAGAAACUGGUGUGAUAAUUCAACUAGCUGAUAGGUCUAAUGCAUAUCCUGAUGGGGUAUUAGAAGAUGUCUUAGUACAAGUUAAUGAGUUGGUUUUUCCUACUGAUUUUUAUGUACUUGAUAUGGAAGAUGAUAACUCCUCUAAUUAUGUCCCAAUUUUGCUAGGAAGACAUUUUCUUAAGACUGCUAGGACUAAAAUGGAUAUACAUAAAGGGACUCUCACUAUGGAGUUUGAUGGAGAGGUUAUAGAAUUCAAUAUGAAUGAUGCCAUGAAAUAUCCUAGUGAGGAAGAUUCGGUAUUUUCUGUGGAUGUUAUUAACCCUAUAGCGUAGGAAAUUUUUUACAAAGAAAAGACGAAGACAUUUCAUGAUAGAAUGAUUUUGAGAAAGGAGUUCUCUGUUGGUCAAAAAGUUCUUCUUUUUCAUUCUAAGCUUAAACUUUUUCCGGGUAAAUUACGUUCUUGUUGGGUUGGACCUUUUAUUGUUACUAAUGUUUUUCCUCAUGGUGCAGUUAAGAUUCGGAGUCCGACCUCUGACUGAGUUCUUAAGGUUAAUGGUCAUCGCUUAAAACCUUUUUAUGAAGGUUUUUCGGUGAAUAUUGUGGAGGAUGUGGCUCUCGAGAGUCCAAAUUAUGGAGAUUGAUGCAUAAAUGUGUCUAGCCAAAGACAUAAAACAAAGGCGCUUUUUGGGAGGCAACCCAAGUGAUUUAUUUAUUUUGGUUUUUGUUAUAUCUUCUUUUAAUUUUGAUUCAUAUUUUUUUUUUAAAUAAUGUGUUUGCUUAUUUUGGUCAGAAUAAAAUUUUUGAUAAGGCGUGCCCACGUUUUAACUAAUAAGUACUUCUGUCAUUUUUAAAGUAAAAUAGUUUUAAGGCGUGCCCACGUGCUUAUUAGAAAAGUACUUCUGAAGUUUUUAGUGUCUCAAAGUGAUUCAUCACUAAAAAAAAAAAUUAAUUUUAAUUUAUUUUAUUUCAUUUUAUUUUAUUUAUUUAUUUCUUUUGUUCUUUCUUUUAUAUAUAUAUAUAUUUUUUAUUUAAAAAAAAAAAUUUUACUGUUCACAAAAUCCCUAAUUUUCCAGAAAUUGUUUUCUUCUCCAGCCGUUUGCAGCACGCCAGCAGCAAACCAGCCAGCCGAAGAAUACAGCAUCAGUCGUGCGCAACGCAAGCACCAGCAACGAGCACGCCCCGCAACGCAACUCAGAACCAGCUCUCGCGCGCAACAGUCCUGCAGCAACACAGCCACGCAGCAGCUCUCGAGCGCAACGCAGCCACGCAGCAGCUCUCGCGCGUAACCAGCAGUGCGCAACCAGCCCCAAGCCGCGCAGCAAGCUCCAGCCGAGCACGCAACGCAACAAGCGUCACCAGCGCGCACACCAGCAAUCCCCCAGCGCGCAGCAACAGCCGCAGCACGCAGAUCCAGCGUCACCAGUUCACAGCAUCAGUCCCAUCCGUGCGCAACUGAACCACCAGCCGCGCACCAGUAAUCCCCCAGCGAGCAGCAAUAGUCCGCAACCAGCCUACGACCUGCAUUCCAGCCGCGUGAAUCGAAAUCCGUGACAAGAUGGAGCAGAAUUUGGCCGCAUACUUCAAGAGUGUGGGAUUUAUCCCACCAUUCCCGCCAAGCCCAUAGACGUUAUGAGGAUCAAAGCUCACAAUUCAGGGAAGUUUUUGCCUUUAAUCUUUUAUCCUUACGCUUUAAUUUUUAUGUGAGCUUUGAUUAUCUUUCAUUGGGGACAAUGUAAGUUCUUGGUGUGGGGGAGGGAUUUUUGCAUUAUUGAUGUCUGGAAUUAUUGUUUUCACUCUACUUAUCUUUUUUUCACUCUACUCAUCCUUAAAUGAUUUUGGAGUUAGUAUGCUUUAUAUAUUAUUAAUUUUCUUUUCUUUUAUCUCUCACUACUUUUUUCCCAUCUAUCUCACAUUAUUUACAUCUAUUUUUAUUCUAUCAUACUCUUUCAUCACUCACAUUUUAUCUUUCACUUUUCAUAUUACUACAUACGUCUUUCUCACUUCUUAUCAUUUUUACCUUUUCUUUUAUAUAUCACUCAUGCCUUCUUCUCAUUCUACACCAUUAUUGAUGGUUGAUUCAUUUGAAGAGUGUACAUGAUUUGAUGGCAAAUUUACCAACUUUGUGAGGAUUUGAGCCUAUAAGCAACCACUUUGCUCUAAUAUUUUUGUUAUGUGAAUAUCAAUCUUAGUUUGUUUAUUCUAGAACUUGCUUUGUUAUGCAUGUUGAAGCCACAUUACGGGAUUUUAUGCAUUAAAAUGAUAAGGGCAAACCAUAUUCCAUUUUUCUAUUUUCGCAUUUUUUUUCUCUACCCGAAGACCUUUAUUUGUUACCUUUGUUUGAGCCUUAACCAUUACCCAUCUAAUUCUCUCCGUUGACUUAACCAUUUUUCUUCUUUUUGAGCCUCAAUUUAAGGAGAUUUUUGAACUCAUUGUGUGGUUAUAUUUUGUUGCUUUUUCUACCUUGUAUUAAAGUUUCUCAAUUAGAUCAACAAGCAUUAUGCUUGAAUUAAAUUGUGCAACGUUCGUUUCUUUUGUUUGAUUAAAAAAAAAAUCAAUAAAAAAAAACAAAAACAAAAACAAAAAGAAAAAAGAAAAAAGAAAAAAGAAAAAAAAAAAGAAAGAAAAAGAAAAAGAAAAAUCGAAAAAAAAAGUUUACAUUCUUGGUGACUUGAGUAGAAAUAAGCAUUUUGAUAUCAUAAGUUCAUUCAAUGAGUUCAUUCUUCUCAUUUUAUUUAUUUUUCUUUCAUAGACCUUUCUUUUUUAUUUCACCUAUUUAACCCCAUUACAACCCUUUUAAGACCCUUAGAUUUUUGCAUUUUAUUCAUGUUUUGUGGAUUGAGAUGUGAUAUAUGAGCAAGCUUAUGGUAAUAGCAUUCUUUGAUUUGAUUUGAGUGGAUAAAUGACACCCUAAACACUUUGAGUGCAUGGAGUGAAGUCAAUGAGAGGGCUAUUAAAUCUUGUUGCACUUGAAUUUUAAAUGGAUCUUCUUGGUGGUUGAAUGUUCUUAUUCUAUCUUAUGAAAUUCUAUGCUUUAAAAUCCUUGUCUCUCGAAUGUUGAUCGACUUAAUUUCUUGAGGUAUGCUUGCUUAAAAUUGUUUUUGGAUGAGUUGAGAUGAGAAUUGAGUGGAGAUUUGGAAUUAAUCUUGAGUUAUAUGCUUGAGGACAAGCAUCAUCUUGGUGUAGGGGAAUUUGUUAGAGUGCAAUUUACGCACUAGUUUUGCAUUGUUUACUUCCCUUAAUAUCGAUGUUUUGCACUUAAUAAUAAUGAUUUACUUGUGUUUUACUUUUGUAGGUACAAUUCUAGUGAUUGGUGAUAAAAUUGAGAUAAAAGAUGAUGUUUAAGGAGAAUUGUUCUCUUGGAGAAAUUAUGAGCGUCAGAAGAACUUUGUUGAUAAGGCGUGGGCGCGUGCUGUCAACUGCGGACCUGCAGUUUUUAGUUUAACGUGUUUUGUAUUUUUGGUUAUUUUUGUAAUUACGAAUUUAAUAUUUCAGAUAUUAGGAUUUUAUUUUAAAUAGAAUUCUAAAAGAGAAGAGAGAGAGAGUAUUUAAGGGAGGAAUCUAUUGUGGAAAAGGGGGAUUUUUGGAUGGGAGAAAAGAAAGAAACACUAGAUUUAAUUUUUCUCUUCUCUCUAUGAAGAACUAAACUUAUUUUUCUGGUUGAAGGUUAAUGAAGCUUUGAUUCAUCACUACUGUGAGAUCUUUCUUGUGCUUUAAUUGUUUUAUUGCUUUUUGGGUAUUUGUUUAUUCUCUGAAUUAUUUUCAUGAUUAUGUUUGUUAAUUAGGUAAUUGGCCACUAUUUAAUUAUCAACUUAAUCUAUUGUCAAUUAAAGGAUUCAUCGUAUGAAGAAUUUAAUGUUUGUGACAAAUAACAUAGCAGAGAGUUGUGUUGUGAGAAUAAACAAUCUAAUUUAAAUGAAUCAUCAUAUGUGUUGAUUAGGAUUUGGGUCUCUCUGGUUUUUCAGGCUGUCAAUUGAUUAAAUCCUAUGAUCGUAUUUAGGGUUGUCUAUUGAUUGGGGAAAUAACCAACGGUCAUACCUUGGUUAUCGACUAGUUAAGGAGAGAUUGGCUAUUAGAGGGUCUCAGUAGCUAUAACUGGUCUAUUCAUGAGUAAUAAUAAUCUAUAUUUGAAUCAAUGAUCAGUAGUCGAAUCAAGCUGAGUUAAUUCCUUCAACCAGAGCUUUCUCCAAUUUGAAUUACAACUUUAAUUUGCAUUCUUGUUAUUUUAAUUUGAUUUUUAUUAUUGUCAACAAAACCCCCAUUUUAUGUUUUACGUUUUAAAAGGAUUUAAAUAACUACCGAUCUCUGUGGACACGACCCUGCUCAAUUACUAUACACAAUUUAUUUAGAGUAGGAAUUUAUUUUUGUUGGCUUCGACACCCACCAGUUUGCUAGUCUUAAGUCCUUCAUUUUAAACUACCUAGCUAAUUGUGCCUUUAAUUCUUGGACCCAAUCUUUGUUUGAGCCUGCUACUAACAUGUUAUCCACAUACAAUAGUAUAAUGAUAAAAUUAUUAUCCUCAAACCACUUGUAAUAUGCACAGGUCUAAACCGAGUCUAUUGUAGCCAAGACUCAUGAUGAAGGAAUCAACUCUCUUAUACCAACAUCUCAAUGCCAGUUUAAGACUAUAUAGAGAUUUGUUUAACCUGCAAAAGAAGUUUUCUUUACCUGUUUAAGCAAAACCUUCUGGUUAGAGUAUAUACAUUUUUUCUUUAAGUUCUCUAUGAAAAAACACAGUUUUCACAUCUAAGUGCUCUAGGUUUAUGUUAAAUACAACACAUAUUGCAAGGACUAUUUUGAUUGUCGUGAGUCGAAUUACUCGGGAAAAUAUAUCGUUAAAGUUAAUACAUUCUUUCUGAGCAUAUCCUUUCACUACCAAUCUUACACGAUACCGCUCUACUUGGUCAUUGCCAUCACGCUUGAUCUUGUAAACAUAUUUUUUUCCUAUGAUUUUUCUUUCACGUGGUAGUGGUAUAAGUUCCCACGUCUUAAACCUAUGUAGAGCUUUAAUUUCUACCUGCAUUGUUGUCAUCCACAAAACAACAUUUAAGCCAUUUAAAGCUUUAUGGAAAGUUGAUGGCUCUGCAUCCUCUGUUAGAAGAUAGUAUACAACAUUGAUCCUAUAACAUACUCUAAGUGCCACACCGACGGUUGUCUCUCGCAAGUUGACCGAUGAACUUCUGUAGCCUCAGACUCCACUGGUUCUUGCUUCUCAUGCUUUAGUGGUGUUUCAGAAUAAUCUAAAUCUUCUUUUCCCGGAUUAUUUUCAUAUACAUUGGUACAAUCUCUGACUUGUUCUUCAAAGUGCUAUCAUUCUCAUUUUUCUUUUGUAGUCGAUCUUCUACAAAGAUAACAUUUCUACUUAUGACAAUCUUGUGGGCAAUGAGAUCCUACAGAUAAUCUUGAUGAGAAUCUUGUAGUCAAUCUUCUUUCUUGAGCAUUGUAAGUGCAUAGGGCAUCCAUAUGCAUGCAAAUGAGAAUAAUCAGCAGGUUUCCUAGUCUACAUCUCCAUUGGUGUCUUUAACUUAAUUAUUGUAUGUGGCGAUCAAUUUACUACAUAAUAGGUGGAUUUGGUUAUUUCUAACCAAAAUGAGUUGACUAGAGCAGUCUUCAAUAUAACUUGUAUUCAUUCUGUAAGAGUAUUGUUCAUUCGCUCUGUCACUUCAUUCCAUUGAGGAGUGUAUGCCACAAUGAAUUAUUUUUUAAUACCUUUUUGCUUAUAGUAUAUAAAAAACUAACUAUUUGUAUAUUCUCCACUAUUAUUUAUUCCCCAAACUCUUGAUAUUUUUCCUGAAUUUAAGUUCCACCCGUGCUUUGUAUUCUUUGAACACUGAAAAUGCUUUUGACUUUUUCUUAAUUAGAUAAGUUGAGUGUUAGAAAAUGUAUAUUUAUAAAGGAGAAAACCGUCAUUUUACAUUUCAAGUCUUACUAACAACCCUUACUUUUAUGUAUUUAACCUUCUUGUGAUUUAAUUACAUGUGUUUUAUUUUAAUUAAGUAUUUUAUUUAUUUUAGGGGCAUUAUAGUCAUUUCACAAUAAAGGAGAGAUCAGACGGCAAAACGAACAUCACUUUUGAACUCAGGACGGUCGAAAACCUUAGGAGGAGCAUAAAAGGAAAAAUGACACUAUUCACAUGUACGGUACUAUUCACGUGUACGGUACUGUUUACAUUACUGUUCACGACACUGUUCACAUAGACGGAUCGAUGACGUGGCAUUGACCGAUGAUGUGGCAUUGACUGAUGAGGUGUCACGAUCCUGUUGGGCUAAAAUUCUUAUGUACUGUUGAUGAUGACGUGGCAGUAUAUCAGUGGAUGAAAAAUCUUGCGUACGGUACAUGCAUCACACAGGAUUAUUUUCAACCAAACCGCAUUACUGUUCAUCCAGGUCAAACCGUGUUACUGUUCAUCCGCGUGGUCAAACCGCGUACUGUUGACUGAUGACGUGGCGCAAUCCUGAGCGUCCAAACUAUUUUUAAUCCGAUGGCCAUGAUUUACUCCAUGUAUCUAUAAAAAGGGGGCCUCUCCCCCCUAAUUUGAUAUCUCCGAAUCCAUUUUUGGGAUCCAUUUUCUGUAAUUCCUUUUCCAUCUUGUAUUUUCUUCAUAUUUUAAUAAAUUUCCAUUUUGCCCCUAGUUCAAUUAUGAGUGGCUAAUUUUCUUUCAAGCUUGGGUUGAAGGUGAAGUCUCAACAUGUGUCAUGGGCUUUAUUUGGUAAAUUUAUUUUCUCUUCCCCUCUAAUUUUUGUGGAUGUUUUGACUUCUCGUCGACAAAUAAUACUAAUCUUGUCUAGUACCGCCUUGGUUUCACCGGCCCUCUAGUACAAGGUUAUUAUUAUUUGGCACGAUAAGCCCUUAGCACCAUAUUGAUUAGAGAGUGGUUCAUGAGGUGUGGAUUCCCCCCUCAUGAUUUAAUUGGCAUUAAUAAGGAUUAUUUAGUCCAUGAUGCAUGUUGAUACGGAUCCAGAUACCCAAGUAUGUCAUUUCAAUAGCUUUCUAUUCAAUUUAUUCUCGCCAUUUCAAUUCCAAUUGUAGAAUUUAAUCUCGCCAUUUCAAUUCCAAUUUUUAGGAUAAUUUAAAUCACUUCCACCAUAAUUCCAACCACCCAUUUACAAAAUUAAUUCUAUACACAAUUAAAAUCCACCUCCUCGUGGGAUCGACACUCGUCACCAUUAGUCUAUACUACAAUAGAUUCGUGCGCUUGCGAGUACAUUAAAAUUUGCACAACAAGAUACACCUAACAUCUCUUGGAAUAAUCAUCUAUGAAAGUCAUAAUGUACGUUACACCUCCUAGGGACAUAUUCCGGUGAUUCCCAAACAUUAGAAUGAACCAAGUCUAGAAUGCAUUUACUUUUGGUAUCAGAUUUACUGAACUUCAAUCUAUGUUACUUACUGGUAACAUAAUACUCAUAAAACAGUAAGUUCACCAAUUUGAGCCCCGAAGCAAUUUUCGUUCUAAGAGAAUCUUCAAACCUUAUUUUGACAUGUGGUCAAGUUUGAGAUACCACAUCAUCAUCGACUUUUCUCCAUUUGACGAGACACAUACAUUAGCUUCUUGUAAUGUUUCCUCUUUAAGUAUGAACUGACUAGCACUAAUUUUUUCCCAUCUUUAUCAAUACAAGCAUAUCUCUUAAAAUCUUCAUGAUUUUAUUGUCCACAUGAGUUUUAUAGUUAAGACUAUCUAUUUAUCCUAAAAACAAUAGAUUUUUCUUCAAUCCUUUGAUAUGUUGUACCUUCUGAAUUGUACGAACUGUACCAUUAAAUAUUUUUAUUUUGACAGUAUCAAUACCAACGAUCUCCAAGACAUGAUCAUCACCUAUAUAUUCUCUUAAAAUGGGUUCAUUUCUAUGGAACCAUUCUCUUCGAGAGGUCAUGUGCCAAGUGGUUCAUAAGUCUAUAAGCCAUACAUCAAAUAAUUGUUUUGUCUUCUGCAACCAUUGCUGCCUUGCUGUAUAAAAUGUCACCAUCAACUGAGGUACUUGCUACACGUCCUUAAACAUUUCAUGACUCAUGAUUUUUACUCUCUUUUCUCUUUUAGUUACUCCAAAACUUUUUCUUAACAUGCCCCAUCUUACCACAUUUGUAGCACCUAAUUUUCUUCUUCUUGAUUUUGAUCUACCAUGCACUGGAACCACGUUCCACUAAUUUUCGUCUCACCAUUAUUAGUGUUUCUGCUUGCUGCAAACUUGCUUGCCUAUCUUUAUUGUUCUUGCGUCUACCCACUUCCUCUAAUACAGAGGCUAUAACAUCGUCAAAGACUAAAUACUCUGUGCGGAUAUUAUUUGUCAAGUUGAUGAUGAUUUGAUCAUACCAGUCAGGUGAACUUUGAAAUAGAAGCUUUGCAUGUUCAAUUUUCGCUAUUUUAUGACCUAACAUUGUAAGUUGUAAAAAAAAAGUUUUCAAAGUGUUGAUAUAGUGGGUCAUUGAUAUGGUUUCUACCAUUUGAACACUAUAAAGUCUUCUCUUUAAGAAGAUUUUGUUGUGUAGCGACUUGGCCUUGUUUACUUUUGCAAGGGUAUUCCAAAUACACUUCCCUGUCUUUUGCUUUGCCAUACUGGAUAAUAUCUUAUCUGCAAGUGCCAAGUGUAGAUCAAUAAUUGCAUUGUCGUCCAUUUAAUUCCACUUGUCAUCGGUGAUUUCUAUAAACCUUUCUGCAAUUACUUCUAAAUAAUUAUUUUUCCUCGGGAUUGCUCAUGUCUUUAUUUUUCACAAUGAGAGAUUGCUCAUAUUGAACUUCUCAAUUUCAAACUUUGUUGCCAUUUUGUUAAUAAAUACCAUACACAAGUUAGUGUACCACCUUGAGUAGUUAUGAGUGAUCGCACGUGUGAAAAUGCACAGCAGAAAAGUUUCCAGGAAUGACUGGAGGGAUUACAACGGUGCCAUUUAAAACCCAAACUCUCUAGGCUCUUAUCGCCUUUGUGACGGAACUAUCCUAGACAUGUACAAGACCACGUGAUUACUUCUACUCACACCAAUACUCCUUACUUUACAUUGUGGAAUUCUUCGAUCGCUCCCACUAUUUUAAGUAAACAGUAUCAUAUACAUGAAGAGUAUUGUAUACGUGAACAAUAGCUGACUCCAAAAACUAUAACUAAAUGGCUCUGAUACCACUAUUAGGAAAUUGAUGUGUGAAGCAGACACAUAAUUAAAUUGAAAUUGAGAAAUAAUGAUCACAGGAUGACACCAUAAUUUAAGUGGUUCUGCUUUUCACCUACAUCCACGGGCGAAGGCAGAAGGAAAUAUUUUACUAGUGAAAAGGAGUUACAAGUACUGGAGUAUUUUGUCUCACAACCCAAAAAACCCAAUGCACCCAAACUCUCAAGACACUAGAAUAAGAGCUUAAAACUCUCAACACACUCUCAAUCUCCAAAUCUUGGCUCUUUCACUUCUCAAUUAGAUUGAGAAUUGAAGAAAAUGAGAUGAAUGAAGAGGGCAAAUAAAGCCUCUAUUUAUAGGCCAGGCAAUGCCCUAAAAUCAACAACAGUGGGCUUUAAAAUAAUAUAUAUUUUCAUUUAACUUUCCCCUUUGGUGUCAAAAACAAAAGUUGUGUGCUAGCUAAAUGCUUUCCACUUACUCAUGUCUCCCACUUACUUAACAAAUUAUGCCAAAAGUCAAAAGUUGCAUGCGAGCCACAUGAAAUUGUUUGCCACAUGCAUGUGCUUGUUCAACAGUAAAAACCACAAGCAAGGAUUUAACUAGUUUAAACAAGGACUACAAAACCUUCAACGUUGGUGGAUUUCACUAGUUUAAACGAGGAUCACAAAUUUAUCUUUUCUCUAAACAGUAAGAGAGAACUUGAAAUACAAGAAUGCAACCCAAGAGGGGGGGGUGAAUUGGGAUUCUAAAAAAUUAUUCAAUUUAUUAAAGAAAAUCUUAAUGCAAUUAUAAAUCAAAUUCAAAGCAAUAACAAUUAAGAGAAUCACAAUAUAAAAAGAUAAGGGAAGAGGGAUUCAAACACCGAGAUUUUUACGUGGUUCGGCCAACCUCGCCUACGUCCACGCCUCCAAGCUUUCCGGGCUUGAGGAUUCCACUAAGCAAGCCUCCAAGGCUUCAAAUGCUUACACUUGACUUCCAAGGUGUCAAUGAACCUUUACAACAAGAGAUUAUCCCCAAUCUCUUAACCCAAGUGUAUCCCAACACUUACAAUCACUCAAAAUAAAAGAUUAUAAAUUGUUUUGCCUCUCACAAUAUAUAAGAUUACACAAUGAUGCUUAAUAUGUGAAUAGAUGAAGCAAGAAUAUGUUCUAAGCUCUAUGAAGAUUGUAUUCUCGAAUAUUAGCUCAAAUGGUCGUGUUGUGAUCAAUCUUCUUUGAAUUUGAAUGAGCUUAUUUAUAUUUGGAGCCGAAAAUCUAGCCGUUACAAACUGUCGGACAGAAAACGGUUCGCUGUUAACCAUAAACGGUUAACCGUUUAGGCUGGUCAAAGUUACCGUUGGGCCAGAUUUCAAAUAAACGGUUUGCCGUUUAGGGUUGCCCUUUCGCCGUUAACUUCCAGAGACCUGCAAAAUGAGUAUUUGUUAUCCGUUUACGCUAAACGGUUAAGGACUUGCGUGAAGUGGCUUCUCUGGACAUUAUCGGUUAACCGUUUGAUAUAAACGGUUCGCCGUUUGUCUCCAGUAACCUGCAAAACAAUUUAGCCUUAUCAGUUUUCGUUAAUCAGUGCCAGAGGAGGACAACCUUCAAUUCUGGACGUUAUCGGUUAACCGUUUAAAAUAAACGGUUCACCGUUAGGUUCCAGUAGCCUUCCCAUCUUGGGUGUUUUCCGGUAAGCAUAAACGGUUAGAGCUUAGGUAAUAUGUUGCUCUCUGGUGAUAAUCGGUUAACCGUUUAAAAUAAACGGUUCACCGUUAAGUUCCAGUAACCUUCCCAUCUUUUGUGUUUUCCGUUUUUCAUAAACGGUUAGAGGUUUAGGAAAUAUGUUGCUCUCUGGCUGUUAUCGGUUAACCGUUUAAUAAACGGUUCACCGUUUAUAACCAGAAUUACAUUUUAAACCAGUUUUUUAUUUUUGCAGAGAAUCUUUUUCUAAUUUUAAAGUCCAUCUUUUAUGAAGCAUGAAUUGAAUGAUUACUAAGGCUCUCGUUUAUUAAGAAAUAGCUCCAAUACUUUUAUAAAAAAUCAUUUAAAAUUUGUUAUCAUCAAAAUCAAUAUUAUUAACAUAUUUAUGUUAACAAUCUCCCCCUUUUUGAUGAUGACAAAUUCUAAUCAAUGUUUAGCUCCCCCUUAAUAUGUGCUCCCCCUAAAUGUAUGGCCAAAUUGAGAAAUGUGAAUAAAAGGAUAUUUGCUUUAAAUUGCCCCAUUUUAAAUCCAUCUUAAAACAAAUAUCUCCCCAUUUAAAAACCAUCUUAAAAAAAUAUCUCCCCAUUUAAAAAACUAUCUUAAAAACUUAAAAACCAUCUUAAAAACUUUAAUUAUCUCCCCCUUCAUCAUCAAAAAGAAAAGAGGAAAUAAGAAAUACGCAAAUCCAUGAAAGAAAGUGCCCGGUUUUGGCAAACAAAAAAAAAAUUUUGGCAGAGUUUCCCCUUAAAAAUGAGUAAAACCAUAAAUACAAAAUGAGAUAAAACACUUCCAAAAUUAGAUCAACAUUAACUUCUGCUUUCAACAAGCCAACAACUCCAUGAACAAGACAAAAUAACACUUCAAUAUCCACAAAUAUACCAACACUCCAAUAUCCACAAAUAAACCAUUUCUACAAUAUCCAACCAAUUAGGCAAUCACAAAGCAUCAAUAAGCUAAUCAUCAAGAACAUCACACACAUAUGCAUCAAAAUCAAAAUAAUAAUAAAAAUGCUAGCAACCAAAAUGUAAAAUGUAUGUGCGAAGACAAAGCUCAGAAACUACGGAGGCGGAGAAGAUGUGCUCCCUGGAUCAUAGCCGAAAUAGCCGAGAAUAGUGCGCUGUCCAGCGAUAAGCUCCAUCUGCUGAUCAAGGCUCUGCCGCUGGAAUAUCUGAAAGUCAGAACGCAGCUGCUGGUGGUCCCGGGAAAGAGUGUCCAACCGAUCAAGAAUCAGCUGCUGGCGCUCCGAAAUCCGCUGAACAUCAGUGAUCAGCUGCUGCACUGCGUCUGAAGCAGGGGGCUGAACUGGAGCUGGAGGCGGCAUAGAGGCAGAUGGCUGCUCGGGAACAGCAGAAGGCUCAGGAGCAAGAGGCGGCUCGGAAGAGGAGGGAAUAUCAGCAUCCAUCGCACGCUCCUCAGAGUCUGAGUCAGCUGGAGGCUGAGGAACAAAACGGCGACGCGGAGGAUGAGGAUGAGCGCCUAGUCUAAAGUCAGGAAGCUGGUCGGGACGAUAGACAUCAUUGAGCAUCCGAUCGUCCUCUGGAGCAAUCAAGGUAUCCCGGUUUUUGGAGUUGCUUGUCUUUAUCCACACUCCAUUCUUUCUAGAGAAUCCGAUACUGGUUACUGCCUCGGAACCAAUCCGUCGAGUCUCCAUAUGUCCAGUAUCAAGAAGUGGCACCUCAAAGCGUCGCAGUAUUUUAGUGAUGAUACUGCCGUAGGGAAGCAAGCGGUGGUUGACCACUGGAGUACUCAGCAUAUGUCGCACAAUAAUAUACCCGAGGUUAAUGGGACGGUCUGUAAGAAGGCUAUCCAAUAAGGCGACGUCUAACCUCGUAACCUCAUCCGAGUGACCCUUCCUAGGAGUCACUAUGUGCUGUAGAAUAGAGUGAAGAAUACGAACUUGGAGCGGUAAAAGUUGAGACCGAAAUGGAAGCUGACAGACAUCAUCCGAUAAGUCUCGACGACGACAUAUAUUACGGACGCCGUGAGUAUGAGAAAAAGUAUCAAAGGAGAGGGUUUUCCUAGAGGUGUAGAUGUCAAUCCCCUCACAAGAGAUACCUAGAAAGUCAGCUAAGUCCGCAUCAUCAAAUUCUAUGGGUACACGGCCGACUUGAGUGACUAUCCUAUUUGGACGAGUAUUGGAGAUUUCCAUGUUCGAAUAAAAGACUCGCACUAAGUUUGGAUAAACUCGGUCAUCAAAAUCAAUGCCAGACUCCCAAGGCCGAAGCAUAUCCCGAAUACUUCUACCACAUACAACCAAAUUAUGGAAUUCAUCAAUGUCAACAAAGAAGGAGUCAAGUACCUUUCGACCAUUGAAGCGUUCUUCGAAUCGCUUGGCCAAGGAAGGAGUGGGGAAGUGAAUCCUUGCAAAUUCCGAGACUUCCCGAGGUGGUAUGGGAUUCCUUGGAGGCACAGAUUUACGUCUGAGAUUUCUCCGAGGAGGUUCAGCCAUGGAAACACGUAAUGAGGAGUAGAAGAUGUGAGUAGGAUGUUUAAUUUGGUUGAAGAAAGUUGGAAAUCGGAUUAAGGACAAGGAAACCCGACCCGCGACAGUUAGGGUUUAGAUUUGGGAUUUUUGAAUUUUGGGUUCGAUUUGAAGUUUUGAAUCGGUAGAAAUGUUCUAAAGGUGAUAAGAAAUGAUUUUGAAGGUUUGAUUUGGCAAGGAAAGCAAGAAAAAUGAGGAUUUGAGGACAGAGAAACCUUCGGCUGCGCAACAAUGGUGGAAACGGUGAAAGGGUAACUGGAGAAGAAGAAGAAAACCUUUAAACAGUUUAUACACUUCGCGAAAACGGUUAACCGUUUAUUGAAACGGUUAAAGGGUAACGUCCAGAGGCUGAAGAAAGGGAAACGGUGAAAGCCUAAGCGCUUAACGGCUAAGGAGUAACUGUUAGAGGACUCUCUGUUGAAAAACGGUUCACCGAUUGUGGCAAACGGUGAAAGGGUAAACGGGCAGACACAUAAUCUCGUUUCUGGAAUUAAACGGUGAUCCGUUUAUAGGAAACGGCUAACCGUUUAUUCAAUCUGUAAUUUCGCACAUUUGAUUUAAUUUUUGGCCAGCAAAUAAUAUAUUCCAAGAUCAUUUAAUUGAUCUGAAAAUAUUUUAUGAGCCAAUUUUAAUGCAUGAUUCAUGGACAUGUUUUCAACCAAUCAAUUCAUAUAAUCAAGAGUUAUUAAUGCAAAUUCAUCAUUUGUCUACCAAGCUCAAACAUUUCAUAAAUAGUAAUCAAUCAAUUCAGUACACUCAAUAGCAUGAAUAGAGAUGUUAAUGCAAAAAUUUCAUCAUCCCAAGUUCAUGCCGAAUUUUUGAAAAUUGUUCUUCGCAAAGCGGUUUUGUGAAAAUAUCGGCAAGUUGUUUUUCCGUGGAAAUAAACUCUAAUGCAAUAUCUCCCUUUUGAACAUGAUCUCUCAAGAAAUGAUGUCUUAUUUCUAUAUGCUUGGUUCGAGAAUGUUGAAUGGGAUUCUUUGAAAGGUUUAUAGCACUAGUAUUAUCACACUUAAUAGGAAUUUGUUCAAGAUUAAUGCCAUAAUCUCUAAGUGUUUGUUUCAUCCAAAGUGCUUGUGCACAACAACUUCCGGCAGCUAUAUAUUCAGCCUCAGUAGUUGAAAGUGCAACAGAAUUUUGUUUCUUGCUAAACCAUGAAACAAGAGAGUGUCCUAGAAUAUAGCAAGUUCCACUAGUGCUCUUCCUAUCCACUUUAUAACCAGCAAAAUCCGCAUCCGAAAAACAUGUUAAAUCUAUAUGAGUUCCCCUAGGAUACCAAAGGCCAAUAUCUAUGGUUCCACUCAAAUAACGGAAAAUUCUUUUAACAGCGAGCAAAUGAGAUUCCUUGGGACAUGACUGAAAUCUUGCACACAAACAUACACUAAACAUGAUAUCGGGUCUACUUGCAGUCAAAUAGAGUAGGGAUCCGAUCAUACCUCGAUACAUUUUGAUAUCCACUUCUUUACCUUUUUCAUCUUUGUCCAGCUUGGUUGUUGUGCUCAUUGGUGUAUUCUUGGUCUUUGAAUCAUCAAUGCCGAAUCGUUUGAGUAGAUCCUUUACGUACUUGGCUUGAUUUAUGAAAAUUCCUUCCUCGCUUUGUUUGAUUUGAAGUCCAAGGAAGUAUUUCAACUCUCCCAUCAUACUCAUCUCAAAUUCUUUGCUCAUACACAAUGAAAAUUCUUUACACAACAACUCAUUAGUAGAACCAAAAAUAAUAUCAUCAACAUAAAUUUGAACAAUAAGUAUGUCUUGGUUCUUAUGCUUAACAAAAAGAGUAGUAUCCGCUUUACCCAUAGAGAAGUCAUUUUCUAGCAAGAAAUUUUUAAGUCUAUCAUACCAUGCUCUAGGUGCUUGUUUUAAUCCAUACAAGGCUUUGAGCAACUUAUACACAUGAUUUGGAAAUUUUUCAUUUUCAAAACCAGGAGGUUGUUUCACAUAAACUUCCUCCAAAAUAUAUCCAUUUAAGAAAGCACUCUUGACAUCCAUUUGAUAUAAAAUAAAAUCCUUAUGACAUGCAUAUGCUAACAACAUCCUAAUGGAUUCUAACCUUGCUACAGGUGCAAAGGUUUCAUCAAAAUCAAUUCCUUCCUCUUGGUUGUAACCUUGAGCCACUAAUCUAGCUUUGUUUCUUACAACCACACCGGAUUCAUCCAUCUUAUUUCUAAACACCCAUUUAGUACCUAUUAUAGAUUGAUGUUCAGGUUUAGGAACUAGUUCCCACACAUUGUUUCUUUCAAAUUGAUUUAACUCCUCUUGCAUUGCCAUAAUCCAAGAUUCAUCAUUUUCUGCAUCCUCAAAGGAUUUUGGUUCAAUUUGAGAGAUGAAUGCAUUAUGCUCACAAGUAUUUCUAAGUGAUGAUCUAGUUGUUAUACCUCGUGAGGGAUCUCCUAAAAUUACAUCUUUAGGGUGAGAAGAGACAUACCUCCACUCCUUGGGGAGUGUUUGAGAAGUACCUUCAUUUUGCUCCACAUUUGGUUCUUCAUGAUGUUCCUCUUGAAUUCCAUGUGGUGCAUCCUCUUGAUUGUCAUUUGAUGCUUCUUCUUCUUGUUCUUCUUCUCUUGCAUCAUCAUCAACAACGACUUUCUUCGUAGAGGAGGGGUUAGACUCAUCAAAUGUGACAUGCAUAGAUUCUUCCACAACUAAAGUUCUUUUGUUAUAAACUCUAUAAGCUUUGCUUGAAUUUGAAUAACCAAAAAAAAUACCAACAUCGGAUUUUGAAUCAAAUUUACCAAGAUUGUCUUUUGUGUUCAAAACAAAACAUUUGCAUCCAAAAACUUUAAAAUAGCCAAUGUUGGGUUUUCUAUCUUUCCAAAGCUCAUAUGGAGUUUUAUUAAGAUUAGGUCUAAUCAACACCCGAUUUAAAACAUAACAAGCGGUGUUGACGGCUUCGGCCCAAAAAUAUUUUGGUAAUGCAUUUUCAUUUAACAUGGUCCUAGCCAUUUCUUGAAUAGACUUAUUCUUUCUCUCAACAACUCCAUUUUGUUGUGGAGUUCUAGGUGAAGAAAAUUGAUGCUCAAUGCCUAGAUUAUUGCAAAAACUCUCAAAUGCAUGAUUUUCAAAUUCUCCUCCAUGAUCACUCCUAAUGCAUACAAUACCAUGCCCUUUUUCAUUUUGUAAUUUCUUACAAAGCACUUUAAAUGCAUCAAGAGCAUCAUCCUUAUUGGCUAAGAAUAAUACCCAUGUAUAUCUAGAAUAAUCAUCCACUAUCACAAAAGCAUAAUAUUUGCCAUUUAGACUUGCAUAUCUAGAUGGCCCAAAAAGAUCUAUGUGAAGAAGUUCAAGUGGUUUUGAAGUAGAAAUAUGGUUUUUAUUCUUGAAAGAAGUUUUAAUUUGUUUUCCAAAUUGACAAGCUUCACAAAUCUUAUCCUUUUGAAAACCAAUUUUCGGAAGACCUUUAACUAAAUCAUCUUUCGAAAUUUUUGAAAUCAAAUCCAUACUUGCAUGUCCUAACCUUCUAUGCCACAACCAACAAUCAUCAUGCAAUGCCGAAAAAUAUUUAUCAAGAGUAGAUGCACAUUCUAUGUCAAUGAUAUAAACAUUACCACAUCUAUUUCCAACAAAUAAGGUUUUGCCAUCACAUGAGUUCUCAAUAACACAACUAAAUUUAUCAAAGAUAACUUUAUAACCUUUGUCACAUAAUUGACUAAUGCUAAUUAAGUUGUGUUUCAAGUUUUCAACCAAACAUACAUUCUCAAUUAGAGUUGAAGAAACUUUACCAACAUUUCCAAUUCCAAGGAUUUUUCCUUUUGAGUUGUCUCCAAAGGAUACGUCUCCACCAUUUUCAAUUUUGGUAAAGCUUGAGAACCAUGCAUAGUUUCCGGUCAUGUGCCUUGAACAACCGCUGUCCAAGUACCAUUUAUUCUUCUUCUUCUUCAAGCCCUACAAGAAAAAGUCUCAAGUUUUAGGUACCCAAAGCUUUUUGGGUCCUUGAGAGUUAGCAACGGUUCCUUUUGGAACCCAAAUGCACUUGACACCAUAAUAUGCAUUCCUUUUCACGGGACAUUUAAAUUUCAUGUGACCAUUUUGAUUACAAUAAUGACAUACAAUCUUAUGAUCAUUUGUGGAGGUAGCUUUAACAAAAUAAUUCUUAUAAUACUUUUGCUUCAAAUUUGGCUUAUAUCCAAGUCCUCCUUUAUCAAAAACACAUUUUUGUGAGUUAAGCAUAUUAUCCAACAUCUUUUGCCUAUUUGUAAAUUUCAAAACAAUUUCAUUUAAUUCAUUAUUCUUUUUCUUGAGCAAUUCGUUCUCAUUUUUCAACUCAUCUAUGUGUGAUUUCAAAUGCUCAUGUAAGAUGCUAGGUUUCUCAUUUGAUAAUGCAAUUUCAUCAUGCAAUGUUUUGUUUCCUACUUCUAGGCAUACAAUUCUUGCAUUUAGAGAUUCAUUUUCAUUUUUAAGCUUUGCCAUUUCCUUUUUAAGACAUACAUUCUUUUUACUAAUUUUCAUCAACUCAUUAUGCAAAUCUUGAAAAGCAUCAUAUAAUUCAUCAUAGGUAGGAUCACUUACCUCAUUGAGAUCAUCAUCUCCUCCUAUUGCCAUGAGUGUUAGGUUUGAUACUUCUUGCGAUCCUUCUUCAUCAUUUGAUUCUUCCUCACUAUCAUCCCAAGUUGCAACCAUUGCUUUCUUCUUGAGUUUGUUGAUAAGUGGGCACUCCGAUCUUAUAUGUCCAGGCUUCUUGCAUUCAUAGCAAGUGAUUGCCUCCUUCUUCUCCCUAUAGUUCUUGAAGUUUCUGAAAUUUCUUCGCUCUCCGGUUUUCUUGAAGAAUUUUCUGAACCUCCUUGCUAGCAUGGCUAGUUCUUCAUCAUCCGGUUCACUCUCCUCAUCACUCUCAUAUUUUGAAGCUUUGAGAGCAAUGCUUUUCUUCUUCUCCUCAUGUCCUCUUUCUGCAGCUAAAUCCUCUUCAUACGAAAUAAGAGAACCAAUUAAAUCAUCAAGAGGUAAAGUAUUUAAAUCUUUGGCCUCUUCAAUAGCGGUUCGUUUAGGUCUCCAUUCUUUUGGAAGAGACCUAAUGAUUUUCUUAACUUUCUCACUAUUUGAGAAGGUUUUCCCUAAGGCACCUAGGGUGUUCACUAUGUCCGUGAAUCUAGUAUACAUAGAAUACACAUUUUCAUUUUGUUCCAUUUGGAACAACUCAUAUUGACGAGUGUAUCUACUGAUUUUAGACUCUUUCACUUGAUUUGUCCCUUCAUAGACAACUUCAAGUUUGUUCCAUAUCUCUUGUGCACUUUCACAACUAGAUACUCUAUGGAAUUCUUUCUUAUCAAGGGCACAAAACAAAGCAUUCAUAGCCUUGGAGUUUAGAGACAUCUUUCUCUUUUCUAACUCACUCCAUUGACUCGAUGGUUUAGGAAUAUCAUCUCCUACUUCAUCUUUGAACGUAGGCAUGAAUGGACCAUCACAAACAACUUCCCAAAUUUCAUAAUCUAAGGCUUGCAAAUAAAUUCACAUUCUAGUUUUCCAAUAAGCAUAGUCAUUACCAUCGAAAAAUGGUGGUCUAGUUGUGGAUUGCCCUUCUCUAAAGGUUGAGUCAUUUAGGGUUGCCAUGGAUCUUUUACUCUAGACGAUUAAGUCUUAACAAGAGAACGAGGCUCUGAUACCAAUUGAAAUACAAGAAUGCAACCCAAGAGGGGGGGUGAAUUGGGAUUCUAAAAAAUUAUUCAAUUUAUUAAAGAAAAUCUUAAUGCAAUUAUAAAUCAAAUUCAAAGCAAUAACAAUUAAGAGAAUCACAAUAUAAAAAGAUAAGGGAAGAGGGAUUCAAACACCGAGAUUUUUACGUGGUUCGGCCAACCUCGCCUACGUCCACGCCUCCAAGCUUUCCGGGCUUGAGGAUUCCACUAAGCAAGCCUCCAAGGCUUCAAAUGCUUACACUUGACUUCCAAGGUGUCAAUGAACCUUUACAACAAGAGAUUAUCCCCAAUCUCUUAACCCAAGUGUAUCCCAACACUUACAAUCACUCAAAAUAAAAGAUUAUAAAUUGUUUUGCCUCUCACAAUAUAUAAGAUUACACAAUGAUGCUUAAUAUGUGAAUAGAUGAAGCAAGAAUAUGUUCUAAGCUCUAUGAAGAUUGUAUUCUCGAAUAUUAGCUCAAAUGGUCGUGUUGUGAUCAAUCUUCUUUGAAUUUGAAUGAGCUUAUUUAUAUUUGGAGCCGAAAAUCUAGCCGUUACAAACUGUCGGACAGAAAACGGUUCGCUGUUAACCAUAAACGGUUAACCGUUUAGGCUGGUCAAAGUUACCGUUGGGCCAGAUUUCAAAUAAACGGUUUGCCGUUUAGGGUUGCCCUUUCGCCGUUAACUUCCAGAGACCUGCAAAAUGAGUAUUUGUUAUCCGUUUACGCUAAACGGUUAAGGACUUGCGUGAAGUGGCUUCUCUGGACAUUAUCGGUUAACCGUUUGAUAUAAACGGUUCGCCGUUUGUCUCCAGUAACCUGCAAAACAAUUUAGCCUUAUCAGUUUUCGUUAAUCAGUGCCAGAGGAGGACAACCUUCAAUUCUGGACGUUAUCGGUUAACCGUUUAAAAUAAACGGUUCACCGUUAGGUUCCAGUAGCCUUCCCAUCUUGGGUGUUUUCCGGUAAGCAUAAACGGUUAGAGCUUAGGUAAUAUGUUGCUCUCUGGUGAUAAUCGGUUAACCGUUUAAAAUAAACGGUUCACCGUUAAGUUCCAGUAACCUUCCCAUCUUUUGUGUUUUCCGUUUUUCAUAAACGGUUAGAGGUUUAGGAAAUAUGUUGCUCUCUGGCUGUUAUCGGUUAACCGUUUAAUAAACGGUUCACCGUUUAUAACCAGAAUUACAUUUUAAACCAGUUUUUUAUUUUUGCAGAGAAUCUUUUUCUAAUUUUAAAGUCCAUCUUUUAUGAAGCAUGAAUUGAAUGAUUACUAAGGCUCUCGUUUAUUAAGAAAUAGCUCCAAUACUUUUAUAAAAAAUCAUUUAAAAUUUGUUAUCAUCAAAAUCAAUAUUAUUAACAUAUUUAUGUUAACAGAACUAUUACUCAUUUUCGUAAUAGUUGGGGGCUUAGGCCUAAGAUGCAAAGGUAUGCAUCCAACUUAAAUGACUAGUUUUUCACUAGUGAAUUUGGGACACACAACUCAAUAGAGAGAACACAGCACUCUCUCACAAAGCUUAGGCCCUGUUUGGCAUUAUUUUCUAAAUGAUGUUUUCAUGAAACAAAAAUGAGAAUGGAAAUGACGUUUUCAAAUUUGUUUUUAAAAUUUAAAGUGUGUUUUGUAUCAUUUUAAAAAAUAAUCUUGAAAAUGAAAAAAGUUAAAUACUUUCGAUAAGAAAAUCUUCAAGAAUUAUUAUUAGAAUAAUUUUCCUAAACUUAAAAUUGAGUAAUGAAUAAUUAUUUUUAUUAUUUAAUCAGUUUAUUUUUUUAAUUUUAAGAAUAAAUUAGGUGAUCCCAUUAUUAUUUUUUGUUUAAAGAAAAGUUAUAAACUCUACAUAUUUGAUUUAAUUAAUAUAUAAAAACAUAAAUAUUAUAAUGUAUAUAAAAAGAAAAGAUUAUUGUGGAGGAGGGAAAUCAAUUUUUUGGGAAUAAUAAUAAUAAUAAUGUUGAAAUUAUUAAUAUUUUUUGAGGUGUUGGAAGAAAAUUGUUCAUUUUGAAACUUAAUACUGUAUUGGAAAAUAAGGAAAACAAUAAAAAGCUGUUUUCCUAUUUCUUUUGUUAAAAAUGUAGAAUGAAUUUUAUAUUUUCAAAAAUAUGUUCAAAAAUGAUCUACCGAACAAGUAUUUAGUGUUUUCUGAAUGCAAAAAACAAGAAGCAGGAUUUGGAAACAAUACUAACGUACCUUUACUUGCUCUCAAACAAUGAUCUUGCAGAUACUUUAUUUUAUCGAAAUGAACCUCAAACAACUUUAUUUGCUUCUGGCUGUCAUUGACUCAUUGACCAUUAGCAAUAUAGCAUUAGGUAGUGCCCUCUCUUUUCUUUUUUGUCUUUGUCUUCUCCAAUUCGGGCUACAAAUGUUGCGAAGAAUUCCUUUUCCAUCUCCUCUCCAUUGUUUGGCUUCAAUAUUUUGGAGUUGAAUGGAAUCACAAUUUCUCACCUAUUGUCACACAAAGUUUCGAAUACAUUAUUAUAUAAAAGUGUAAGUUAAAAAAAAUUAGAAUAAAAUUUAAUAAUAUCAUAAAAAAAUUUAUAUUUUACAUCAUCCAAUUUUUGAUAAAAACUCAAGUAGAUAUCACAAGUAACGCAGCACCAACAUUUGAUUUUUUUCUACUUUUGUACCCAAUUUUGAGCCAGAGUUAAAGUAAAUAACUUUUAAUUAAUUAUGAAAAAAUAAUAAUAAUAUGAGAUCGACGGGUCCCAUCGAGAUUUUCUUAUCUCUUUAGUAAAUUUCCUGCAUAUUUAUUUUGCAUCAACCUUAACAUUGUAUGUGAAAAAUUUCUGCAUAUUUAUUUUGUCCUACGGAGACAAUAUUUUGAGAUUCAUAUACAAUUAACAUAAGGAAGCUUCCAAGAAAUUUCUGGGUGGACUUCAAAAUGAGAAAAGAAAUUAAAUUUGUUGGACCACCAUCAUGAAAUUUUAAAUUUUUUGGACCCCAAUCUGCCUUUGUCUUUUCAUCUGAUUGGAAGCCACUUGAUGACAGUGACUGAUCAUUGACCAUUUGGUGCUCUCUUCUCUUCGUCUUCUAAUUCAACUUACCCUCAUCAAAUUAAACGAUCAUUCUAGGCAUCUUCUUUGAAAUUAUUUGUUGCGACAAUCCCAUAAUAUACGGCAAAUAUCAAUCGCAUAAAGCAUACAAGGAUAAGUCAAUGUUUACGGGGAAAUAUAAAAAAAAAAAAUAUUUCACUAUAAAAAUAUAUAGUGAAAUAUUUGAUCAUUUCUCUAUCUACUCUAAAUAAAGACAAUCUGCCUUUGUCUUUUCAUCUGAUUGGAAGCCACUCGAUGACAUUGACUGAUCAUUGACCAUUUGGUGCUCUCUUCUCUUCGUCUUCUAAUUCAACUUACCCUCAUCAAAUUAAACGAUCAUUCUAGGCAUCUUCUUUGAAAUUAUUUGUUCCGACUAUCCCAUAAUAUACGGCAAAUAUCAAUCGCAUAAAGCAUACAAGGAUAAGUCAAUGUUUACGGGGAAAUAUAAAAAAAAAAAAAAAAAAAAAAAAUUCACUAUAAAAAUAUAUAGGGAAUACAAAUAUUGAAAUAUUUAUCACAUAAACCAAAUUCUUAAUAAAAUCAAGUUCUUAGAUCACUCGAAAACAUUUUAGUUAUCUCAAAGCUAAAGAAUUGCUUCUCAUAGAACACACGUUAAGUUUUCAAAUUGUUGGAGACUUUUCUAACACUGGCUCAUGGAUUCUGCAUCCAAUUUAUAGGCAAAUCUAGAUUUCAAAUGUCAAGAAUAACGGAAUCUAAUAGCUCGCAAUUAGAGCAUGCAAAUCUUGACUUUUAGAAUGCGAAAUCUCUGACUUUUAGGCCUGGUGAAAAAGUGAACAACGAACAUGGCUUGUUUCCAAUUGCACGAUAAAAAAAUUCUAGUGGACGGUAAUUAUUGAAACAUGAAUAACGAGAAAUAUUUUAGAUGGUGUAUUAAUUUAAAGAAAAAAACGUACUAAAAAAUCUAAGUCGUGUAUUGAUGCGCAUGGGAGUUGUUAAUAGACCCAAUUGUUGUAGUUAAUUAGAUGACUCAAUGUAUCGGCUUUGACUGUGAUCUGAGAGAUGAAAUUACAAAUAUAAAUGUGGGUAAUAAAAGAAAUUUUCUUGUCAAAAUCUUUAAAAAAUACGCUGAAAUGUCCGGGGAAAAUUUUUGUUUUUUUUUUCCCCUCAGACGUGUAGUUUGGGGCAAGCAAAGUUUUUUCUCUUCUAAUAUAAAUAGGAAAAUUAUGAUUUUUUGUCCUUCACAUCCAGAAAGGCUCAAGGAAAGUAAGUAAUCGUGAGUAUGAGUUUAUUGAAAAAUAUGCUGUGAGAUUAAUUGGUCUUUUAUUUUAUUUUUAUUUUUAUUAUUUUCUUUAGUGACGGUGGCGAAUAGUAUUUACACCUUUUUUUAAUAUUAAUUUUUAACCAUCAUUCACUAUUUCUUUUGUUUUUUUGGAGAAACGCGGUUCAACAGUAACCAUAAAGCUGCAUUUAAUUGUGGAGGGUGCACAAGAGUAAUAUAGAGUGUUUUAGUCUAUUCAGUGUGCAAAUAACCCAAUGUUAUAAGAGUUAUGAAUAUAUGUUGUAUGUAUUUGUAAUAUUUUUGUUUUGGGAGGGGCUUAUAUUAAUUUAAGAAUUCAACUUCAAUCUAGACAUCAAAAUAUGACCAUUUAUUUCGUUCAAUCAAUUAACCCACGAAUUUAUGGUCAGACCCUUGGAUUGUUUGUUGAUUGGAGAGGCUAAAAUUGAGUGGGAAAGUAAAGCAAUGAGGAAUAGAAAAGAUCUAUGGCAAAGAUCGAUGAACAGUGGGCAUGAUUUAAUAAUGAAUUACAGAUAUGUUGGCGUUACGGAAUAUGUUGUUGACAAAAUUAUGGAGUCUUGAUUUCUUGGGGAUGAAUUUUUUUUGUUUUUUCAAUUUAGGUUAGGAAUUGUUAUUUACUAGUAUAAUCGUUGAGGAAUGAGGGAAAAGAGUCGGUAUUCUUUCUCUCUUUCUUUAUUAAGUUUUAAUAUGUCAUCUAUGCUUUUUGUUUUCUGAAUCUUAUUUUAUUAAAGUUUUAUUAUCACAUAAUCAAUUAUCUCAUACCGUGGAUUGAAUUAAAUAAAUUUUCAAGUUUUCAUGCUUAGAUUACAAUCAAAUUCUUAAGUUAAAAUCCCCCUCCCGUUUGUUUUGUCUCUAAAAAAAAAACAUUGGUACUAAAAAAUAAAUAAUCUUAUUUUUAAUGAAAAUAUAAUAUUUUUAGUCUUCUAAUUUGUUUAUUUUAAAAGUAACUCAUUCACUGCUUUGUAAAAUCAAAAUCUCAUGUGGCAAUGAAUUUAUUUUACAAGAAGUAAUUUUAAAAAGUUUUUAUCAAACACUUAAAUUAAUCAUUAGCUUUUCAAUAUCACUUUUGAACAUCCCAACAACAAUCUCAAAUUGGUCAUAAAUUAUUUCGUUUUCUAGAUAAUAAAUGUAAAUUGAUGGAAAUAAUUUUUAUAUCAUAAAAGUAAAAAUAAUUUUAUUAUUUGUAUCAAAUUAAUAUUAUUUAGAUAUAUUUAUAUUUAAUUAUUAUGUUAGUAAAUUAUCAAAUAAUAUUUUUAUUCAUAAUAAGACAAAUUUAUGGUGUGUUUACUUCAUGGAAUGAGAAAUGGGAAUGAAGGAAUGAGAAUGAAACCCAUGUUUACUUGGCAAAAUGUAAGUUGGGAAUGGAAAUAAAAUGUGUGGGUCUCACAUAAUUUGGGAAUAAGGAAUGGGAAUCCCAUUUCCAUGGGGGGGUUGUGAAUGAAAAUGAGGGAAUAUGAAUGAAAUAUAUGUUUACUUUUGUAUCUCUCUAAUUUUUUCAUAUUUCCCAAAUUACCCUCAUUCAAAUCACAAUUAAUUUUAUUAUUUUAAAUGUCAUUAAUAAUAAUAAUUAUUAUUAUUAAAUUUUAUUAACUUUAUUAUUUUAGUUAUUAUUAAUUAUUUUUAUUAAUAUUAUCUAUAUUAACAAUAAAAAAUGAUAAAAAUAAUAAUUAAUAAAAAUAAUUAAUUUAUCAUUAUUAACAAUAUUAUCAUUAUUGUUGUUAUUAUUAAUAAUAAAAAUAAUAAUAACAAUAAUUAAUAAUAUCUAAAAUAAUAAAGUUAAUAAAAUUUAAUAAUAAUAAUGUAAUUUUCAUUAUCUAGAUACAUGUAUAAAUUAUAUUAUAAAAAUGAUAUUAAUUAAAAUAAUAAUAAAUGUUAAUAAUGAUAAUAUUAAUAAAAAUAAUAAUAACAAUAAUUAAUAGUAACUAAAAUAAUAAAUUUAAUAAAAUUUAAUAAUAAUAACAAUAAUAAUAAAUGUUAAUAAUGAUAAUAUUAAUAAAAAUAACAUUAAGAGUAAUUAAUAAUAACUAAAAUAAUAAAUUUAUUAAAAUAUAAUAAUAAUAAUAAAUAUUAAUAAUGAUAAUAUUAACAAAAAUAAUAAUAACAAUAAUUAAUAACAACUAAAAUAUUAUUAAUAUUAUUUUUAUUAAUAAUAAUAAUAACAACAAUAAUAAUGGUAAUUUUGUUAAUAAUUAUAAAUUAAUUAUUUUUAUUAAUUAUUAAUAUUAUGAAUAAUUUGGUAAAUUGAUUCUCAUUCUCAUUUAUUAUUCUAAUUUAUUUUGCCAAAUAAACAUAUCAAUGACAUUCCAGCACAUUUUUAUUUCUAUUUAUUUUUGUCAAAUAAACAUUAAAAUUUCAUUCUCAUUUCUUAUUUUCAUUCGAGUCCAUUCUUAUUUUUAUUUCUUAAAGUAAACGCACCAUUCGAGAAAAAUUAGAAGGUGUUUGCUAGGAAACUUAAGAGAAAAAUUAAUAUGGAACUGUCCCACCACUUGGGAUUCUUUCACGUAUUGUUUCAGUGGAUCUGAUUGAAUUUUAUUUUGAAAAAUCAAUUGAUAAUACUCGGAUGGUAUAGCCUGGUAGGGUGAUACUCUAAGCGGUCCCUUUAACCUUUUUAGUUGUCGUACACGAAUUAUUUCUUCACUUGAAAUAAAAGUCAACAAAGCUGCAUCUUCACUGAAAUUAUUGUCCACAGUGCUUCCUGGAAAAUGAGAUAAAGAUAAUUUUAAAGAAACUUUUAGGAAAUUUUCCGGGAAAUUUUUGCUUUUUCUCUUCAAACGUAAAGUUUGGGGGCAGAAAUGUUAAAGGUUUAAAGGUGGGUACAAUUAUUCUUCUUCUUGUUAUUUAAGCAUUUCCUUCCAUUCACAUUAGUCGGUCUUCAAUUAAUUUUAGAUAAGGAGAUGAAACUACCACAAAAUUAACUCCAAGUGAAGGACUACUAAAGUAGCCAUAUAUUCCACGCACAUUUUAUUCAAUUAAUUAAUUUAUGAUCACAUCCCACAUCAUAUUAUUAUUGUAUCAACUUGCACGGUCGUAACAAUUAACAUAAAUUUUCAUUAAAAUUAUUACAUUAAUUUUUAAAUAGAAAUAAGAAAAAAAUUCUUAAUACUGAAAAAACAUAAGAUGAAAUCGUGUGUCGUUUGUCACGAGUCAAACUUUUGAGAAAAAUACACGAAUGAAUGUGGCGCGUAAAAGGUGUUGAUGUACUAUCAACAUUUUCAUUUUAUUUUUAUUGAACUUUCAUAUAUUUUUUUUAUAAGCUGUCAUCAAUUAUUUGUUUCUUGCUCUGCGCGUGCACGACAAGACCUACUAUUUGCACCCUUUUAACCCUUUUAGUUGUCAUGCACUAUUUUCCUUCUUCACUUGAAAUGAAACAGUCUGUAAAGCUGCAUCUUCAGUGGAAUUCUUAUCCGCAGUGCUUGGAAAAUAAGACGAAAUUGAUUAUUAGUUGGGUCUUCCUAAGCUACAACUCAUGUAAUUUGAACUUUACAUGUUUCGCAUGAGUUGUAAAUUACAUAUUUUUACAUGUUUUGCAUGGAUUGUAAAUUAUAUGAAUUGUAAAUUAGCAAAACCCUUAUCACGAAACUUAAGUCUCAGGAAGAUUCCCCCUUCCAAGCAUAAUGUGUUCUUGAUUUCAUCUCGUCGAAAUUUCGAAGUUGGUAACUGCUUUUGGUAAUUAUAUCUUCAUCACUUGCAAUCUUUUAUUGCUUUUCCAAGUUAAUUUUUAGGGUAAGUAUCAUAAACCUCUGCUAGAUUUGAUUUAUUCACAGUUUCAUAGAUUGUAUUCGUAUAUUCUCAAAUACCUCCCUUAACGUUAGUAUAAUGUUUCUUUGAUUGUUUGUUGCAUAAUAAAUUAUCAAAAUACUCCAGCAAAAAUUAUUUUAUACUGAAAAUAAAGAAUUCUGUACCAACAUGUUUGAUUUGGCGCCAAGGGAUGUAAAUAUAAUUAAAAUACCAAAUCACCCCCCACUACUUUUUAAAAUGACUUUGAUGGAUGAAACAAACAAAAGAUUUGACUUAUGUCAAAUAUCAGCGAAUUCGAAAGGAAGCUUUUUUGCACUUUGCCUCAUUGCUCUGCUUUCUACAUCAAAUUUCUUUAAUCUUGGUGAAGAUUUUGGUGUCCCGAUUUGUGUCUCUCUCUCUAAUUUUCUAUUUUUCAUUUCAUGAGCACAUCUUCCCUUAAAAUUGUAGAGAUACUAUAUGAAAUCACCAAACCAUGAAAAUAUUAUAUUAGAGAAAAAAAACAAUUAUAACUUAAACAAUAUUUGUAAUCAGCAUUUGCACUUUCAUUCAUGGUUAAUUUCUUUUAUACAUAACGAAAGCUUGAUUAGGGAGAGAGAAUUUUAGUCGAUCCCAAAAGAUAUUCAUAAGAAGAAAAAAUUAUUGGCUAAAUUCAAGCCUUGAGCAAUAAUAAAUUUUUGGCCAAAUCGAAAUAUAUAACAACUUCAUGCAAUUUUAAUUCAGUUGAAUAAUAUAUGGGUUUUCAUGAUCACGUAUAAAUUUUCUCGCGCUAUCAAUUAUCGCGUCGCAGUCAGCUUUCUAUUAUCCAUUCUGCAUUCAAUCAACCUAUCAUAUUCUAUCUCUUCAAUUAAUUUAUUUCGUGAGCUUUGUCAAACUAAUCAAAUUAAUUCAUUAAUGGAGCAAAACCGUGAAGGAUUAUUUUUCAAACUUUUUAAGAAAAUAAACAUGUUAGCAACCAAUCAGGGGCAUGAAAAUGGUUGUGCAUAUAUAUCUUUGUUGACAAUUCCUCUUUGAAAUUAAUUGUCUUGUUUAGGUUAUAAUAGUAUUUUAUGUUAGAGUUAUUUUAUUAAUAAAAAAUUUAGUUAAAAAAGGGUCUAAUGAAUAUUUUGGAGGGUUUAAAUAACCUCACCUUUUUUUUUUUAUCAUUAAUAGAUGCUCUUAUGAUUUUAUCCUCACCAACCUAAUUUAUAUGAAAUAGUAUACUAUCGCUAGGGGAGAUAUUUAAAAAUAUGUGAAUAUAAUUUAUAAAUAGAGAAUACGCCAAAAAUUAGGGGAGGUUUCCGAUAAUUACCCUUUCAGUUACUCCUCCUCAAUCCGUCCUGGUGCAUGAACUUGAGGGAAGGGUCAGGUUCUGUGGUGGUGUUAAUAAAAAGAUAAAUUAUAUUGGAAAGUAAAUGGUGUUUGUUGGGAAAUUCACACCCUUUAACCUUUUUAGCUGUCAUUCGCUGUUUUCUGAUCAAAAUGAGUCAACAAAGUGAUUCAACUUCCAAGCACCGACAUAUUCCACAGUUCUGUGAUUCAAUUAAUGUUUUAUCUGAUCAAAAUCUAUCUAAUCAAUUGAACUGUUUCUGCUAUGGCUUCAGGUACCAGUACCACAAUUAACAUGUAAAUUAGAAGGAUCAUGCUAAGUUACGAUUUAUAAAAUGGGAUGUCCGAUAUACUUAGAUCCCACCAGUUAAUUCAUUGGGUUUAUUUUAGAGCAUCUCUAAAAAUUUUUAUAAAUUUUAUUUUUUAAAUAUUUAUUUACUUAUUUAUGUAGUAAAUAGAAGGGUGAAAAAAUAUGAUAUUUUUAAAAAAAAUUUUUUUAAAUAAAAUAAAAUAAAUAUUAUUUUAAUUAAAUAAUUAUUUUUUUUAAAAAAAAGUCAAUAGUAAUUAAAGUAUUUCUUUCUCUUUCUCUAAUAAAAAAUAAUAAAAUAUAAAUUGAUGAAAGAGAAAUCAACUCUCUAAAUUUAAAAAGUGAAAAUCAUUUCUUAUUUAAAAAACUUAAUUAGAAUAUCUUUUGAAACCUUAAAUAUUGAUGUGUCUCUUCAAAUAAAUAAUAAAAUCUUAUUUGAAAUUUUUUUUAAUGAUGCUCUUAAUUUUGCCUAACAUAAUUUGUACGGUAGGCGAGCCGAAGGUUUAAUAAAUCACGUGUUCAAUAAGAAGCGAUAAAAAAUUGUUAAACAUAAUUCUAUAUAUUAUGGAAGUGGUGUAAAUCGCGUAUUUAUAGAAAAAAGUCAUAUAUUGAUCUACAAGUGAGUGGUCAAUAGACACUCUGUAAUUAAUUAGAGGAGCUGUGAUUUGAGAUAUGAAUUUACAAAUGUAAAUUUCGGAGGAAAAAAAAAAUUUCUAGUCAAAAUCUUUGAAUACUGUAGUGAAUUGAAUGAAACUCGUCGCUUUUUCUGGGAAAUAUUUUAGUUUUUUGUCAUUGCCUCACAUUAGUCGGUCUUCAGUGGUCGUGAAGCAUCCAUAUGUCUCACGUGCAUUUCAUUCAAUUAAUUAAGUAUUAUCACAUCCCACAUUAUUGUUUCACCUUGCACCGUUAGAAUAACUAACAAGAAUCUUUAUUGAAAUUAUUGUGUCACUUUUAGAAAAGAGAUAGGAAAAAAGUUGAAUUCACAAGCCCAACUUAAUUAAAGUUUUACUGUCAUAUAAUCAAUUAUCUCAUACCUUAGAUUGAAUUAAAUAAAUUUUCAAAAUUUGAUGCUUAGAUUACAAUCAAAUUCUUAAGUUAAAAUAUCCCUUCCCGUUUGUAUUUUAUUUAAAAAAAUCGUUGGUACUGAAAAAUAAAUAAUCUUAUUAUUACUGAAAUAUAAUAGUUUUAGUCUUUUAAUUUGUUUAUUUUAAAAGUAACUCAUUCACUACUUUGCAAAAUUAAAAUCUCCUGUGGCAAUGAAUUUAUUUUACAAGAAGUAACUUUAAAAUUUUUACCAAACACUUAUAUUAAUCAUUAGCUUUUCAAUAUCACUUUUGAACAUCCCAAUAAGCAUAAACAACUAUUUCAUUUUUUAAAUAAUAAAUGCAAAAUGAUUGAAAUACUUUUUAUAUCGUAAAAGUAAAAAUAAUUUUAUUGUUUGUAUCAAAUUAAUAUUACUUAGAUAUAUUUAUAUUUAAUUAAAUUAUUAUAAAAUUAUUAAAUAAUAAAAUAAUCUUUUUAUUCAUAAUAAGACAAAUUUAGAGAAAAAUUAGAUGGUAUUCGUUAGGAAACUUUAGAGAAAAAUGAAUAUGGAACUGUCCCACCACUUGGGAUUCUUUCACAUAAUCUUUCAGUGGAUCUCAUUAAAUUUUAUUUUGAAAAAGGGUAAUUUUUAAAAACUCUCCUGAAGUUUGAGCUUGUUGUAAGUAGAUGGCGAGAAUUUGUUUAUUUGUAAAAAACCCCAUACCAUCAGUUAACUUUAACAUUGACCGUUAGUUGACUGUGCAAAGAUAAUAUUACCCUUAACAACAGUUUGUAGAUGGAAAUAACAAAAAAAAAAAUUAAAAUUGUUGGCUAUUUUACCCUCUUUAAAUUAUUGAUAUUUUCUUAAAGUUCCUACAAGAAAGAUAAAAUUAAAAAUUUGAAAAAUUCUCUUUAAAUUAUUGAUAUUUUCUUAAAGUUCCUACAAAAAAGAUAACAUUAAAAACUUGAAAAUGAAAUAAUUAUAAUUUUUACCUAUGAUAUUGUAAAUCUUUGGAAUUGACAAGGAUAAAAUUGUCAAAAAAUAGGAUUUGUUCUUUUCGCACCAAUAAUUUUAAUUUUUUUUAGUUAUUUUCGUUUACAAACUAUUAUUAAGGGUAAUAUUGUCUUUACAUAGUCAACUAACGGUCAAUGUUAAAGUUAACUGACGGUAGGGGGUUUUUUACAAAUAAACAGAUUUUCACCAUCUACUUGCAACAAGCCCAAACCUCAAUUGAUGGUAUAGCCUGGUAGGGUAAUACUCUAGGUGGUCCCUUUAGCGUUUUUAGUUGUCGUACACUUCACUUGAAAUAAUAGUCAAUAAAGCUGCAUCUUCACUGGAAUUAUUGUCUACAGUUCUUCCUGAAAAAUGAGAUAAAAAAUAAUUUUAUGAUAAAUUAUUUAAAUAUACUCAUAAGAAAUUAUUUUUUAUAAAAAAUGAGUGCUUAAAAUAACUGUUUAGAGUGCAAAUAAUAUCGUCUAAUUAAUUGAUAAUACUCCCAGCACAAAUACAAUUUCUUAAUAGGACACGUGUCAGUAGAAUUGAGCACAGAAGCGUGAUUGGAAAAGUCUAUGGUGGAUUGUUGGGAAACUUAUACCAUCUCCACCUUUUUAUAAGAAAUUAUUUUUAAUAAUAAUAAUAAUUUAUAUCAUGAGUAUUUUUAUGAUAAAUUUUUUAUAAAAAAUGAGUGCUUAAAAUAACUGUUUAGAGUGCAAAUAAUAUCGUCUAAUUAAUUGAUAAUACUCCCAGCACAAAUACAAUUUCUUAAUAGGACACGUGUCAGUAGAAUUGAGCACAGAAGCGUGAUUGGAAAAGUCUAUGGUGGAUUGUUGGGAAACUUAUACCCUCUCCACCUUUUUAUAAGAAAUUAUUUUUAAUAAUAAUAAUAAUUUAUAUCAUGAGUAUUUUUAUGAUAAAUUUUUUAUAAAAAAUGAGUGCUUAAAAUAACUGUUUAGAGUGCAAAUAAUAUCGUCUAAUUAAUUGAUAAUACUCCCAGCACAAAUACAAUUUCUUAAUAGGACACGUGUCAGUAGAAUUGAGCACAGAAGCGUGAUUGGAAAAGUCUAUGGUGGAUUGUUGGGAAACUUAUACCCUCUCCACCUUUUUAUAAGAAAUUAUUUUUAAUAAUAAUAAUAAUUUAUAUCAUGAGUAUUUUUAUGAUAAAUUUUUUAUAAAAAAUGAGUGCUUAAAAUAACUGUUUAGAGUGCAAAUAAUAUCGUCUAAUUAAUUGAUAAUACUCCCAGCACAAAUACAAUUUCUUAAUAGGACACAUGUCAGUAGAAUUGAGCACAGAAGCGUGAUUGGAAAAGUCUAUGGUGGAUUGUUGGGAAACUUAUACCCUCUCCACCUUUUUAUAAGAAAUUAUUUUUAAUAAUAAUAAUAAUUUAUAUCAUGAGUAUUUUUAUGAUAAAUUUUUUAUAAAAAAUGAGUGCUUAAAAUAACUGUUUAGAGUGCAAAUAAUAUCGUCUAAUUAAUUGAUAAUACUCCCAGCACAAAUACAAUUUCUUAAUAGGACACGUGUCAGUAGAAUUGAGCACAGAAGCGUGAUUGGAAAAGUCUAUGGUGGAUUGUUGGGAAACUUAUACCAUCUCCACCUUUUUAUAAGAAAUUAUUUUUAAUAAUAAUAAUAAUUUAUAUCAUGAGUAUUUUUAUGAUAAAUUUUUUAUAAAAAAUGAGUGCUUAAAAUAACUGUUUAGAGUGCAAAUAAUAUCGUCUAAUUAAUUGAUAAUACUCCCAGCACAAAUACAAUUUCUUAAUAGGACACGUGUCAGUAGAAUUGAGCACAGAAGCGUGAUUGGAAAAGUCUAUGGUGGAUUGUUGGGAAACUUAUACCCUCUCCACCUUUUUAUAAGAAAUUAUUUUUAAUAAUAAUAAUAAUUUAUAUCAUGAGUAUUUUUAUGAUAAAUUUUUUAUAAAAAAUGAGUGCUUAAAAUAACUGUUUAGAGUGCAAAUAAUAUCGUCUAAUUAAUUGAUAAUCCUCCCUGCACAAAUACAAUUUCUUAAUAGGGCAGAAUUGAACAUAGAAGCAUGAUUGGAAAAGUCUAUGGUGGAUUGUUGGGAAAUUUACACCCUCUCUACCUUUUUGGCUGCAUUCACUGUUUUCGUAUUUCUUCACUGGAUAUGAAAGUCAGGAAGAAAGCUGCACCUUCAGUGAAAUUAAUUUGUCCACAGUGCCUCGAAAAUGAGAUGAAAUUAAUAAUUAUUCCCGAAACUUUUUUGUAGGGGGGGUAGGAGGGAUAUAUUUUAUUUCAUAUAUUUACUUCUCCGUUUAAGAUCCUUCCACUACAAUCAAUGAUGCAACUUUUUGAACCAUUUCUCAAAUGGAAGGAUUUCAAAUAUCCCUUUCUUUUUUUUUUUUGGGACAGUUCAAUUGCUGUCUUAUUAAUUAUUAUUAUUAUAUAUCUCUCCUUUGAUUGUCUCACGUCUUUAUGAAAUAUUUUUAGAAAAGUAAAUACUAAAUAGCUUUUGUUCACAAAUUAUUUUUGUUAGAGCUCAUAAUUUAACCAAAACAAAAAAAGAGGACAAAAGCAGGACACUAUUGCCAAUAGUUAUGGUCCGACAAAUUUGAGCAUCGAUCAAGAAAGCAAAGGGUAGCCGGUAGCGUAUGAAAUUGCGCGUUGAAAUUAGGGUGCUUUUGGGGAAUUCUUUGACCUUUUUAACAUUUUUCUUUCAACACUUGAAUAGCGCGGAAUAAUUUCAAUUAAAAGUGAACAAAGCUGCAUUUUAAGUGAAAGUAUUGUCCACAGUGCUAAGGAAAUCAAAUGAGAUGAAAUUAUCAAGAAACUCCCUGGAGGGUUCCAAGCAUCGUUUUACUCUUGACAGAUACUACAGUCACUAACAUUUGCUCGAGAAAACUACGCCGAAUUUUCCGGGAAAUUUUUUGCAUUUUCUCUUCAAACGUAAAGUUUGGGGGCAGAAAAGUUAAAAAGUUUAAAGGCGGGUACAAUUAUUCUUCUUCUUGUUAUUUACGCAUGGCAUCCCAUUUAGAUUAGUCGGACUUCAAUUAAUUUUAGGAGAUGAAACUACCACGAAAUUAACUCCAAGUGAGGGCCUAGUAAUGCAGCCAUGUAUUCCAUGCGUACUUUUUGUAUUGUAAGCCCCUUGUAUUCUGUUUUAUUUUAUUAAAACUCUUACAGUACCAAUUCGUCCUUAUAAUUUUAAAUUCCCAAAAUACCCUCCAUUUAAUUAAAAAAUAUAAUAAUUAUUAAAUAAAUUAUAAUUAUAAUAAUUAUUUUAUUAUAACUAUAACUAUAAUUAUAAUUUUAAAUAUAUCAUUAUUAUUAUUAUUAGUAACAAGAAUAAAAAAUAUUAUAAUUAAUUAAUCUAUUAAUAAUAAUUAAUAAUAAAUUUUUCGUUAAAUUGUUAAUAAUAAUAAUUAAUGAUAAUUAUUAUUAUUAAUGAUUCAUUUUUUAAUAAUAAUAAUAAAAAUAAUAACAAUAAUUAAAAUACAAAAUAAUAAUUAUGAUAAAAAUUAAUUAAGGAUUUUAUAGUAAUUUUUUACAAUUUAACUCAUUCUGAUUUUCAUUAUAAGACAAAUAAAACACAUAAAUGCUAAUACGGCUCAUUAUAAUUACGAUUCAUGCAGUUGAAGUAAAUAAAUUUUUCUAAUUUCAAUUCCUCAUUUUGAUUCUAGCUAUUUCGAUUAUAACUCAUUAUGUUUCCAACUAAUUUCAAUUUCUGUUUAGUGAACGCACUAUAAAAUUAUAAGCUACUCUAUAAAAUUCAUAAUACUUAUGAAUAAAUUGUAAAUAAUAUAGAGUGGUCUAAUUACAAUAAUAAAAUGUAAAUAAUAUAAAAUUCUAAUUGAAUGAUAUCAUUAUUCAAAAAUUAAUUAUUAAUAAUAAUGAUCUAUUAUUAUUAUUAUUAACAAUUUAACGAAAAAAUUCUUAUUAAUUAUUGUUAAUAGAUUAAUUAAUUAUAAUACUUUUUAUUCUUGUUAAUAAUAAUAGUAAUAAUCUAUUUAAAAAUCAUAAUUAUAUUUAUAGUUAUAACAAAAUAAUAAUAAUAAUUAUAAUUCAUUUAAUAAUUGUUCUAUUUUUUAAUUAAAUGGAGGGUAUUUUGGGAAUUUAAAAUUAUAAGGGGCGAAUUGGUACUCUAAGGGUUUCAAUGAAAUAAAACAGAGUGCAAGGGGCUUAAAGAAAGUUUACAAUACAGAAAGUUGUAUAAUACUUAUGAAUAAAGUGUAUAUAAUAUAAAGUAUAGGGGCUGAAUGAAAUUUGACAGGGCAGCUGUAACUUACCUCAGCUGUAAGUUAGCCAAAACAAUGGAGUUAACUAAAGUGCAUUUGAAGUCCAUUAGGGAUAUUCUUCUAAUCUUCUCUUCAUUAUUUUGUUUUUGCUCUUUUUUUUUUAAUCCCAUUUUUAGACGAUAUAGAUGUAUAUGUUUGAUUAGUCCUUGUCGAUUAUAUAUACAUAUGUACUUUUGGACUGUCAUGGGACUGUACCAUUUGGAAAUAUCACAUUUUAUUUCCCGAUGCGAUAAAUUUUCUUCUCCAUUGAACGUUCUCUGGAUGCUAUUAACCAAAAAAUGCAACAUUUUGUUCUGUUUAUAAAUUGGGAUUAUUUGCUUCUGACUGUCAUUGACUCAUUGACCAUUUAGCAAUAUAGCGUUAGGUAGUAGUACCAGCUCUUUUUCUUCUUUUGUCUUUCUCUUCUCUUAUGUUAAACCAUUAUUCUAGGCAUCUUCAUUGGGAUUAUUCCAUCUGUACUUUACCAAAGGGGAAAAAAAAUUGUCACGAAACAGCGUGGAAGGUUCAGAGAAAAAUUUGCUUGUGUUUUCUUUUUGUUAAAUUCAAUUGGUUGAAUUUAUUUUUUAUUUUUUUAAAAUAGAAAACUAUAUUACAAAACUUCCCGGUAGGUUCCAAGGAACUAUCUAAUAAAGCAUCUUUAUAUAACCUCCAUAGACUCAGUCGCAUUAAAUUAUUUUCACAUCCCAAAUUUUCUCAUCUGAUCAAUUUUCUCAUCCACUGAACUGUCAUGGCUUCUUCUUCUUUUUGUCCACCUCGAAACGCUAAGAAGAUGUAUGAUGUUUUUCUGAGUUUCAGAGGAGAGGACACCCGUGACAACUUUACUAGCAUUCUUUACUAUGUUUUGUCUCUGAAAAGUAUCAAAACUUUCAUUGAUGACCAACUUAUCAGAGGAGAGAACAUUUCUCAUUCUCUUCUUGAUACAAUUGAAGCAUCGAGCAUCUCAAUUAUCAUUUUCUCACAAAGGUAUGCUUCUUCUAGAUGGUGUCUCGAUGAACUUUUGAAGAUCCUCGAAUGCAAGCAUAAUUAUGGACAGAUUGUGAUUCCAGUUUUCUAUCACGUUGAUCCAUCACAUGUGAGAUCGCAAAGCCAGGAUUCUUCUUUUGGGAAGUAUUUUAGUGAGCUUGAAAAAUGUUAUCCAGAGAAGAUGCAAAGAUGGAAGAAUGCUUUGACCGAAGCAGCCAACCUCUCGUUUACAUAUAUUGAACUAUAUAAUUGCUGUUAUUUUUUUACCAGGUCUGAAUCUAAACUUAUUGAGGAAAUUGCCAAUGACGUUUUGAAGAGGCUAGAUGCGACUUUUCAAAGUAAAAACAAAGGCUUGGUUGGAGUUGAAUGCCCCAUUGAAGAAAUUGAAUCAUUAUUACGCGUUGGGUCUGAGGGUGUUUGCAAACUAGGGAUUUGGGGCAUCGGUGGUAUAGGCAAGACAACAAUCGCUGGUGCUGUUUUUAACAAAAUCUCUAGACAUUUUGAAGGUUCUUACUUUGCGCUUAAUGUUAGAGAUGCAGAAGAAACUGGCGGAAUAAAGGACUUACAAAAGGAACUUCUGUCCAAGUUAUUGAAUGAUGGAAAUGUGAGGAACAUCGAGUUUGAACUCUACAGACUUGCUCGCAAGAAGGUUCUAAUUGUUUUUGAUGAUGUGACUCAUCCAGGACAAAUAGAAUCAUUAAUUGGAUGCCUUGAUCAGUUAGCUUCAGGGAGUCGAGUGAUGAUAACAACAAGGGAUAAACAAGUUCUUGAAAAUUGUUGGGUCAAUCAAAUAUAUCCGAUGAAGGAAUUAGUAGAUGCUGAUGCUCAUAAGCUUUUCUAUCAGUGUGCUUUUAGAGGAGGCUAUCUCGACGCAAGUUACACAGAGGUCACAGCCAAGGCAAUAAAAUAUGCGCACGGAGUUCCUUUAGCUCUUAAAGUUUUGGGUCGCCAUCUAUGCGGAAGGAGCAAAGAGGUAUGGGAAAGUGCAAUGAGAAAACUGGAAAUAGUUCCUCACAUGGAUAUCCAAAAGGUGUUAAAAAUCAGUUAUGAUAGCUUGGAUGACUCUCAGAAGAAUGUUUUUCUAGAUAUUGCAUGUUUCUUCGAAGGAGAGCAUAGAGAUGUGGUGAUAAGCUUUUUUGAUGCCAGUGGCUUCCAAGCUCAAAUAGAGUUAAGUGUUCUUGAAGAUAAGUCCCUCAUAACUUUAGACAACUUUCACCGGAUAAGAAUGCAUGACUUGCUACGAGAUAUGGGAAGAGAAAUUGUUCGAAAUGAAUCUUUCGAUCAUCCAGGAAAGCGCAGUAGGUUGUGCAAUCAUAAUGAUAUUUAUGAAGUUUUGAAGAAAAAUACGGUAAGCAAUAAUAACUUUUCAAUUGUAUCUUGUUUAUGUUACAUUUAUAUUAGUAGUUUGUCUGAAUUUUUCUUUUUGAAUAAGAAUAGCAUUAAUACAGCUUAAAAUUAAUUGAAAAAUAAUAUUAAAAAAUUGGUAAAAUAAAAUAGAUAGAUCCGAUGUUUCCCCAUCUCAGUUUGAAACAUGCCUCUAAAAUCCCCAGCAAACUAGCGCCUUCGGAGAGAGACACCCCCCCUCCAAAAAAAAAAAACACUUCAAUCUUAUUGCAUUUCCUUUUCAACUCUGCCCCUUUCCUUAUUUGUCACUAAAAAAAAUUGAUUGAAUUAAUUUUACAGUUUACAUAUUAAGCAUUUUCUUGAAUUUUCUAUUUUACACGUCCUAAAAGCCUUACCCAAAUAGUUUAUUAUAAAGUGAUUGUAAUAUCUCUAUUUGGGUUUGACGGCUUAAAAAUAAUUGUUCAUUUGUUUGCUUCAAUUAUAUACCAACUUAUGAUCUCUUAUUUGAUUGUUAGGGAACUGAAGCAAUCAAGGGCAUCUCUUUAGAUAUGGAUAAAGUCAAUAGUGAGAUACAAAUAAAUACUUGUACUUUCUCAAAGAUGACUAGAUUGAGAGUCUUAAAAUUCUAUGGAUAUGAGAACAAAUGUACGGUGUCUUCUUUAGUGGGUGUGCCAUUUACUGAGGUGAGGUAUUUCGAGUGGCAUCAAUUUCCAUUGAAAACGUUGAAUAUAUUACAUUGGAAGAAUCUUGUUUCACUUAUCAUGCCAGGCAGCAAAGUUAAACAACUUUGGGAUGACGUUCAGGUAUAUAUUUAUUUGAAAUUCUUUUAGUAAUAAAUUCUAAAUACAAUUGAUGCUAUAAUAAAUAUAUGUGAUGGCAUCUCUUUAUUUAUAGAGAUAACAACAACAACAACAAUAAUAAUAAUAAUAAUAAUAAUUUAUUUUGGGGCGCAGGAUCUUGUUAACUUAAAAGAAAUAGACAUCAGUGGAUCCGAGUCAUUAACGAAACUCCCGGACUUGUCACGGGCCAAAAAUCUUGAGAUUCUGGAGUUAGAAGGCUGUUUAAGUUUGAUGGAGACUCACCCAUCUAUUCAAUAUCUAAAUAAACUUGAAUUUCUUGGUCUAGGUAAUUGCAAAAGCCUGACGAGUCUUCCAACUAGCAUUCAUUCGAAAUAUAUCAAGGAAAUUAGUCUUUGGGGUUGCUCAAAUUUGAAGAACUUCCCAGAGAUCACAUCUUGUCAAACUUCUUUUUUAGAUUUAGGAGAAGUUGGAAUCAAAGAACUGCCCUCAUCCAUUGAGUGCCAGUCCAAUCUGAAACGACUACUUAUUACGGAUUGUUCAGAGCUUGAGAGCAUCUCGAGUAGCAUAAUUAAGUUGAAGUCUCUUAAAUCUAUUGAAAUCUGUAAUUGUUCAAAUUUUAAGAGGUUUCUAGAGAUCCCAUCUUGUAAUGUAGAUGGAGGUGCUGGAAUUGAGCAACUACACUUAUGUGUGUUGGUAUUGAAAGAAUGUCCAAAUAUUGAGAGUCUCCCAAGCAGCCUGUGUAUUCUCAAAUCUCUGACGUCUCUUUGAAUCAUUGAUUGCCAAAACUUCAAGAGAUUGCCUGAUGAGCUUGGAAAUUUAGAAGCCUUGAAGAAGUUGAUCGUUAAUGGAACUGCCAUAAGAGAAGUACCAGAAAGCCUCGGUCAGUUAGCCAUAUUACAGCGGUUGAAAUUGACUAACUGUUCAGAGCUUGAGAGCAUCUCGAGUAGCAUAUUUAAGUUGAAGUCUCUUCAAUUUAUUGAAAUCUCUAAUUGUUCAAAUUUUAAGAGGUUUCUAGAGAUCCCAUCUUGUAAUGUAGAUGGAGGUGCUGGAAUUGAGCAACUACACUCAUGUGUGUUGGUAUUGAAAGAAUGUCCAAAUAUUGAGAGUCUCCCAAGCAGCCUGUGUAUGCUCAAAUCUCUGACAUCUCUUGAAAUCAUUGAUUGCCAAAACUUAAAGAGAUUGCCUGGUGAGCUUGGAAAUUUCGAAGCCUUGAAGAUGUUGAUCGUUAAUGGAACUGCUAUAAGAGAAGUACCAGAAAGCCUUAGUUACUCCUAUUAGUAAAAUUGGACCUAUCUAGCAAUAAUUUGCAGUGAAUACCAGAAAGCCUUGGUCGGUUAUCCUCGCUAAAACGUUUGGUACUGUCUAAUAACAAUUUGGGUAGAUUACCAGAAAGCCUCAAUCAGUUAUCUUCACUAGAAUAUUUGCAACUAUCCGAAAACAGUUUGGAGGGAAUACCAGAAUACCUGAGGAGUCUUCCAAGUAAGUUGACAUCACUCAAUUUAUCUGUUGAGUUGAGAAAUUGUUUGAAAUUGGACCCGAAUGAGCUCAGUGAAAUCGUCAAAGAUCAGUGGAUGAAGCAGGUGUGUCUCUCAACUCACUCCUUUCAUUCUAUUUUCUUUUUCUUUUUACUUUAAAUCAAGUUAUCAUUAUUUUUCAAAAAUUAAUAAUUUUUUAUUUUUGUGUUGCAGUCGUUUGAUGGUAACAUUGGGAUUACUAAAAGUAUGUAUUUCCCUGGGAAUGAAAUUCCAAAGUGGUUUAGGUAUCAAAGUAUGGGAUCUUCUGUAACCUUGAAAACGCCACCAGCAGAUUUCUUCAAUAAUAAAAUAUCAGUAGGCUUUGCUUUUUGUGCUGUUGUGGCAUUUCCUGCCUCAGAGUGGUUUGAGGAUCAAAGAGUGAAGUCUGCAGUGUGCUGUGGUUGGAAACGCAAAUCCAAAUACUAUCCCUACCGUCAGUCUUUGGGGACAAUUAGUUAUGUUGAGUCAGAUCACGUGUUUUUGGGAUCUUAUUUAUUCUGUAGUGAGGAUUUAAGUAAGAGAGAUGACGAGGUCUAUAUUGAUGAGGUCUCUUUCGACAUUUCGCCUAGUUUUGGUUGUAAAGUGAAACAAUGUGGGAUUCAUUUUGUGCACGCUCAAGAUUCUACGGAAUCAAGAGAAGAGGAAGAGGAACCACACACCAAAAGACUGAAAUGUUCUUGAACUCCAAAGCAGCUGGUACUCUUUGGCACGAAAAUCAAUCUGUAGACCUUGUUUUUGUCUUCAUUUUAUAUAUGCGUUUUUCAAAUACGUUCGUUUAUGUAAAAUUUAUUAAUUGUUUGUUGUUGGAUGGAUGAAUCAAUAAAUUCAAAAUAAAUGGUAAUUAACCGAGGAUGUAGAUCUAUGAGUUCUCUCUUUGUUUUAUCUUUAAUUUGUGUUCGGUUCAUGUCUGGAAUAUCCCAAAAAUUACAUAUCCAAUUACUAACUAAAAAUGCGCUGAUUAGAUUAAAGAUUAUUUUAGUUAUUCUUACUUUUUCAGUUUUCAAACUUUAUAAGAAUAAAAUCGUUUUAUUAAGUUUUGAGAUUUGAAUUUAAACCAAAAUACAAAUUUACUCUUGAGGAUUAAAUUUACCAUAUUUUAAAUUAAUGACAAGAUGUAUGAUGUGAAAAUUACUAUUCCUAUGAGUAGUGAUCUCAGCAAGACAGUAAAGUACAUAUUUACUGAGUCAUCAUAUAGUACCGCGCUGUAUGUAAUACAGCAGCUUCAACAGUGAAAAAAAAAUUUGAACAACCGGUAUUUUACCGGUUGUUCAUCUAAAAUUUGUAAAAAAAUUAUUUCUAAUGUGAAAAAAAUGAGGAAAUUUAUAAACAAUUAAUAUUAAAAAGAUUUGAGUGAGAAAAAUAUUUUUAAUUUAAAAGAAAGUUAAAAAAAGAGUAAAAUAAUCAUGUUCCAAUUUUUUUGGUUAAAUAUCAAUAUAUUAGGUGGACGUUUCAAAUUAAUUUUACAUGUCCCUAAUUUUCGUUAAACUUUCUCACUAAUUGGUUUAUUUGUUUCCACUUCUCAAUCCACUAGUUUUAUGUAUAGUAUUCCUACUAAAUUCGUUAAAUGCAAAUUUUUUAGGUUAGAUUCCAAGUAAAUUAAUUUCUCGUUGAAUUAGUUCCUAAAUUUGGUUACACUUUCUCCCUUUUUGGUUUAUAUGUUUCAACUAUUAUUUCACAAAUUUUACUUUCAAUAUUCCAAUUUGCUUGGUAAGAUUUCAUUUAUUUGGGUUAAAUACCGAAAUGAUUUUUUUUUGUUAAACAAGUUCCCAAUUUUGGUUAAACUUUUUCAUAUUUAGUUUCACAUGUUUCAAAUUAUUAGUCCACUAGUUUUGUGUUAGGUAUUCCUACUAAGUUCGUUCAAUACUAAUAUUUUGGGUUAGAUUCCAAGUAAUUUUCAUUUCCCGUUGGAUGAGUUACUAAUUUUCGUUAGAUUUUCUCGCAUAUUGGUUCAAAUGUUUCAUCUAAUUAUUCCUCUAGUUUUGCAUUGAAUAUUCCUAUUAACUUGGACAGAUUCCAAUUAUUUGGGUUAAGUACCGAAUUUAUUUUUCGUAAUUUUAUUUUUGGUUAAAUAAGUCCCUAAUUUUGGUUAUAUUUUCUCCCUUGUGGGGUUAUAUUUUCACUAGUUUUGUGUUCAAUAUUCCAAUUAACUUGGUAAGAUUUCAUUUAUUUGGGUUAAAUACUGAAAUAAUUUUUUUUUGUUAAAUUAGUUCCCAAUUUUGGUUAAGCUUUUUCGUAUUUAGGUUCACAUGUUUCAAAUUAUUAGUCCACUAGUUUUGUGUUAGGUAUUUCCACUAAGUUCGUUUAAUACCAAUAUUUUGGGUUAGAUUCCAAGUAAUUUUCAUUUCCCGUUGGAUGAGUUCCUAAUUUUCAUUAGAUUUUCUCGUUUAUUGGUUCAAAUGUUUCAUCUAAUUAUUCCUCUAGUUUUGUGUUGAAUAUUCUCAUUAACUUGGACAGAUUCCAAUUAUUUGGGUUAAGUACUGAAUUUAUUUUUCGUAAUUUUAUUUUUGGUUAAGUAGGUUCCUAAUUUUAGUUAUACUUUCUUCCUUGUGGGUUUAUACGUUUCAAUUAUUAUUCCACUAGUUUUGUGUUCAAUAUUCCAAUUAAUUUGAUAAGAUUUCAUUUAUUUGGGUUAAAUACCGAAAUAAAUUUUUUUUGUAAAUUAGUUCCCAAUUUUGGUUAAGUUUUUUCAUAUUUAGGUUCAUAUGUUUCAAAUUAUUAGUCCACUAGUUUUGUGUUAGGUAUUCCUACUAAGUUCAUUCAAUACCAAUAUUUUGGGUUAGAUUCUAAGUAAUUUUCAUUUCCCGUUGGAUGAGUUCCUAAUUUUCGUUAGAUUUUCUCGCUUAUUGGUUCAAAUGUUUCAUCUAAUUAUUCCUCUAGUUUUGCGUUGAAUAUUCCCAUUAACUUGAACAGAUUCCAAUUAUUUGGGUUAAGUACCGAAUUUAUUUUUUGUAAUUUUAUUUUUGGUUAAAUAAGUCCCUAAUUUUGGUUAUAUUUUCUCCCUUGUGGAGUUAUAUGUUUCAAUUAUAAUUUCACUAGUUUUGUGUUCAAUAUUCCAAUUAACUUGGUAAGAUUUCAUUUAUUUGGGUUAAAUACCGAAAUAAUUUUUUUUGUUAAAUUAGUUCCCAAUUUUGGUUAAGCUUUUUCAUAUUUAGGUUCAUAUGUUUCAAAUUAUUAGUCCAUUAGUUUUAUGUUAGGUAUUCCUACAAAGUUCGUUAAAUACCAAUAUUUUGGAUUAGAUUCCAAUUAAUUUUCAUUUCCCGUUGGAUAAGUUCCUAAUUUUCGUUUGAUUUUCUCGCUUAUUGGUUCAAAUGUUUCAUCUAAUUAUUCCUCUAGUUUUGUGUUGAACAUUCCCAUUAACUUGGACAAAUUCCAAUUAUUUGGGUUAAGUACCGAAUUUAUUUUUCAUAAUUUUAUUUUUGGUUAAGUAGGUUCCUAAUUUGGGUUAUAUUUUCUCAUAUUUGGUUUUAUAUGUUUCAACUAUUAUUUCACUAGUUUUGCGUUCAAUAUUCCAAUUAAUUUGGUGAAAUUUCAGUUAUUUAUGUUAAAUAUCAAAAUUACUUGUAUUACCGGAAACAAUAAUUUUAAUAAGUUGAAUUAUGUUUGAACCCUUACUAUUUUGUAAAAUAUCAACUUACCAUAUAAUACUAAAAAAAUUUCAUUGUAACACUUAAUCUUUUCCAAUAUUUUGGGUCCUUAACCUAAUUCCCUUUUAUAUAUAUCAUGAGAUCUCUUGAACUUGAUUGUAUAUAUACUUGAGCUUUUAGUCUCUAUACAUAUUUAUUCUCAUUUUAUCAUUUUAGUUGAUUAUUUUUAGUUAUUGUUAAAAUAAAUUAAUGCUUUUAUUUUCAUCUCUCUUUACUUUUUAAAAUAAUUUUUUAAUUUUUCAAAACUUCGACAGCAAAUAAAAAAUAACAUGUAAGAGCGCAUGGAAUUGCUAUGCUUCUCCAAAAAAUUAUUUUUAAAAAUUAUGACGGCAUAAGUUAUAAAAAAUAUUUAAGCUAACAAAAAUUGAAACUUUCUUAAUCUAUUUGUGUUGAAUUUUUUUUUUUUUUUUUGGAAUCAAUUGACUUCAGGAGAUUUCUUGAACUUGAAAUUAUUUAUACUUAACCUUUGAUCUUUAUAAAUGUUAUGCCCAUUUUAUAAUUCAAUUAAUUAUAUUUAUUUAUCUUUAAACUAAAAUAAAUCAAGAAUUAAGAUUUUUUUAUUCAAAUUAAAUUUUUACCACUAUGUUUUCUUUUCAAAUUAUUUUUCUUAAUUUCUUAUUACUUCAACCAAAAAUUUAUGCUAUUAAUUAUAAAUAUUAAUAUAUUAUACUUGUAUUAUUAUCACUAUUAUUAUUUUUUUUACUAUUACUAAAAGCUUAAUAUUUUUACUAUCUUGCCCCAUGAGAUUUGUUAACAAUUUUUUUUUUAAUAAUGAGUAUCCUUCUUUUUUGUUUUUAAGUAUGGAUAUAAUUUUUAAUUUAUAUAAUAAGUUCUUAAAUUUUCAAGACUUAACUAAAAUAAUUUUUAAGAGUUUGUUAUGACUAAUAUGGUUAUGAAAAUUUAUUACUAUGGUAGCAACACUUUAUACCAUACCAUUUUAUAUUUAUUACUAUACCAAAAUUUGUUUAUUUAUUUUAUGAUUAUCCCAUGAACUGUGAAAAUUAACUUUUAUAUUAAAAUUGAAAAUUUUUAAAUUAGUAUUACAUUGAUCCAAUUCUACUAAGCCACAAUUUAUUUAUCUUUAACGAAUGCUUUAAACACAGUAAACGCAAUUCAAAUUCAAAAAUAUUUUGUAAAAUAAAAAAAUAAAAAUCAAUGCAAUCAAGAAAGAAGAAAAUAUAUUAAACAUUAAUUUUUCUUCCUAAAUUAAAUAUUGAAAAGAUAUUUUUCUCUAGUAGGUAAAUUCAACACCGUAAUUUAACAAUAAUGUCGACUUUUAUUUUUAAACUAUUUUUUUAUUACUCCGAAUUGCAAUACAUUUUUAUAGGUCAUAAAAAUUAAUAACCAAUAAUGAAAGUAUCUUUAUUUAUUCAAUAUCAAUAUUCAUUACUUCAGGAGAUAUGAUCAUAAAUUUGAUUAUCCCUAGUACAAACAAAAUAAGUUAAUCAUUUUUCACGACUUAAACAAAAAUUAUCUUAGUAGCUAAAAUUAUUUUUAAAAGCUUAAUAUUUGGAUGGAUAUUCCAACUAAUAUGGUGUUACAACAUAACACUGUGAUAUAAGAAACAACAUUCACUUAUAUGAUUUUGGUCUGCACUUAAUAAUGGAGUUUCACAUUAAUAAUUUCACUCAAAUUCGAAGAGUACAAUUGAACCUUUAGAUAUACUAAAAAGUAAAAAAAAUAAUACACAAAAAUCUCUCAUUUCAACUUUUCAAUGCUUGCUUGCUCUUUAAAGAUGGAGAAAUCAUAGAGUACCUGUAGAAUAAGAACUCAAUUUAUAGAUUAAAAGAAGUUAAAGAGAAUUGCUCAAUUGGAGGAUGAAUUAAACAAAAAUUAAGUUCAUUUACAACUGAAUUAGAUGGUAGCCAAUUCUUGUUCAUGACUCAACUAUAUAGCAUUAGUUCAUUCAAAAACUUAUAAUUUUUAACAUUAUUUUUUUUAAUUAAGUAUCAUUCUCGUUUAAAUAUCCCUAUAAUUUUUCAUUUACCAAAAUAAGUUAUUCAAUUUUUAGGACUUAACUAGAAAUACAAUUAUUUAGGACUCAACUAAAAGAGUUCUUCAAUUUUUAUCAUGACUAAUAUGGCAUUAAAAAAAUAUCUUGUUGCAAUGCCUGCCCAUAUUUUUAACUCUGGUUAGUGAGAGUAAAACAAUUUCAAAUAAUAAAAUUCUUAUUUUUACACCUAUGAAUAAAGAAAUAAAACCGCACCUGCUCAGCUGUAAAUUCCUCGGGCGCAUCUGAGUCAAAUGAAAAUUUAUAUUGUAAGCAUGCGAGUCAGUCGGGCGUCAGCGGCUUUAUUGUGAUGGGUGUGGCGGCAGCCAGCAGCUUCAAAUUUGCGAGAGAAGGAACCCAGAUGAAUGGGUUAGGCUGUGGCUAUGUUAAAAGUGUUAGGGUCUGUUCUGUUUUGUGGCUUUAGAAAAUUGGGAAUUUAGGGAUCGGGUUUGGGUUUGGGUGUUUGGCUUUGAACAAUUUAUGCUUUUUUCUUUCAAUUAUAAGGUAUAACCCGAUUAGCUUCAGUAAAUUCAAUCUCCAACCUUCUUCGUGCUUUGGUAGCGCAAGAGAUGAUGACUCUUUUAAACGGUCAACGACAGCCUUUGAUUGACCUCCACUUGAUUUAGCUCACAGGUCUAGGAUUUGCGUGCAGAGAAAGUGAGAUACGGAAACAGCUAGUGGCUGAUACAUAGGACCGUAAUGGGCGUAGGAAUGAAGACGGCGGCAACUGCUCGCUUGUUGGCUUGUGAGGGUUUGACGUGAGUGAGCGUCUUUGAUGGUUUAAGGAGAGCGGCUAGGGUUUCCAAAGAAAUGUCAUAAUGUGAGUAUUUAUAUUAUCAGUAGAAAUUGGAAAAAAAAAUAUGAAAGUUUUCAAAUUAAUAAAAAAGAUAAUAAAAGUUUGAUGAAUAAUAAAACUUCCAUAGAUAGAUUUGUUGUGACCAUUCAAAAUCUCAAAAUUCAUUUUUGUAAUUUGGUAAAUAAUAUUUUCAUUUUUACCUGCCAAGAUAAAACUUUUUUAUGUGAAAAUUUUACAUAAUACAUACAUACAUACAUACAUACAUACAUAUAUAUAUAUAUAUAUAUGUGUGUGUGUGUGUGUGUGUGUGUGUGUGUGUGUGUGUGUGUGUGUGUGUGUGUGUCUAUAUGUAUAUAUAUGUAUAUAUUUUGUUGAUAUAAAAUUAAUUAUUUACAACUAUAUUAAUAAUUUAAUAUAGAUGAGAUACACUACUAUGUAAAUAUAUUAAUAAUCAAAUUAUGGCUAUUAGUUAAUUUAGUUGUAAAUCAUUUGAGUUCAAAACAAAACAAUUGAGGUUUGAAUCUAUGGGCACAAAUUUAGUUGUUAUUAAGCUAUAUUGAAAAACAAUCAUAUUCAAAUUCAAUUCCUUUUACCACUAGAAUAAAAUUAUAUAUAUAUAAUUUAGUUAGAAGUAUAACGAAAACAUUUUUCACUGCACAUAAGAUAAUAUUAUAACAAGUUCAACAUGCAUAAAUAAAAAUAGAUUCAUAAGAUUAUAUUUCUCUCCAAUAGAAUAGAGAGUUUCAAAAGUAAAUUUAGUCAAACAUACUACUUAAUAUGAAAAUGGAUAUAUAAUUUUUAUAUUUUUAUAUGGUUUUAUAUAAUUUUAUUAUUUUUAGUUGUUAUAUAAAUUAACUUAAUUUUAGAAAAAUAUGGAUAUAAAUGUAAGAUUGAACAAAUUUUGUGAUAAUUGUGCAUCAUUCAAUAUAAAAAAUUACAAAUCAUGUAACUAUCUAGUGAGUGCAGUAUUACUCAAAUAAUUUGAUUUAAUUUAGAAAUAUAUUUGCCAUGCUUAAAUUAUUAUAUUGUAAGUACAAUAUAAUAUAACAUUAUUCAAUAUUAGUUGCAUUUAAAUUGUAAUUACCCAUGUCAUGUACCAAUAUGAAUUUGAUUAAUGUUUAACAAAAAAAUUAUUAUAGCAAAAAAGAUUAAAUAAAGUAAUUAAUUUACAUAAGUUUGUAUGAAUUAAUUUGCAUAAGAGAUUGUUUGUGAGUUUUAUUUAAAAAUAUCAAAUAUUAGAUGCUUUAUAUUUGUGGUAUAUAUAAAACAUAUUAAUGUUAGCCUCUAAUAAUAACAACAAUAUUUGAGGGGUAAUUACAUGUUUGGAAUCAUAAUAAUUCGAUAGUUGGAUGAACAUUACCAUCAUUUUAGUAGGUAGAGAUUUAAAUCCCUAUAUGUGUAUCAUGAGAUAGUAAGAUUGAUUUCUUCCAAAUAUUUAGAAAUAAAUUGAUUUCAUUAUGUGUUUAGAUAUUUAGAUUGUAAUGCAAUUAAAGAUGAUAAAAUUGUUUUGAUAGUUUCUUAAGAAAAAUAUCAUUACAUUUAUAACAUAAUAAUAAAAAUAGCUUAAUUAAUAUAUAAUUUAUUUUAAUUUAUUAUAUUUAAAUAUUAUUCUCAUUAGUACAUAAGUUACGUUUUUUAAAGCAAAAUAUCAUUUAAUUUAUAACAUAAUAUUAAAAAAUAAUAUAAUUAUAGUUUUAAAUAUAGUAGUUUAAUUAAUUUUAUUUAAUUAUAUUUUUUCAUUAGUACAUAGCUUAAAUAUAUUAACUAUAUUUUCCAUGAAUUAAAAGAAAAAAGAAGUAUUUUCAUUUUUUAAAGUUGAGGGGUUCUUUGAUAGUUUAAUAGUUUUGAAUUGCUUUUCUUAAUAUUUACCUAAAAUGAGGGAUCUGUGUGAUAGUUACCUUUUAAUUUUGACCUCUUUAACCAAUUAAAACGAUGGUACCGGUGGCCGGUUACCUGCUGAAUUAAAAAAAUAAAAAAAUGCGGCUGUACGAGAUACAGCGGCUGUAUUUUAAGCGGACCCAUACUACUUGUGAUAAAUUACAGGCUCUGUUUAACAUAUAAAAAUAACAAAUUUUAAAUAUUACAAACAAUAACAGAAUCAUAUGCUGUUAUUGUAAAUAAACCCCACCAUUCCGUUUCAAGUUUCCACAGUCAGUUCCAUUGAUCAUAUGCUGAAGCUACGGUGGAAUGAUAGAUCUUCUUUUAGUUUCCUGCACAUCGAAACUCUCUAAUUGGUGUGUUGUUUUUUCGUGAAAUUUCUAAUAUCUAUUAAUAAUUUCUUAAUGUAAAUGAGAAGUUAGUAGAUCAUGGGAUGAGAGCCGAAGACUUUUUGGCUGAUCUAACUCCUAUUACAAUCAAGUUGGUAACUGCAUUUGGUAAUUACAUCUUCAGUACUUGCAAUCUUUUAUCGCCUUUAGUAAGAAAUCAGAAAAAGGAUGUUUGGAAGCUGAGAAAAUUUAAGAACUGAAAGCUUUUAGCUCACACGAUUUUAUUCAUCUAAAACUUACUUAUGAAACUGUACACAGAGAUGCUUAUAUACACAACUGAUGCUCAGCUCAAUUAGUUAACUAAUUACAAAACUAAUUCUAGCUAGCUAUAACAACUUCAACUAAUUAUCACGUGAACAAGUGAUUACAUAACCACCAGGUGCCAGCUGGCAUGCCAUGUCAUCAACUCUUAACUGUAAGCUGGAGCUGCUGCUAUCCUCUGCUUUACAGUCUAUGCUACUGAUGUGUGCUUCCUUAACAUCCCCUCUCAAGCUCAAAGGUCUACUAACGACAUUGAGCUUGGAUCUAAAAAAGCUGAAUUUAGAAAAAGAUAAGGGCUUAGUCAGAACAUCAGCUACUUGUUCUUCAGUAGGAAUGUAUCUAACCUCCAAUUCUUUUCCAAGCACUUUGUCUCUAACAUAAUGAACAUCCAACUCUAUGUGCUUAGAUUUUGAGUGAAACACAGGGUUGCGAGCUAGCUCCCCUGCACUUUGGUUAUCACACCAAAGAACUGGAGUAGGUAGUUUAGCAAUGUUGAGUUCUGAAAAUAAAGACUGCAACCAAGAAAUUUCUGAGCAUGCUGCUGACAGGGCUCGAUAUUCACUUUCUGUGCUUGACUUUGCUACAAUUGCUUGCUUUUUGGAAGACCAUGAAAUCAGAUUGUUACCCAAGUAUAUACAAUAGGCUCCAAUUGAUUUUCUGUCGUCAAGAUCACAAGCCCAGUCAGCAUCUGUAUAGCCUGUUAUUCCAAUUUCCAGAGUUGCUUCCUUUCUAAGAUAGAGACCAUAGGUGAUGGUUGACUGGAGAUAUCGAAGAACUCUUUUGCAGGCUAACCAGUGCUGAACAGUAGGAGAACUGAGGUAUUGACUGAGCUUAUGAACUGAAUAAGCUAUAUCCGGCCUGGUGAGAAUUAGAUAUUGUAACCCUCCAACUAUGCUUCUGUAUUGUGUUGGAUUUUCGAACUCCUGACCCAAAGGACCCCUGACAUUUCUUUCUAGCUUCAAACCAGUACUAAGAGGAGUAUCAGACCCUUUGCAAUUCUCCAUAGAUGCUUUACUCAGCAAGUCUUUAAUAUACUUUGUUUGAGAUAGAUGCAUACCUUCAUCAAAGUAACUAACUUCAACACCUAGGAAGUAAGCAACUAAUCCCAGAUCUUUCAAGGCAAAUGUCUGACUGAGUUUAACAAUAAAAUCCUCUAGUAAAGCAGAAUCUGGUCCAGUGACUAGAAUAUCAUCCACAUAGAUCAAUACUAUGAUUAAGCCCCUUGUAUCAUGUUUAAUGAAUAGAGAUGUAUCAGCCUUUGAAUUAAGAAAUUGCCAAGUAGUUAGACAACCCUUCAAUUUUUCAUACCAGGCUCGUGGAGCUUGUUUUAGACCAUAGAGAGCUUUAUUGAGUUUGCAGAUGUACCCUUCCUUAGUUACAAAGCCUUCUGGUUGUGUCAUAUAUACGUUCUCAGAAAGAUCUCCAUUAAGGAAUGCAUUAUUUACAUCAAUUUGUCUGACUUUCCACCCUUUUAUAACUGCCAAGCUGAGUAUGACUCUAACUGUUGAAGACUUCACCACUGGACUGAAAGUUUCUGAAUAAUCUACCCCUGCUGUUUGGUGAAAUCCCUUUGCAACCAAUCUAGCUUUAUACUUGCUGACAGUUCCAUCUGUGUUAUACUUUGUUCUGAAUACCCACUUACAACCAACUAGCUUGUAUGUAGAAGACAUUGGCACAAGAGUCCAAGUGUUGUUGUGAAUAAGAGCAUCAUACUCAGUUUGCAUUGCAUCUUUCCAUUUAGGAUCUGAUAAUGCCUCAGGGACAGUGGAUGGUUCUAAGCUGUUGUGAGUUGUUAGAAAGGUCUUUGGUUUGAAAAUACCAGCUCUAGCUCUGGUUAUCAUAUGAUGGGUGGAAGUAGAAGGUUUAGGCUGAGAUGUUUGUGUUGUGCAGGGUAUUUGUGGUGCUGGUGACUGGGGUGCAGGUGAAGGCAAAGAUGUAGAGGUCUGAUUUGUGGGUGACUGAGAUUGAGGUGAAUUUGAUGAUAAAGAAUGAUUGACAGGGAAUUGAUCUGCUGCAGUAGCUUCAAGACUGUUCAGAUUGCUAUUAGGAACUGACAGAGUAAACCUUUGAAAAAGAUUAUAUUGAAAAUCAGAGGAAGUGUGUUUAGAAGAGGAAGAAAAAUUUGGAUCUGAAAUGUAAGGGAAAGUGGUUUCAUCAAACAAUACAUGACUGGCAAUAUAAAUUUUGCCUGAUGAAUGUAGACACUUAUAGCCCUUAUGUGAAGGACUAUAUCCUAAGAAGACACACUUUGAAGUAUGGAAAUGGAAUUUAUGGUUAUUGUAUUCUCUGAGAAAAGGAAAACAAGAACAUCCAAAUGUUCUUAGAAAGUUAUAGUCUGGUUGAUGAUGAAAGAUUGAUUCAUAUGGAGUUUUCAUUGCUAGAAUAGGUGUUGGUAAUCUGUUAAUGAGAUAGGCUGCUGUAUGAAAAGAAUCCCACCAGAAUUUGAUAGGUAAUUUAGCUUGUGCAAGAAGAGUAAGACCUGAUUCAGUAAUGUGUCUGUGUUUCCUUUCUACCAAACCAUUUUGGUUAUGUGUAUAAGGACAAGAGUGUCUAAAUUCUAUCCCUUCUUCUUGAAGAUAUUUGCUAAAGGAUCUGAAUUCCCCUCCCCAGUCAGAUUGAAGACAUUUAAUGGGCUGUUCUAAUUGUUUUUCAACUUGAGCUUUGAAAAUUUUGAACACAUGAAGAGUUUCAUCUUUGGUUUUCAGGGGAAAUAUCCAAGUGAAUCUGGUAAAAUCAUCCACAAAGCUCACAUAAUAUUUAUAACCUUGUGUGGAAACCACUGGAGCUGGUCCCCAUAAAUCAGUAUGUAAAAUGGCUAAAGGUUGUUUUGUUUUUGUUUCAGUUGCUGGAAAGUGUAAUCUAUGCAUUUUCCCAAAUUUACAAGCAUCACAUGAAUCAAACUCUUUAUUUCCAUUGAUAGGUUUGAAAGAGGAACAAGAUUGUAUUACAUGGUUUAAGAUCUUAGAGUUAGGAUGACCUAGCCUCUGAUGUAAUACAGAAGUGCUUAAAAGACACUUAGAGUUCAUACAAGGUUCUGCUGCCACAUUUUGCAAGCAGUGAUUAUUUGACUGACUGAGAUUGACAGUUGAUAGCAUUGACAAAGGAACAAAUGACUGAAAAGAAGACUCAAUAUUGGCAACAUGACCUUGAAAGGAAGACUGAGCAGAAGUUUUAUUUGAGGACACUAAUAGCAAUCUGUACAAGCCUUUUUCAGCCUUGCCCUGCAGUAUGAUCAAAUUCUUCACCUUGUCCUUCACAAAACAAGAUUUGUCAGUAAACUCAACUGUGAUAUUGUUGUCUUUGGUUAGCUGAGAAAUGCUUAUAAGGUUCUUGGUUAUUUGUGGAACUAAAAGUAUAUUGUUUAGUUUAAUCACAGUGGAAUCAGUGCAGUUGUGCAAUCUCAGAACAGCUUUUCCAAUAUUUGUAAUAUUCAAGCCAGUACCAUUACCAAUAAUGAGUUUAGAUGUACCUGUAAAUGAUUCAGAAAUCUGCAUAUUGUUCAUGUCAUUUGUGAGAUGGUGAGUGGCACCACUGUCAAGGUACCAAUUUGUAUCAGAUGAUCCUUCCAUGUUUGCCAGAUAUGCAGAUUUCGGAUUCCUGUUUGGAGGUGGUCUAUAAGCUCCUGAAGCAAUAAAUUCUUCCAGCUUCCAGCAUACAUUAGCUGUGUGGCCUAUUUUGAGACAAACUUGACAUGUAGGCUUAGAAGGAUUCCACUGAGAUUUAGGAUUUCCAGGUGUUUUGCCAUUAUUGACAGCAUUAUUAUUAUUCCAGUUUCCUCCUCCUCCUCCUCCAUAGUUUCCUCUGUAACCAUUAUUUCCAGCACUUCCAACAGCAAAACCAGAUGAUCCAUAAUUUCCUCUGUAACCACUAUUUCCAGAAUUUCCAGCAUUAUUGUAGCCUGUAUUAUAUCCAAGACUACCAAAACCUUUUCCUCCUGAGAAGUUUCCUCUCUUAGGUCCUCUAUUUUGUGCAAAGUUAGCUUCUAAAUUGUGUUUAACAUCCAUAUUAGCAAGUGUUGUGCAAAUUUUAAUGAACUCGCAAGCGCACGAAUCUAUUGUAGUGUAGAUCAAUGGUGACGAGUGUCGAUCCCACGAGGAGGUGGAUUUUAAUUGUGUAUAGAAUUAAUUUUGCAAAAUGGGUGGUUGGAAUUGUGGUGGAAGUGAUUUAAAAUAUGCUAAAAUUGGAAUUGCAAUGGCGAGAAUAAAUUGUAGAGAAAAUCGAUUAAAUUGACGUACUUGGGUAUCUGGAUCCGUAUCAACAUGCAUCAUGGGCUAAAUAAUCCGUAUUAAUGCCAAUUAAAUCAUGAUGGGGGAAUCCACACAUCAUGAACCACGCUCUAAUCAAUAUGGUGCUAAGGGCUUAUCGUGCCAAAUAAUAAUAACCUUAUACUAGAGAGCCGGUGUAACCAAGGCGGUAUCUAGACAAGAUCAGUAUUAUUUGUCGACGAGAAGUCAAAACAUCCACAAAAACUAGAGGGGAAGAGAAAAUAAAUUUACCAAAUUAAGCCCAUGACACAUGUUGAGACUUCACCUUCAACCCAAGCUUGAAAGAAAAUUAGCCACUCAUAAUUGAACUAGGGGCAAAAUGGGAAUUUAUUAAAAUACAAAGAAAAUACAAGAUGGAGAGGGAAUUACAGAAAAUGGAUCCCAAAAAUGGAUUCAGAGAUAUCAAAUUAAGGGGGGAAGGCCCCCUUUUUAUAGAUACAUGGAGUAAAUCAUGGCCAUCGGAUUAAAAAUAGUUUGGACGCUCAGGAUUGCGCCACGUCAUCAGUCAACAGUCCACGGUUUGACCACGCGGAUGAACAGUAACACGGUUUGACCCGGAUGAACAGUAACGCGGUUUGGUUGAAAAUAAUCCUGUGUGAUGCAUGCACCGUACGCGAGAUUUUUCGUCCACUGAUAUGCUGCCACGUCACCAUCAACAGUACAUAAGAAUUUUAGUCCAACAGGAUCGUGACACCUCAUCAGUCAAUGCCACAUCAUCGGUCAAUGCCACGUCAUCGAUCCGUCUAUGUGAACAGUGCCGUGAACAGUAACAUAUACAGUACCGUAUACGUGAAUAGUACCGUACAUGUGAAUAGUGCCAUUUUUCCUUUUAUGCCCCUCCUAAGGUUUUCGACCGUCCUGAGUUCAAAAGUGAUGUCUGUUUUGCCAUCUGAUCUCUCCUUUAUUGUGAAAUGACUAUAAUGCCCCUAAAAUACAUAAAAUACUUAAUUAAAAUAAAACACAUGUAAUUAAAUCACAAGAAGGUUAAAUACAUAAAAGUAAGGGUUGUUAAUAAGACUUGAAACGUAAAAUGACAGUUUUCUCCUUUAUAAAUAUGCAUUUUCUAACACUCAACACACCCCCCAACCAGCUUAUUGCUAGUCCCUAGCAAAUAAAGCGAAAACAAAAUUCAAAUUCAAAAUGAUUUUUUUUUUUUUUUUUUUUUUUUGAAACACUCGUGUUUAUUCAAUCAGAUUAAUGAUAGCAAUCAAAUAAAAAUAUAAGCAUUAUCUCCAGUCUAAAGCAACAUCACACCCACAUCAACCAUCCACAUGAAUUAGCCCAGUAGACUUUGUUAUAGCUACUUUCAAGAAUGACAUGUCAAACCCCAAAAUCUCACUGGAAGUAGUGACACUCUCACAAAGAAAUUAAAACCCAAUAAACAUAGUCACUCCAAUGAAUGGUAAUUGAGAGAGAAAAUAAUAAAGAAAUGAUAUCACAUGCUCUCACCAAGAUGAAAUAAAUAUGCCCUCAGCUUAGAAAUAAUACGAUCUCAAGUCAAAUAAAAUGUUAGUCAACCCACUUUAUUUAUCUUUUUUUUUUUUUUUUUUAUUAUGCAUCACUACAUCUUUUUAGCCCAUAUAACUAGCUUCUACUUCAAACUAUAGUUCCCUAAAAUCAAGAAGGACUUUUAUUAGGACGUAACGUAGGCUAGGGAUAUGGCUAACAAAGAAAGGAAAUAAGGAAAACAAAGUGUAUGUUUGAGAAAAAUGCAGAAUUUUUUUUUUUUUUUUUUUGGAACUUGCAAGGUGGAUUUCACCUAUUAUUGUUAUUUUUAUUCUUUUGAAACAACAACUUUUGUUUUUGUUUUUUUUUUUUUUUUUUUUUGCUUUUAUUUGGCAUAACUUCACUGAACAACAUAAUUAUUUACAUUUUCUCAAACAUAAAUAGGUGAUGGAACUUAAAAGACAUUGGGUAAUACUCCAAAUCGGAGUGGGUCAAGAUGAUAAGUUGACAAAGAAAAGGUUUUUGUUCUUUUUUUUUUUUUUUAAAGGCUCAAAAGGGGUAACUAUGGAUAUUUAAUAAAAGGGAUGGCUAGAAAGGCUCAAACGGAUCAAAGAUGGCCUUUCCAUCGUCUUUUAGGGCUCUAAAUAAUCAUCCAUAUCUACUAGUUAGAUGGGCCUCCCAAUGUAGCAACACACAUUUUUUUUUUUUAAUUUUACCAUUUUUUUUUUUUAAGGGUUAACUCAAAAGAAAUCUAGAGAUCGUGUAUAAAAUAAUAAACUACUAAGCUGUAUAGAGAAUGGGCAAAAGGGUUACUCUCCAAGAAAAUAAUAGGCUCAACUACUCACUUGGCACUUAUUUAUGACAUGUUCAUUCCUUCAAGCAACUCAUAUUUGUCUCCGACAUCAACAUGUAAAGUAGCAAACAUAGCGUAACAUCACUUAAGACCAAAGAUAAUACAAAUACUAAAAUUUGAAAUUAAUCAUGUCAUCCAAUGUUAAAACAAAUAACACAAAUUUUUUUUUUUUUUUUUAAACAACAUUCUACCCCCCAACCUAUUCUAAACAUGAAAGGAAAAUAUGCAUGCGGAAAUGUGAAAAUGAUGUAGAAAAAUUAAUUAGAAAAAGAAUUUUUUUUUUUUUUUUUAAACUAAGAAGAUGCGUUUCUAGAGGCACUACACUCCAUAUUCAGCCAUCUUCGACUCAAAAAUUUGAAACUACAUAUUUAUAAAGGAGAAAGAGGAAGAAAACAGGUUUUUUUUUUUUUUUUUUUUUUUUUUUUUUAAAACGAUGAAGAUGCGUUUCUAGAGUAACUACACUCCAUAUUCAGCCAUCUUCAACAUAAAAUGUUAGCAACUGUUAGUUUCUACAACAAAAAAUCAGUAAAAACUUAACCAAGAUUCCACAAUUGUCGACUAUUCCCUCCCCCCAACCAGAACGAAACAUUGUCCUCAAUGUUUUAAAGGAAAGAAGUAGAGUUUAGAAGACAUCACCUGGGUGGUGCAACACAGAAGAAAAUAUUUACAGGCGGAGAGUUAAAUCUAAUUUGUACUUCUUACUGCGGCUACUGUUACCAUCAUUAUUUGGUCGCUCCAACACAAAGGUCCAGGGGUCUGGCUCCGGUUUAUAAGCUUGUAACAUAUCAAGUAGCUCAUUAGCAGUGUGAGCACAAAUAAAGAGUUUUUUCACAUUAGAAGGAAUGAAAUAGUUUUUUAUUGCAUGGUUAAGAAAUGCGAUAAAGCCAUCAUAAAAGUUAUUGACAUUUAACAAACCGAUGGGUUUCUGGUGGAUGUGCAGAUGGGCCCAAGAUGCUAGUGUCAUAAGUGCCUCUAGUGUUGCAAGAUCUCCUGGAAGGAAAAUAAAAGCAUCAGCAUGAUUAAGCAUUUUAGUUAUUCUUUCUUGCAUACUUGAGACGACUAACUCUUCUCCUGUUGAUGAGUCAGACGAACUGCCCAAUGGUUUUAGGACUCUUGGGAUGAUGCCUAACACUUGACUUCCUCUGAUAAAAGCUGCUUCUGAGACCAUUUUUGAUAACCCUCGGUUACCUCCUCCAUACACCAAAUGUAAUUUUCUCGCUGCUAUGCUUCGACCAAGAUCUAUGGCUGCCUCAACGAACUCUUUAUGUUUGCCAUAGGUAAAUCCAGAAAGCACACAAAUGUUCUUGAAUUGUCUAUUGGGAGUGGCUGCCAUUGUGAUACUUCUCAAAAAUAAUUUGUGAGUGCUUGACAAAAAGUAAAUCACAUUUAAGAAUCUUGGUGACAGUGGAUCACAGCUGUGAAUGAGGUAACAUGUCAGUGUCAAAUAACGCGUAAAGCACGUGGCUCGCGAGUCAAAAAGAAAACAGUAAAAAGGAAAAAGCAAACAGUAAUAAAAUUAUUAAAGGCAAUAAUGCAAACGAUAAAACAAUAGUGAAAUAAAAUAACAGAAAGUAAAAGGAUAUUUACACGUAGUUGCGACUGUGGCUCACAUCUUCCUCUGGUUUUACGUCCAGAAACGGCUUGAACGCCCUCUAUGGGUCGAGGAUGGGCUUCCCAUCCAGUUUUCUUAUAAACUGGCAAACAGGGUCGUUUAUAGUCAGAUUCCCGAGACUAUAUCGUGCAUGCUCUUUCUGGAAUAAUGGCCAUAACCGGAGAAUCGCUCCUUGCACAUAUCCACUGGGAUGCGUUUCAAGAGACAAAAGGAUAUCAUCCAAUGACUCCUUAUUCAAGCCAUCCCUAAUGAAUUGAAUCUUAUCUUCCCUGUUAUCAGACACCAUUCCUAAAGAACAUGGGUUUCUAUCGCAACUCAUUCUGGCACACUUAUGACAAGCAACAGAAAUUCUUCGAGCUCGUCGUUUUCUUGCAUAAUUUCCUUUACCACAACCAGGCAUGUAUGCAAUAAAUUUAGGAGGUAACUCACCUGCCAAUCGUACUUUAGCCUCGAUUAACCAACGGAUGUCUGCAGGUAUGUUAUUCUUCAUGAGCAAUCGCAUGCGUUCAGACCGGGCUUUAUAGAUCGUAAGGAGGGCAUUCUGAGGAAGUGAAGGGAAUCGCUUGUGAAGCUUCGCUAGAAUCUCGUUUCUGUCCAUACCUUCGCCUCAGAAUGUCAGUUAUUAUGGGAAACUGAAGUUAACCGACUUGAUUGUCACGGAGUACCGUUAUCCGCCACUUCACCGGGGUAACAAACUAAAGCACACAAACAGAAAAACAAAUUAAAACACACAAAGAAAAUUAAAAUCGUCCUCUUAUUGAAUUUACCUCAAGCUCCAACUGGAUGUCGUAAACACUUCUCUCAAUGUCUCUGAGUUGGCGUUCUAAACCCUCAACAUAGGCUACUAACUCUGGUGGUUGUAGAGCCCAAAUGCGUUGUGUUUUACAAAAUUGAAUCUGCUUUUUGAGAUGAGUUUUGACACGUUGAAGUGGUUUAAGAAUGUUCAGAAGGAACGGUCUAAGUAUGGUACUCAUGAUUAACAAUGAUAAGAAAAAAAGAAAACUUAAUGGUAAAACAAACACACUUAUGCAAAAAUAAUUUCAAUUAGCAAAAGACUAAUAAAAAGAAAGAAAGAAAAAUCAAAUCAACAAAAAGAAAAAAUCAAUUCAAAUCUGGUGGGUCACUCAAAUUUAUUUCGGUGUCUUCUCCAUGUGGUUGGUACUCUAGAUAUGGCUUUAAUCUUUGACCAUUAACUUUAAACGUGACACCGUUCUUUGGGUCUUUAAUUUCAAUUGCCCCAUGUGGAAAAACAGUAUGAACAAUAAAGGGACCAGACCAUCGAGAGCGUAACUUACCUGGGAAUAGGUGCAAGCGAGAAUUGAAUAAAAGUACUUUCUGACCUGGAGUGAAAGAUUUUCUCAUAACGUGCUUGUCGUGGAAGACUUUCAUUCGUUGCUUGUAAAUCUUGGCAUUUUCGUAUGCAUCAUUGCGAAUUUCUUCAAGUUCUGCCAGCUGUAAUCUUCUUUCUGAGCUGGCUUGCUGCAUGUCAAAGUUGAAUUUCUUGAUGGCCCAAUAUGCACGAUGCUCGAGUUCCACAGGUAGGUGGCAAGCUUUUCCAUACACUAGCCUGUAGGGUGACAUCCCAAUCGGGGUCUUGAAAGCCGUUCUAUAUGCCCAUAAUGCAUCAUCAAGUCGUAAUGACCAAUCUUUCCUGUCUGGCCUCACCGUCUUUUCUAAUAUGUGCUUUAUUUCUCGAUUGGAGAUCUCAACUUGGCCACUGGUUUGCGGAUGAUACGGGGUCGCCACUUUGUGUGUGAUUGAAUACUUUGUCAAAAGAGUCUUGAAUGCUUUGUUACAAAAGUGGGCACCACCAUCACUGAUUAUCGCUCGAGGGAAUCCAAAGCGUGAAACAAUGUUGCUUUUCAAAAAUCCUAUCACCACUUUGUGAUCAUUGGUUCUGCAUGGAAUUGCUUCCACCCAUUUCGAUACGUAGUCAACAGCAACCAAGGUAAUACUUCCACAUUCAUUAAUUGUUCAUCUGGAAAUGACUCAUUUAAUAUUAAUGGCUCUGUAAUUGUGUCAAAAUGGAGACGAGAGAGGUGGUCCGCCACAACAUUUUCUGUGCCUUUCUUAUCCUUGAAUUCCAAGUCAAAUUCCUGCAAAAGUAACACCCAACGAAUUAGUCUAGCUUUUGCAUCUUUUUUUGUGAGAAGAUAUUUAAGAGCAGCAUGAUCUGUGAAUAUAAUUAUUUUACAACCAAUGAGAUAAGAUCGAAAUUUCUCUAAUGCAAACACUACUGCUAGCAUUUCUUUUUCAGUAGUUGAAUAGUUCAACUGUGCAUCAUUCAAUGUCAUACUAGCAUAGUAAAUAACAUGGGGAAUUCGAUCAACUCUUUGUCCUAAAACUGCUCCUACUGCAUAAUCAGAUGCAUCACACAUAAGCUCAAAUGGUAAGCUCCAGUUUGGGGCCUGAAUGAUGGGUGAUGAUGUCAACAAUUGCUUUAAUUUUUCAAAAGCCAUAAGACAUGAAUCAUUAAAGAUAAAAGGUACAUCCUUAGCAAGUAAAUUGCAUAAGGGUCUAGAAACUUUGCUAAAAUCUUUAAUGAAACGUCUAUAGAAACCAGCAUGCCCAAGGAAAGAUCUUACUUCUCUGACUGUUUUAGGUGGAGGAAGAUUAGAAAUGAGAUCCACCUUGGCUUUGUCAACCUCAAUACCUUUGCUCGAAAUGAUGUGACCGAGAACAAUACCUUGUUUUACCAUAAAAUGGCACUUCUCCCAAUUCAAGACUAAGUUCUUCUCGGUACAUCUCUGCAGAACUAGUGUUAGAUGAUGUAAACAUUGAUCAAACGAGUCACCAAAGACAGAAAAAUCAUCCAUAAAGACUUCAAGGAAUCGUUCAACCAUAUCAGAAAAAAUGCUCAACAUGCAUCGUUGAAAUGUAGCAGGUGCAUUACAUAAUCCAAAUGGCAUUCUCCUAUAUGCAAAUGUGCCAAAAGGGCAAGUGAAAGUAGUCUUCUCUUGAUCUUUUGGUGCUAUGGGAAUCUGAUUAUAUCCUGAGUAGCCAUCUAGAAAGCAAUAAAAUUCAUGGCCUGCUAAUCUAUCAAGCAUUUGAUCAAUAAAUGGUAAAGGAAAAUGGUCUUUACGUGUGACAGAAUUCAACUUUCUAUAAUCAAUGCAUACACGCCAUCCUGUAGUUACUCUAGUUGGUAUCAAUUCAUUAUCAGCAUUGGUAACUACUGUGACUCCUGACUUUUUGGGGACGACUUGUACAGGACUGACCCAUGAACUAUCAGAAAUUGGGUAAAUGAUACCUGCAUCUAAUAGCUUAAGGACUUCAGUUCUAACAACUUCUUUCAUGUUAGGAUUUAACCGACGUUGCAUCUCCCUAGUAGUUUUAGCAUUUUCAUCAAGGUGAAUGUAAUGCAUGCAGUCUACUGGGUUUAUACCUUUUAUGUCUGCUAUGGUCCAUCCUAAUGCCCCUUUGUGCUCUUUUAAAACAUCCAACAACUUACCUUUUUGUUCGUCAUUUAGGGAUGAUGAGAUGAUUACCGGCAGAGUACUUUCUUCUCCCAAAAAUGCAUAUUCCAGAGUGUUGGGUAAUGGUUUGAGCUCGAGUUUCGGUGGUGAUUCUGAUGAUGGGAUGAGUUUCUUCUCUGAUGGUGCUAGUUGUUCAACUCUUGACUUCCAUUUAUUAGUGUCCAUGGAUGGUGCUGAGUCAAGUAGGGCGUUGACCUCAUCGACCGAUCUGUCAAUAUCAAAAUCCAAACCAAAGUGAGUUAAACAUGUUUGUAAAGGAUCAUCACUAAUGUUUGAAAUAAAAGUAUUAUCGACUAUUGUUUCUAUUAAAUCCACAUCAACAAUUCCAUCAUCUGCACUGUGAGGUUGUUUGGCAAUGUUGAAAAUAUUUAGCUCCAUAGUCAUGUUGCCGAAGGACAAUUGCAUAUUUCCGGUCCUACAUUGAAUAUGAGCAUCUGCAGUUGCCAAGAAAGGUCGGCCUAGAAUAAUGGGGAUGUGCUUCUUUGAGUCCUGUAUUGGUUGAGUGUCAAUUACAAUGAAAUCAACAGGAAAAUAAAACUUGUCUACCUGAAUAAGCACGUCCUCCACAAUACCACGAGGUAUUUUCGUGGACCGAUCUGCAAGCUGUAACACCACUGGAGUUGGGUGUAAUUCUCCCAGUCCAAGUUUCACGAAAACAGAGUAAGGCAACAAAUUUACACUAGCUCCUAAAUCCAACAAAGCAUUCUCAAUUGUGUGGUUCCCUAUACUACAUGAGAUAGUGGGGGAGCCUGGGUCUUUGCAUUUUAAAUGAAUUUUGUGUUGGAGUAUAGAACUAACGUUUUCUGUUAAAAAUGCCUUCUUUUGAACAUGCAUAUUUCUCUUUUUAGUACAAAGGUCUUUAAGAAACUUGGCAUAAGAUGGAACUUGUUUAAUCGCAUCAAGUAAAGGGAUGUUAACACUUACCUGUUUGAAGAUUUCAAGAAUCUCACCUGUGGAUUUUCCCUUCUUUCCUUUCGCUAACCUAUGAGGAAAUGGAGCUUUCGGAACGUAUUCUCGUGGGUUGGUUUCUUCUUUCUCCUCCGGUGGUGAGUCUUCAACAUUCACAGGUACAAUUUGAUUUUCUUUUGUCACCGGCAUUUCCACUUUGUUGUCGACUUCUUUUCCUUUUCGCAAGGUCAUGACUGCUUUGACCUCUCCAUGCUGCUGUGGUGAACUGGUACUUGCUUCAUGCACUCCUUUAGGAUUAGGCACUGGUUGACUUGGAAACUUACCUUUCUCAACGGUUAUUGCCAAGGUCUGAACUGAAGAAGCGAGCUGUCCCACCAUCUUCUCGAGGCUUGAAACUGAUUGGGCUUGUGAAUUGAAGCCUGCUCUCAACUCAUUUCGUAGUCCAUCAAUAGUGCGGUUCUGUUGCUCAAUCGUAGAGUGAGUAACAUUCUUGAGAUUCUGGAAUGAAUCCUCCCACGGUCUGGGCUGAGUGUAGUUCUGGUUCUGAUUGUAUGGUCUGAAUGGGGGCUGAGAGGCUUGAGGAAUUGGUUGCAUUGGUGGAGCUGGAGUUGUUGGUCCAUUCUGUUGGAAUCCUUGAGACCAUGAAAAAUUGGGGUGGUCUCUCCAUCCAGGGUUAUAUGUGUUGGAGUAUGGGUUGUAAUUUGAUGGCUUUCUCAUUAUCCCUAUGGCAUUGGCUUCAUUUGAAUAUGAGUCAUGGUCAUGUGGUUCUGUUGAUUUAGCAGUCGAUAACGAUGCUAUUUGUCGAGCAAGACCUUCAACAAUCUCCUUGACUUCUUUAAUUCCCGAAGUUGACUCGCCAAUUUGAACCUCAUUUACUCCUUUAAUUCUUCUGGUAUUCCUGAGUGACCGACUCCGUUGUUGGGAAUUAUCCGCUUGUCGCUGGAAGAAUUCCCAAAUCUCUGAUGCACUUUUUGACAUUAGCUCCCCUCCACUUGUUGCCAUUAGCCAUUCUUGCACGUUCGACAAUAAUCCCUCCAAAAAGUAUUGGCAUUGGUGCCAUUUCUCGUACCCAUGAUGUGGACACUUCAAGAGUAGCCCAUUGAAUCGCUCCCAUGUUUCAAAAAACUGCUCGUCUUCUCUUUGAGUAAACUCUGAGAUUUCCCUGCGAAUAGCAUUGGUUUUAUGCACUGGGAAAUAUUUAUUUAGAAAUUUUGUUACCAUUUGUUCCCAUGAUGAAAUGCUAUUAGCAGGUAAUGUAUUAAGCCAUGAACGAGCUCUAUCCUUUAAAGAAAAUGGGAAUAAUCUGAGUUUAACAUCAUCGUCUGAAAAAUUUUCGUAUUUAAAAGUUUGACAAAUGGCAUGAAAAUCAUUCAAAUGAUUAUAUGGAUCCUCAUUUUCUAGGCCAUAAAAUGUGGGGAGACAAUUUAACACACUAGGUUUUAAUUCAAAACUCCUAGCAGCUACAUUUGGGUAUCUUAUGCAUGACGUGCUCAAAUUAGCUAAGGGACUAAAAUAGUCCUUAAAUGGCCUCUCCUGUGGUGCUUGUAAAUCCAUUUUAUUUUUAACGUGUUUGUGUGUGCGAAGUGUUUUUUCUAAUUCAAGGUCUAUAGGUUCAAGAUUUGGUAAUAAUGACCUACGACCAUGCAUGCAAAACAAAUAAAAUAAAAAUAAAGAUGCAAACAAAAUAAAAAUAAAGAUGGGAACAAAACAAAUAAAAAUAAAGAAGAGGGAGAAAUUACGAUACUAACCUUAUUGCGCUAUUACAACCUUUCUAUAAAAAUACACAAAAAUAAAUACGUGAAAUAAAUUAACUAAAAAUUAAAUUAAUAAAAUAAACAAAAAUUACAAAGAAAAAAAUAAAUUGAAAAUUAAAUUACAGAAUUUUAAAGAAGAGAGAGAGAAAAAAAUACUAACCUUUAAAUGCGGAUUUACUUUUUUUUUUUUUUUUAAUAAAAAAAAAAUACAAGAAAACAAAUAAAAGAAAUUAUUCACAAAAAUUAAUUCUAUGAAUUAAAAUUACUUACCUCCCCGGCAACGGCGCCAAAAACUUGUUGUGCAAAUUUUAAUGAACUCGCAAGCGCACGAAUCUAUUGUAGUGUAGAUCAAUGGUGACGAGUGUCGAUCCCACGAGGAGGUGGAUUUUAAUUGUGUAUAGAAUUAAUUUUGCAAAAUGGGUGGUUGGAAUUGUGGUGGAAGUGAUUUAAAAUAUGCUAAAAUUGGAAUUGCAAUGGCGAGAAUAAAUUGUAGAGAAAAUCGAUUAAAUUGACGUACUUGGGUAUCUGGAUCCGUAUCAACAUGCAUCAUGGGCUAAAUAAUCCGUAUUAAUGCCAAUUAAAUCAUGAUGGGGGAAUCCACACAUCAUGAACCACGCUCUAAUCAAUAUGGUGCUAAGGGCUUAUCGUGCCAAAUAAUAAUAACCUUAUACUAGAGAGCCGGUGUAACCAAGGCGGUAUCUAGACAAGAUCAGUAUUAUUUGUCGACGAGAAGUCAAAACAUCCACAAAAACUAGAGGGGAAGAGAAAAUAAAUUUACCAAAUUAAGCCCAUGACACAUGUUGAGACUUCACCUUCAACCCAAGCUUGAAAGAAAAUUAGCCACUCAUAAUUGAACUAGGGGCAAAAUGGGAAUUUAUUAAAAUACAAAGAAAAUACAAGAUGGAGAGGGAAUUACAGAAAAUGGAUCCCAAAAAUGGAUUCAGAGAUAUCAAAUUAAGGGGGGAAGGCCCCCUUUUUAUAGAUACAUGGAGUAAAUCAUGGCCAUCGGAUUAAAAAUAGUUUGGACGCUCAGGAUUGCGCCACGUCAUCAGUCAACAGUCCACGGUUUGACCACGCGGAUGAACAGUAACACGGUUUGACCCGGAUGAACAGUAACGCGGUUUGGUUGAAAAUAAUCCUGUGUGAUGCAUGCACCGUACGCGAGAUUUUUCGUCCACUGAUAUGCUGCCACGUCACCAUCAACAGUACAUAAGAAUUUUAGUCCAACAGGAUCGUGACACCUCAUCAGUCAAUGCCACAUCAUCGGUCAAUGCCACGUCAUCGAUCCGUCUAUGUGAACAGUGCCGUGAACAGUAACAUAUACAGUACCGUAUACGUGAAUAGUACCGUACAUGUGAAUAGUGCCAUUUUUCCUUUUAUGCCCCUCCUAAGGUUUUCGACCGUCCUGAGUUCAAAAGUGAUGUCCGUUUUGCCAUCUGAUCUCUCCUUUAUUGUGAAAUGACUAUAAUGCCCCUAAAAUACAUAAAAUACUUAAUUAAAAUAAAACACAUGUAAUUAAAUCACAAGAAGGUUAAAUACAUAAAAGUAAGGGUUGUUAAUAAGACUUGAAACGUAAAAUGACAGUUUUCUCCUUUAUAAAUAUGCAUUUUCUAACACUCAACAGCAAGCAUAUGAGUUUGUUGAUCAAUCCUAGCCUCUUGAGUUAACAGCAUAGCAUAAGCCUCAUUAACAUUCAUUUUUCCAGUUCCUACUUGUCCAGUGAUGUAAGUAGCAACAGAAUUAUAAUCAGGACCUAGACCAGAGAGUACAUGUAAAAUCAAAUCAUCAUUGCUUAAUGCACUUCCUGCUGCAGCCAUGUUAUCAGCAAUAGAUUUCAUUUUAAUGAAGUAUUCAGUCAUUUUAAGAUCAUCCUUUCUAGUGGAAUUCAUCAAAUAUCUCAAAUGUAAUAACCUAGACUUUGAUUGAGAUCCAAAUUGAGUUUCAACAGCUUUCCAUACCUCCAAUGAAGUCUCAAGAUUGAACACCAAACUGAUGAUACCUUCACUCAUGGAUGAAAGAAGCCAACCGAGAAGUAUUUGAUCUUGUGCUCUCCAGGUUGCAAAUUCUGGAUUCUCCACAGAUCUAAGCUCAUCAUCAUAUCUCUGAGCAAUAUGAGAAGGAGGUGGAGUGAUUGACUCAUCGAUAAAUUUCUCAAGUCUAUUUCCUCGAAUUGAAGCAAGCACUUGAGAUCUCCAGAUCAAAUAGUUUGAUUGAUCAAGUUUAACGGGAGUAUUGAAAGUGAAAUUGACUGUUGUUGAAUGUGCAGCGGUAUUAUGAACUUGAUUUAAGGAAGAGGCAAGAUUCACAGAUGCCAUUGUGGCUCUGAUACCAAGUAAGAAAUCAGAAAAAGGAUGUUUGGAAGCUGAGAAAAUUUAAGAACUGAAAGCUUUUAGCUCACACGAUUUUAUUCAUCUAAAACUUACUUAUGAAACUGUACACAGAGAUGCUUAUAUACACAACUGAUGCUCAGCUCAAUUAGUUAACUAAUUACAAAACUAAUUCUAGCUAGCUAUAACAACUUCAACUAAUUAUCACGUGAACAAGUGAUUACAUAACCACCAGGUGCCAGCUGGCAUGCCAUGUCAUCAACUCUUAACUGUAAGCUGGAGCUGCUGCUAUCCUCUGCUUUACAGUCUAUGCUACUGAUGUGUGCUUCCUUAACACCUUUCCAAGUUGAUUUUAGUUAUUUGUUCUUAAUAUGUCUAAGCGUAUGGACUUGAUGGAAGGUGGGGUUUAUUUACAGGUUCCGUCAUGAUAUUCUCCCGUGCCAUAUAAAUCAUCAUUGUUUUGCAAGUGCUCUACGGCAUUCUUUACUGGAUAGGCUAGCCAGGGUGCCUUAGAGGCAAGCGUCAAGACGGAAAUGAAAUAUAUCUAAAGCUACACACAAGCACAGGUUGGUCAUUUUAUCAUUUAUAAGUCUUCUAUCUCUUUUAACUUAGUCUAACAUCUUGUUGAACCCAAGCACGAUUCAUUUCACAUAGGCUUGACUGCUAUGUGGUCCAAACUUCAUUUGAAACAUUGGAAACUCCUUGGCAACGUUUUUUAUAUUGCAGAUUCUAUAGGUCAAUCCUGUUGCUGUGCAGUUAGGCACGAGUCAACAGCAAUGAUAGACUUGAAAGUAAUUUUUGCUGGGCAAGAGACUGAGGAAACAUUUUGUAUUUUGCUGGUCUGAUAGUGCUGUGCCAUAAAGCAAUUUACCAAGCAUAGCUUUACAAAUAGAUUGCAGAAUUAUUCAAGGUGUUCUGCAUUUUCCAUAAUUGGACCAACGAACUAUUCACGAGGCAGUAGUGAACGAGUGUUCUAUAUGGUGGUUUGCUUUAAAUACUGAACGAAAAAUGUGGUCCAUUGUGUUUUUUUUGUGUCGUUAUAGCUCUAAUCUUUUCUUAUGGCCCCUGUGUAGGUUAGUUAUAUGUUGAGCACAAUGAUGCUAUUUUAGUAGUCAUAAUUCCUGCAGCCAAGCACCCGAAACUGCUUCAUCUCAAGUUCUUACAUUUUGGAGCUGUAACCCAAGAUGUAUUAAAUAUAAUUUUCAUAAGCUUUAGUGAACCAGGGCAUUCUUUGCAGUUCUCUUCAAAUGACAAGACAUCUAUUGGGAUCUUACUUUUGUUGAUGAGAGGGUCUGAAACAGCUGGUGCAAUAAGUAAAAUUGAUUUUAUGUAGACUAGAAAGCUCUGCCCGCUGUGAAGGCUUUCCUGUUAAAUGAAGGUCCUCCAAAGCUGCACAGUCUGAAUCAGAGAGCUUCCUAGAAACUGCAUGGAGGGUAGAGUGCUGAGGGCACGAGAUAAGCUUUGCAAAUUUGCUGCAAAUUUGAGGAUAAGUUUCUGCAGCACAUUACAACUGCUGACUGCUGAGGUGAGUUUAAUUUGUUUUAGAUAUUUAUUAUUGUUCUUGCGAAUUUCCAAGUAGCAUAUUAAAAAGUUUGAUUUUUUAAUGACUUUGCUUAUAUUCUUUUCAUUCAUACAAUUUCAGAGUUGAAAAAGGAGAAAACCAAGACGUAAAUGAGAAUGUGAUAAUAUCCUCUCUUAAACUGAAGCCUUGAAGAAAAUUUCUUGAUUAGUAGCUGUCAUGAUGCGUGGUUCUGGUUGGAAAGCUGUUGCCAAUUUUGAGCGGUGUUUCUUUAACGAGAUCAAACAGCUCUCUUUGGACGGACAUUUUGAUUCGAUAAUGUCAAGAGGGAUUGUCUUGUGCCAAUUCCCUUCCUGAUCUUUUAAUCUUUUCAGGAUUUGCAAGUCAAGCAACCUUCUUGUAUUCAUUUUCUAUUCGAUUGUGUUAGAAGCUGAUGGCUAACAACUAUAUCUAUUAUACCCUGAGAUCUUUAAUAAUAGGUUUCCUCGAGCUUGCAAAAGACCUAUCACGGCUUUGUGUUGAUGAGGCAAUGGAACCAUCUGUAUCCGAAGCUCCUUACUUCUAAUUCUUAGAGACUUUUGCCCUUCUACCCUUUUCAUGAUGCUGGAUGUUCGAUUUUUUGUUUUGGUCAUAGUUUAGAUUCUUUACAUCAGAUAUAUUGAUGGGUCCUACAUGGAUAGUAUUGCUCUCUGUUUGGUGCAUGAUUUGAAUAUUCUUAUUCUACACUAAUAUAAUACCAAGGCAAUUCUUGUUUCUAUUUAUUGAUGAAGUUACUGGCUGACUUAUGAAACAGGUACGUAUAGUUCUGGUUAAGGUGGUUUGUGGUGCUGCAAACGCUACACCAAGCUUGGAAGAUAUCCUUUGUUCAAGAGAGAGGUGUGACUCUUAUUGUUAUGUCACAUAAUAUUGUUGUACGUACAUGCAUGAUUUGACCUGUAUGUGGUUCAAAUUUCCUUUUCUCCUUGUCACAAUAGUAUUGUUUGGAAAUGAGGCAGAGCAAGCUUGCUAUCAUGAACAGUGUCAUUUUCCUUUUGUUUAACAUUUUGGGAUCAAUGGUUGGAUCAAAACUGCUAAAUGGUUGCGAAGAUCUUUUCCCAAAUUCCUCUGAAAUCUGUUUGCUUUUACUAGAAUGGAAAUACAGUGCCAAGAAGAGGAGGUAAAGACUUGAUCUUCGAAGAAAGCAAAUGAGGCAGAGCAAGCUAGCGAUUCUGAACAGGGUAUACAUGCAGGACACGAUGGCUUGUACACUUGCUAGCAUUGAAGGAGAACUAUGAUGGAUGUGUGUCAAGAAGUAGGUAGUUAUAUCAUAGAGAAGAUUUCGACAGUUUGGCUGCUUUGCCAAUUAAAUUUUCACUUACAAGUUCUAAGACUUAUGUGACUGCUUGCAAUUGUUUUUUUUCCAAGUUGAAAAAGCAAAGGAAGAAAUGUUGAAUCAGUUAAAUAGCUGUGUCAGGUUGAUGCUCUCUGCAUCAAUUCUUGAAAGGGGAGGGAUGUAUUUUAUUUCAUAUACUUACUUCUUUAUCUAUUCUGUGCAUUGAUAAUAUUCCUGAAAUUUUCUUAUGAUAAUUUGCAUAGUGCACAAAGCAAAGCAGGGAUUAAAGAGCUUCUUCAGGAGGAGGGAUUGCUUUCAGAGACGGUCUGAACUCCUUUCUAAACUAACACGUACGCCAAUUUAGCACCCCAUGAUCUUUGCUGAUAAUUCAUAUUUUCACUGCAUAUUUUUAUUGGGUGAAAAGGUGCUUAACAACUCCAUGAUCCCACCAGCGCUUUGCUUAAACUUCACUUGAUUAUAAUCACUAGAAGAGGGUACGGGUUUGUGAUUGUGUACUUAGGACUAUGUAUAGUUUUCUGAAUGUUGUGAUUUUACGGUGUGUCCCUAUGUCAGAACAAUGGAUUUAAAGUGUAUUUGAAUUCCAUUUAUCAUAUUCUUCUAUUCAUCAUUUUGUUUUUGCUUUUUCGUUUUCAUUUUUCAAUCAUUGAUUGCCCAAAACUUGAGAGAUUGCCUGAUGAAAUAGGAAAUUUAAGAGCCUUGUCCUAUUUAAGAGUUGAAGGAGCUGUUAUAAGAGAAGUACCAGUAAGCCUUGGUCAAUUAACCUCGCUAGCAAAGUUUGAUUCUAAAUGACAAUCGCAACUUGGAGAGAAUACCGGAAAGCAUCAGACAUCUUUCUAAUUUGGAAUUUCUCGAAUUAAGCUGUUGCACGUCACUGGAAGCAUUAUCUGCAGGUUUACCAUCAAUUUCAUUCGAGUUAUCUGGAGGUUUAAUACUUAUGAUAAAUUUAGAUAGUAUUUCAGCAAAUUACAAGAUCUGUUUAACCUACCAAAUUUUAAAAAUUACAAAGAAUAACAAAACAGAACAGAGGUGUUCUACAUCAUUUUUAUUUCUAUUUUGGUGCCAUGUCUAGAGACUUUUUCUAGCAGCGAAUUUUAAACAAGUCAAGGUUGAGCGUUUGUUAAUGUUUCUAGAUCUCGAUCUGCUUUAAAAACUGAUGUGGCAUACAUAUUUUUUUUAUUUUUUAUUUGGUAAAGAAAUAGCUUCGUCAGUCAGUGUCAAUCGCUUGAAAAGUCUGAAUCUUUGAGAGCUCCUUAGAAACCUCACGACACUGUCAAGUUCGCACUGACUAGUGAUUCGCAGAACAAGUUUGGUAGAAUAGCUCUGCUAGAUGCUCUAGCUCCGCAGAUUCGCAAGUGUUUGAAAGUCCGGGUUCUAAAUCUGCUCCGCAGGUUACAAAUGAAAUCUCAAAUAUUUCAGGAUGAGUUAUUACAGCUGUUAAGGUUAAAGAGAAAAAGAUGGAUGAAAUUCUAAGCUUAAACCAAAGUACAAGAAUGAACAACAACCAAUCAAGAACUAGAGACUUAAAGAAUAGCACAAUACAACCAAUUUGAAGGAACAAUCAGUUCACUUUUAUUGAUAGAAUAACACAGAAAUUGACCAAGAAUAGAGUAGAAAAGCUUUACAAAGAAACAAAUUUUUCACAAAAUGGCUAAGUGAUUAUAGAGAACAAUGCGAAGAAACAGGGCCCAACGCUCAGCACAGAUUUUUGUAACAAACUCUUAUUAGAUUCUUAUUUUGUCGGUUAUGCACCUCAGUUUGGAUAAUGUAACAAAGGCCCCAAACUAUAUGCCUUUAUGACAUAGUCCAGCUGACUUUCAAUCUUUUGCAAAACAGCCCAGCAACAAUAGCUGGGUGAGUUGAUGGUCCGGAGCGCUGAGGGGACGAGAUCUCUGGCUUUGCAACUUUGCUGCAAAUUUGAGGAUAAGUUUCUAUAACACAAUACGACUGCCGAGGCGAGUUUAAUUUCUUUUUGUUAUUUCUUCUUGUGCUGGCAAAUUUUCAAGUAGCUUAUUAAAAAGUUUGAUUCUCUAAUGGUUUUGCUUACACUCUUUUCAUUUAUAUAACUGGAGAAAUGUGAAAGGCAAAACCUAAUACGUAAAUGAGAAUGUGAUAAUAUCCUCUCUAGAACUGAAGCCUUGUAGAAAGUUUCUUGAUUUCAAGAUAUAUAGUACUAGUUUUAAAUUUGUGAUACAGGGGAAUUUUCUGAGUAGGAUCUAACAGCUCCAUUCGCAUGCAACUGCAAUCAAAGAGCUGCCGUCAUCCAAUGAGAUCUUAUUAGUUAAAUUUGAGCUUAUUUACUGUUCAAGGAUUUAGAGGAUUUCGAGAAGCAUAUGAAAGUUGAAAUGUUUUUGAGAUAUUGCUCUUUCCGAUCGUUUAAAUCCGAAGAGGUUUCCAGAGAUCUCAUCUGGUAACACAAAAGGGUUUUAUUUUGAUGGAACUGCAAUCGAAGAACUGUCCUCAUCCUUAGUGUCUAUCCAGUUUAAAUUUAAUAUACAAGAUGACAUAUCUCGAGAAGCAUAUUUAAGCUUAAAUAUCUUGAAGAUCUUAAUCUCUCUAGUAGCAUAAAUCUAAAGUGGAUACCAGAUAUGUCAUCUUGUGUAUUAAAUUUUUAUAUUUAGAUGGAACAACAAUCAAAGAAUCGCAUGCCUUGAUGCACUGCAUGUCCCUCCAGACCAGUUACCUUGACUCUUUCAAAUUUUAAAAGGCUUAAGAGUCUCCCAAGCAGCCUAUACAUGUUGCAAUGUCUUUGAGAUCUUUAUUUCAAAUGGUUGUGAGCAAAUGGCUUCAUCAUUGCCAAUUUCACGGACUUACCUAAAAGUCUUGACCGGUUACUAUCUCUAUGGCAUUUGUAUCUAGAUGAAAACCAUUACAAGAGAAUAUCAGAAAGCAUUGAUGAAUUGGUUUAUGUGCCCUACGCCAAAGUCCUUGCUCAUUACGGGAGUUAAUUGUGCUCAUUAAGAUAUUCCUGUUACUAAAAUCUCUAUUUAUUCAAAUCUUCUUUGCCUCUGGCCAUUUUUUUUCUAAAUUUUUAUAGGAUUCAGGAACAUAUAUGAAUCAUUGUCAGUUCUUCGGAUUAGCUUCCUGUAUGCGUUGUCGUCCAUUUCCAAAUAAUAUACGACAGCUAAUUCCAAAACCACAGACCACAUUGUCUGUCGCUCUGUUUUGAGAUCACAGAUUCAACUUUUCAGUGUUAAAAAAUUUUGGAAAUGAUAUGUCUUUCCAUGGAAAAUAUGUGUUGCGUCGCGUUAUCAUUCAUUAUUUCACUAUUCUUUAGUGAAUUACUAUUUUGGUAUGGGGACGGCUACAGUAAAUGCAUGUAUGUGACACAUGCAAGCUAGGGGUAUUCGCGGAUCGGAUUUUACGGAUUGGACAUCAAUCCAUAUCCAAUCCAUGAUUUUGCGGAUUAUAAUUUUUCAAUCCAAUCCAAUCCACGGAUUGAUAAAAUUCAAUCCAAAUUCAAUCCAUACAUCUGCGGAUCGGAUACGGAUUUGACUCAAUCCAUAUCCAAUCCAUACGUCUACGGAUCGUAUGCGGAUUUGACUCAAUCCAUAUGCAAUUCAUCAUUUUGUGCAUUAGUUUUCGAAUUAAAAAUUUUUAGUUCUCUCCAACUAAUGAAAUAAAAAAAUCUAAUAUAAAAAUAAUUUUGCUACCAAUUAAAUUUAAAAUUGAAAAAAAUUUAAAUAAAUUAAUUGUUUAAAUAAAGCUAAAAUAAUACAUUUAAAGUUUUAAAAUAUAACACAUCGAGACUAAUUAUUCAAAUAAAGCUACAAUAAUACGUUCAAAGUUUCAAAAUAUAACACACCAAGUUUAAUUGUUCAAAUAAAGUUACAAUAAUACGUUAAUAUAACACCGAAAUUAAUUGUUCAAAUAAAGCCACAAUUAAUUGAAAUGACGAAGUUUCGGAAACCAAACACAAUCUGAUCAUUCACCAGGGCUGUUGUACCUAUUGAAAAGUGGUGAUUACGGAGCCAUCUACGAUGGGAACCAGGAGAAGCCGUACGGGUGGCGAUCUUGAAGGUUGUGAUAGUGAAAUUGUUCAGUUAGAACCAGUGAAUGUGAAGUGGCUCGAUGGACUUGGGAAAGAAGAUGGCUUGCUCUCGCCAGAAUCGCGUGGCCGAUAUCCUUUAAAUCUGUGUCGAGAGUGUAUCCAACCAGUAUUGAGUGUUGCUAGUGUGUGUGACGGCGGGGAAGCUUAGGGUUUUUUGUUUGUAAAUUGUUGGUCACUUGGUGUUAUGUUACUUUGCUUUUAUUUUAUUUUACAAUUUUUACAAGUUAUAUUUGUAUAUUUGAUUAUUUAAUUAUUUUUCAUUUUAUAUUAUUAUUGGGCAAUGGUUAAGAUAUGUUAUAAUGCUUAGUAACUAUGCAAUGUCACAUUUGUAAUUUUUUAAUUUUAUAUAUAUAUAUAUAUAUAGAUAUAUUUUUUUUUUUUUACGGAUUCACGGAUUUAUGCGGAUUUACAGAAGUAAAUCCAUAUCCAAUCCAUCGACUGCGGAUUUUUAAAUUUUCAAUUCAUAUCCAAUCCACCAAUCCACGGAUCGGAUUUAUACGGAUCGGAUUCAGCGGAUCGGACGGAUUGAGCGGAUCGGAUUGGAUUCUGAACACCCCUAAUGCAAGCAAUAAAAAAAGGAAAAGGGUUAUUAUCAAAAACCUCCCUUGAGGUUUAGCGUAUUCUCAGUUUGAGAGAUUGGAUUCACGUAUUAUCAGCCACCUCCCCUGACGUUAGUAUACCGUUUAGUAUAAUUUGAGUUGGUGAGGAUAAAAUGGUAAUAGAACUCAUUAAUAAUAAAAAAUUCUAACAAACUUUAAAUUAUCACAUUCGAAUCGAGAAUGAUUUGAAGUUUGUUCAAAUCCAUUGGGUUUAAAAUCGAAGCAAGCAUUUAACCAAAAGAUAUUACCACUCUACCAAAAAAAAAAAAAUGGUUUGAUGUUCGUUCAUAUCCAUUGAGUAAAAACCAGAAGCAAGCAUUUAACCAAAAGAUACUAUCAAUCCACCUAAAAAGAAAGAGAAAUGGGUAUCUCCUUGCUCAGCUCAAACCAAUGCUACCGAGAACAACAUUCCAUCCAUUUUCUCCAUCUCUGUUAUGCUUUAGUAGAGAAAGAGUGCCAUAAGCAAGAAACAAUGACGACAAACCUGAAGACGCCAACACCAGGAACAACUGAAUCACGACCGCCAGGUGAAAGAAGACUGACCAGUGAGUUUCGUCGUCGACCCACAAACAACCCCAACUCGUCUGAGCCACGAAAAGGGUAUGAAAAUAAGCACACAUUUUAUAAAAGCAAAACCCAUAACCUCACUUGUUCAUGCUUUGAAACGAUGAUGUAAUAAUUAUUGCUUCGUAUGUGUGCUGUUAAAGUGGCCAAAUUUUUUUUUUUUGAACUUCUUUCGAACAUUUAGUAACGAGAUUAUGGUUUCAGAUCCCCAGUUGAGCAAUUCCCUGUUUCGUUGGAUAAAGAGGCUGAAUUUGAGUGGUUUGACCUUGCUGAAGUGAAUGAAAUUAUAGUGCCUGACUUGAAUGAAGCCGUAAUAACUUCAGAAUUUGAGAGCAAUAGUGUUAUUGUAGAAGAUUCAUUCAAAAAGCGGCAGCCAAUUGAGAUUGUACGAGAUGGGUCAGCCAAGAAUAUAACUGUUGAUGACUAUGUAGGGUGUGAAGAAAUAGUGGACAGUGAUAGUGGGGAUGAUGCUGGAAAUAAUAAUACUUGGGAUGCUGGUUUAGAUGACUACGAAUCAGCAGAUUAUAGUGGUUCAAACUCAGAUAUGUUGUCAGAUGAUGAAGUUCAGGAUGCGUGUAAUAGAUAUGAGGCCAAUUCAGAGGGUUUUGAGUUCAAUAUAGAUGGGGAAAUGAUUAUGUUGAGGGUUGGAGCAGUGUAUAGGAACGUGGAUGAGUUUAGGAAUGUGGUGAAAGUUUUUGCGAUACAAAAUGGUUUUAGGCUAAAAAGGGUAAAAAUGAAAAGAGUAGAGUCACACUGGCAUGUGCAGCAGUAUGUUGUACUUGGAGGGUUCACGCAAGUCCAAAUUGGAAUGGUAAACACUUUCAAAUCAAAACAUUCCGGCCUGAACACAUUUGUGCUAGAGGUAAUGAUAACUACGAAGCAAAUUCAACUUAGAUUGCUGCAACAUUUCUUCAUCUAUUUAGAGCCAACCCUCAGCUAAACAUUGAAGUAAUAGCAAGUGAGCUGCUUAGGAGAUUUGGUAUUAAAUGCAGUAAUCAGCAGUUGUAUAGGGCUAACAACAAGGCAUUGGAGCUGUUAGGGCAGGAUCAUAAGGCCAGUUAUACCAAACUAUACAGGUAUAUGCAUGCAAUUCUCAUCUCUAAUCCUGGUUCAACUGUAACUAUAGAUAGAGAUUGGUUAGGUGGUGGGCAGAACCCUCAUUUUAAAAAGUUCUUUGUUAUGUUUGAUGCAAAUAGGAGGGGGUUCUUUGAGGGAUGUAGACAGUUUACAGGGCUUGAUGGUUGUCAUCUAAAGGGGUUAUAUAAAGGUGUAUUGUUGUCUGCAGUUAGUAUAGAUGCUAAUAAUGGUAUCUACCCACUAGCAAUGUGUGUUGUUGAGAGUGAAAAUACUAACUCUUGGGUGUACUUUAUGAAUAAAUUAUAUGAGCAAAUAGGCUGUAAUGAUGGUAGUGGGUUGUGUUUCAUGAGUGAUAGGCAGAAGGGAAUUUUAAAUGCUUUGGAGAUAGUGUUUCCUGAAUCUUUGAAAAGGUAUUGUUGUAGGCAUAUAUAUGCUAACUUCAAGCAGAAAUUUCCUGGUGUACUAUUACGUAAUUCAUUCUGGAAAGCUUGUAGAAGUUCAAACCUAGCAGACUUCAACACUCACAUGUCUGAGUUGAAUAAUAUUCAUUCUGCAGCACAUGAUUGGCUGAUGCAGAUUCUAGUUUAUUGCUGGGCUAAGCAUAAAUUUCCAACGCACACAAAAUGCUCCCAUGUGACUAACAACAUGUCAGAGUCAUUCAACAACUGGAUUAAUAAUUUUAGGGGAUUGCCUAUUGUUAGGAUGGUAGAAGAGAUAAGAAGAAAGGUGAUGAAUCUGAUUCAUAGAAGGUAUGAGCAGGCUGUCAUGUGUCAAGAUGAACUGCCACUACAAGUUAGGAGGAGAAUACUAGAUGGAAGGGUGAAGUCCAGGUCCAUGUCAGUUAUAUUUGGGCAUAAUGAUACCUUUGAAGUUAUGGAGGAUGUUUCCAAGAGAAAAGUUGUCAAUUUAAAGGCCAAGGAGUGUGAUUGUGUGGAGUGGCAAUUGUCUGGUUUGCCUUGUGCUCAUGCACUAUGUUGCAUUGAUGCUAUGAGGUACAACGUCAAUGAUUUUGUGCAUCCUUUAUUGAAAGAAUGAAGCAUUGAAGAAGACUUAUAAGCAUCAGUACUAUCCAGUGCCUGAUGAAAGUAGGUGGCCUCCUGAAUUGCAUGAUAACAUGCUUCCACCUAUAAUCAUUAGAACUACUGGCAGGUCUCAAACGAAAAGGAGAAGAGAGGCGGAUGAAAACAGGGCAUUCAAGAGGAGUUCCAAUGUUAGGUGCAGUAAUUGCGAAGAGUGGGGGCAUAAUGUGAGGACAUGCAAAGUUGAUAAAGGGUUUAAAAAAAAUGACAAAGAAGAAAAAUUUAAAGUCAACACAGGUUACUUUGUGUAAUUAUAAGUUUUGAAGUUCUCUUUAUUUAAAUUUCCAGCUUAUAUAUCUGUUUAAUAAUCUCAUGAUUUGUUUACACUUCAACUCAAGGGAAAUGGAUCGGGGAUCAAUAAUGAAAGAGGACAGAGCUCAGGAGCCUAGAAUCAACUUGAGGCAGCAGCUGUCAUUGAAUCUGGAACGCAAGAAUUUGUCCAUGAUGAUGGUUUGAAUUUACUGAUUCAGCAACUCACUUUUCUUAAUUUAUUUGUUUAUAAACUAUUUCAUACUUGCUAAUACAAAUUUUUAUUAUUGAAGGACAAUUAACCCAAUCAUAGAGAGCUUGUAGAUGAUAAAUCCUGCAGCAACAACUUUAGUGGUAAGAAAUUUUUUUGUAUAGUAAUGACAGAGCCUAGACUAAUCCCAUACUACAAAUUUUUUGGAGGGAUGAGAUGAUACUUCACCUUACCUAUAUAAGCUUUAAAUUGUAUAGAUGUUGUAUCAUCUUUUUGUUCUUUUUUUUUGUGAACUGUGUGAUAGUGAAAAUACUCACACCAUUAACAAAGCAUUUCAGUUAAGUCAAAACUUAACAAACUGUUGAAAGUUGAUUUUUUUGUAAAUAUGGGUUGCUGUUGAUGUUGUAUUGGCUGAUUGUUUCACAGCCAUUGGUGACAGUUAACACUUGUGUUGUUGCUGGAUUUUAUUAAUAUUGAAAUAUCAUAUUACUACAUUUGGUUGCUUGAUGUUUUUAAGUUCAGUUUUAUUUGUUGAUGGAUUGGUUACAAGUGAUAUUGGAAUAUCACAUGAUUAGAUGUGUGAAUGUUCUUUGACAGAUGCUCAGAAAUUAUUAUUGUUUACUUUGUAGUUACAAUUUCUUUUUUGCUCGAACACAUUUGGAUGCUGAUAAUAGGUCAACUCAGUUAGUUUUUUUAAAAAAAUAUAUGAGUGGCAUGAUUGACUUUGUGUUUCAUUGCAAAUUAGAUUUAUAAAUAUAUUUCACUUAGAAAACACUAUUGCAUUUGAGUUAUAAAGUAGCAAAAAAAAAUUUAGUCAUCACUGGAACAUUUAGUUUAAAAAGCAUUAGACUUGGUGACACACUACAUAAGGUACAUCACAACAUUUAAAAGAAAGAAUAACACAUUGAAUACAACUAUAACCUUAGCAACAGUUGCAACCUUCGUAGGUUUUCGUGAUUUCUCCACUAUGGUCUUCAUUGUCUUCACGUCAUUUUCAAUUCUAGAUAGUACCGCAUAACAUACAUCUGUUGACACACAUCCUUCAAAUAAAGCUUCAUUGUUAAAAUCAUCUCUAUUUGGUGCCCACCACUUAAAAUAUCCACAACCAUUUUUUUUGGCACAACGGUAGUAAAGCAUAUGUGGAUUGUCAUCGGAUUCUGAAAUCUUCAAAUCAGCUCUCAUAUAGCAUUUGCAUAUCUUGUUUGAGAACCUAAUGAGCUUGCCAUUGACUGUAUUCCUCCAAGCAGGCUCAUAAAAUGUGCUUGAUCGAACAGAAUUGUUUGAACUUUGUGACUCCAUUGAUGUGCAAGAAUGUUCCAGCUUUGAAUAAUGCUGAGUUUUUUAAUUGAUUGAUGAAUAUAUCAGAGAUGGUUGAUAAAGAGAUGAAGUGAUAUUGGUAGUGUUGGGUUGGUGCCUUUGAAGUGAAAUGAAAGCUAAUUUUUUUCUUCAGUUUGAGUUCAAAGUGUAUGCUGCUUAUUUAGCUUGUUUAUGGCAGGUUAUAUAGCCACUGGUAUUGGCAAUAUAACCAUUAAAGGCAACAGUAAUAAUGUCAGUAACAACUGCAGUUCAAUUUCAAGUAUUAACUUCAAUAUUUCACAUCCUGUCCAAUAAUUAAAAAAAAUUGUAAUUGUUUGUUUAAUUCAUCCAAGUCAUUUUAGAAAGUCCAAAAGAUGAUUUGGUAUUUUUAUUGACCAUUUUGGCACCAAAACAUACAUGUUAUUAUCAACGCACAAUUCUUUAAUUUGUGUACAGAAAGAUAUUUUCCCACAAUAGGGGUAUUUUCAUCAUUUUAUUAAUCAAUAAACGGUCAAACAAACAAGUUAUUAACGUCGGGGGAGGUGGCUGAUAAUAUGCGAAUACAAUCUCCCAAACUGAAAAAUACGCUAAACCUCAGGGGAGGUUUCUGAUAAUAACCCAAAAGAGCAGGCAGCCAAACACCAAAAAAAAAAAAUUGGGAGCAACCGGUUGCAAAUAAAUUAAAUAAUAAUAAAAAUAAUAAUAUUCAAUUAUAAGAAAUAAAAUAAUAAUAAAAUAAUCAUUAUUAAAGGACAUAACAAAAAAAUUAUUUUUAUAAUAAUAAAAAAGGAGUUUCAAGUUUAAUGGUAUAGGUAUCAAGUUAAUGGUCUUAAUUUCAUGUUUAUUGGUUCAUUAAUUUCAUUAUUUUUAUGGUUGCGAGUUAAUGAUCUCAUGGUUCAUGUUUAUUGCCCUAGGUUUCAAUUUCCUUCAAUUUCAAGUUUAAUGGUCAAGGUAUCAACUUAGUGGUCACGGUUUCAUAUUUAUUGGUCCAUUAAUUUAAUGAUUUUUAUGGUUGCAAGCUAAUGAUAACAUAUUUUAUGUUUAUUACCAUCCGUUUCAUGUUCCUUUGGUUUCAUAUUUAAUGGUUCGGGUAUCAAGUUAAUGAUUAUGAUUUCAUGUUUAUUGAUUCAUUAAUUAAAUAAUUUUUAUGGUUGCAAGUUAAUGAUCUCAUGUUUCACGUUUAUCUUUGCAUAUAUAUAUAUAUAUAUAUAUAUAUAUAUCUAAUCACCGUAAAAUUUUGACAUGUUUUUUGCACCACUUUUGUUUCUCAACUUGCAUCGGUCAACCACUUUGAUACUAAAAAUGACUAUUUUACCCCCAAAUAAAUUAAAAUAUUAUUUUAUUUUUUAAAAUUUUAAAAAAUAAAAAUAUAAUUACAAGAAUACCCCUAAAUUAAUAAAACAAAUAAAUCUCAAAAUCUAAGAUGUUAAUGUUUUAUAAUUAUAAUUUCAUUUAAUUUUUGUAAGUAAAUUAAGUAUGGCAAAGUUUACAAAAAUUAACAUGAAGAAAAGAGUACCUUAUAAUUAUUGUAAACUUCCCUAUAAUUAAAAUUAACAAAUUUUUCUAUACAAAUUGAAGAUUCUACUAUAAGAAUAACUAGUUUUGAAGUCCAACAAAAAUACACUCACUAGUUGUGUUCUUGGAAUAUCGGCUUACAAAGUAGGACUUGUUACAAAUAUAACAUAUACAAUCACCAACAUAUAGGUUUUCUAUUAACCAUCAGCAGCAGAUACAAAACUUCCAAACCCAUAAUUAGAUAGUGUUAUACAUGAUCAUAUUAGGCAAGGAUUUGUGACAAAUGUCAAAUAACCAAAGUUUAGAUAUAAGCAAUAAAAUGAAAAUAUUAUUAAAAUAGUUGUAAAGCUUACCUAUUGAAGGAAAAUUACAGCAAGAAACAAUCACAACAUAUUCAAGUUGGAGUUGGAUUGCACUUGGAGUGGUGAUACUUGACCCUCUCAUUAUAUUUCACUAACCCCUAUUUUUUUAGUAAACCCUAUUAAAAAUUUUAAACUAAUCUUUAUCUCUCAACAUAUCCCAUCUUAUAUCGAAUUUACCCUUAUUAUAAUUUUUAUCUUUUUUCCAUAACAUCGUAUAAAACUUACAAAAUCUAUUUUAAAAGAAAAAAAAUUUAGAGUUACUAUAAUCUCUCUCUUUCUUUUUAAAAGUUUUAUUCACCAUGACCAUAACCGUAAAAAAAAUUGAGUUUUCUUCAUCAUCCUCUAUUGAGUAUUGCAAAUUAACUUCUUUCAUGAUUACAAAAAUAGAGUAUACAAUAAUUGAGAAGAGAAAAUAAUUUAAAAAAAGUUAAAAUAAAUUAAGGUUAAAGAAAUUAGAUUAGCUAAAUUAGAUAUUAAUAGAAAUUAUCAUUAUGAGUACACUUAAAAACUAUUUAUCCUUUUAAGUCAUUUCAUAUAAGGAUAAAAUAGUUAUUAGUAUAAAAAUGAUUAGUGAAGGUUGGUGAAAUAUAAUGAGGGAGUCAAAUAUGACAACUCUUGCACUUAAAGAGCAUCCAAGCACACACAAAAAAAAAAAAAAAAAAAAAUUAAUAAUAAUAGUUAUGUUCUUUCCCAUAGCUUUUAUAAGUUUUCCUAGCCCAAGUAUCUCCUCAUUCUUGCUUAAUUCUUUCGGCCCUUUUAACCCUUCAAGUUAUUUGAGCCCACUCCAGCUUCAAUCACCAUUUCAUUUUCCCGCCUCUGUGUUUUGUGCUCCAGACACAUAUGGGUGCUUUAUUGCACUUUAAGAAAUUAGAUUAGCUAAAUUAGAUAUUAAUAGAAAUUAUCAUGUGGGUGUAUUUUAAAAGCUAUUUAUCCUUUUAAGUCAUUUUAUAUAAGGAUAAAAUAAUUAUUAGUAUAAAAAUAAUUAGUAGAGGCUGAUGAGAUAUAAAGAGGGAGUUAAAUAUGACAGCUCUUGCACUUAAAGAGCAUCCAAGCACACAAAAAAAGAAAAAAAUACUAGUAAUGUUUUUCCCGUAGUUUUUAUAAGUUUUCCUGGCCAUAGCAUCCCUUCCGUCUAGCUUAAUUCUUUCGGCCCUUUUUACCCUUCAAGUUGUUUGAGCCCAUUGAGCCCACUGCAGCUUCAAUCAUCAUUUCAUUUUCCCGCUUGUGUGUUCUGCUCGGCGGAUAUUGUCGGCCAUUAGUGUUCCUGAAUUAUUCCUUUUUUUCGUCAUUUACGCAUCUCACGGUCUUCAAUUAACUUUAGAAAAGUAGACAUAUCACAAAAUUGAACUCCUAGUGAAAAGAGUGUAGUAAUUAGUAAAGAGAAAAAUCAAUUUCUCCUUGCUUUUUUUUUUUUUCAAGUGAGAGAGUUGUUUUCUCUUUUUUUUUUUCAUUUUAUUAAAAAAAUUGUUUAAUCCUCUAUUCUUUUGUUUAUCGGUAAUUUUUUAACCCAAUAAGUUUAAAAAUUUCCCACAUAAAGUGCUUGUGUAUAAUUUUAUCUUCAAUAUUUUUUCAAAUUUCACUAUAAUUAUUGCAUGUCAUAAUUCCCUAACAAACACAAAAUUCCUCUGCAGCUAAUAUAAGGCAGCUUCUGAGAAAUUAUUGGGCGUACUUCAAAAAGGAAAAAGAAAUUAAAUUUUGAAAUUUUGUUUCAAAAUAAUUUUCAUAGAUAUUUAUCAUAAAUCUUUUUUUCUAAGUCUUCUAAUUCCAACUCACAGUCAGCAAGUUAAACUGUCAUUCUAGGCAUCGUCAUUGAAAUUACCGAAUCUUUAAUUCGAAGAGGGUGUUUGUGUACUUAGGAUUUUAUAGUUCCUGGACGUCAGGAUUUUAUGGCUUUCUUCAUGCCAAAACAAUGAAUUCAAAGUGUAUUUGAUCAUUCCCUUUUUAUCAUAUUCUUUAUUCAUUAUUUUGUUUUUGUUUUCACAGACGAGAUAGGGACUCAGCUAUCUUGCAACAGUUGCAAGGUACCACCAAAUUUUGUCUUUUUCUUGAUUUCAGUCAUUUGCCAUUAGAUUUAAUAAAAAUGUAGUUUCAAUGGUAGAGAUUUGUACAUUUAAAUAUUAACAUUACACUUCUUGAUAUUUAUUAAAAGCACAAACAAGUUAAAAAUAUAAAAAUUUUAGCACAUAAGUCCGGAUUGUUUACAAUUUAUAUUGUUUAAUUAGUAGUGAGUAUUAAAAAUAAAUUUUAUUUUUUAAUAUUAUAUAUUUUAUUUAAAAGAAUAAAUUUUUAAUAUUACAUUUUAAAGGUCACUAGCUAAACUAUAUAAACUUAUAAAUAAAAUGUAAAUAAGAAAAAAAAUAAGCGGUUAAAUGAAAUUUAACGUUACAUAAGAUAAAAAAUAGUGGCUAGCUGGACCCACGAGAUAGUUGUAUUUACUUGUAUUUAUAUGCGUACUUUCGGACUCAUGUCCCUGUGUGAGUGGGAGAAAUUUCUUGUUAGUGCAGAGAUAUAUUUUAUUUCGUAUAUUUACUUCUCUAUUGAAGGUUCUGCUAUUGUAACCAAAAAUGCAUUUUUUUGAACUACUUCUGAGUUGAUAUGAUACUAGAGCUUGUGGCGAUUAUUUAUUUUGACAGUUCAAUUGGUGUCUAAUUAUAAUUUUAUUGAAGAAAAGAUAAACAGAAUGUAGAAAAAGAUAAAAGAAAUAAAAUUUCUGGAUGAAUAAAAGUCUGAAAAAGAUAAAAGACAAAAUCAUCUGCUUUGGGAUUCCAAAUUUAAUUUCUGAUCAAAAUCUCUUAAUAUUGUCCGAAUUUAGUUUAAUUUCUCCUCAAAAGUAGAGUUUGGGCCGACAACAGAAUUUUAGAAAAAUUAAAGAAUUAUUUUCUUUCUUUCCUGCGGUCCAUGAAUCAUUCUUUUUCUCAUUUCAAUUUCUACCUGCGUUGUCACUACUUUACUCAUUGCCCAACCUCACAUUAGUCUUCAGUGAAAUUAUUUAAUAUCACCUUUUGAAAAGUAGACAAUUUAUACUUUACCGGAACAAUCAGAUGAAAUUAUCACGAAACUUGCUGGUAGAUUCGAGGGAGUAGCCUGCUAAAGGCAUCUAUUCUCCGAUUAAAGUAUCUUUUUGGCCUAUUGUGUUUGCCUCUGGUCUAUUACUGUCCAAGCAUUUAGAGAAGUAAUUAAUCCAAAGAGGUGCUAUAUCGUAGAGAUAAGAUGCUCGAUUCAGUAUGUUCCAUCAAACAAUUGCUCCACCAUUUGGCAUUUUUGUAGAUAAGCUAUCUUAAUCUGAUUAUUUUUUCUUUUGAAUUGGUGUGCACGUCAACGUGGGAUUGUUUUUAAGAGCACAAAUACAGAAUUUUAUUGCUAGCCAAUUGCGAUAUGGAACAAUUAUGUGGUGAAUUGUUUUAUGCUCUCUGACAAACUCUUUGUUACAAGAGUUGAUUUUGAACAUUCAGUUAAUCCUGUUAAAAGCUCUGUUCAGUCAUUCUUCUUUGCCUUUGGUCUACUGUGUUGCAUAUUUUUAAAGGAAUCAGUUCACAAAUAUUGGCCAUAUGGAACACUGUUGCUCUUCAUAUUAAGUUUUAACUUCACAGCUUCCAUAAAAUUUACUGCCACAUCAACUAAGUUAACUGCAUGUUUUAUUUUAUUGGUUCUUCCUUAUUGAAGUUUACUUGCUUUUGACUCUAAAGUCCAAGCACAAUUUGAACUUGGACCUUGGCUGUAUCUUUCACAGCAUGACAAUUUGAUUUUCCCCUCAAUCUUUUAUAAUGUCUCUGCCUUUUCCUACUUGAAAAAAGAUAGCCACUGGCAUCAUUAGACCAAGACUGCACUCAUAAGAUAUGAAAAAAGACACAGAUAUCCCAAUUAUAAACAAAGAAUUAGCAAAAUAGAUCAAGAAAAGAAGAUGAACACAUACAGAUUUUGAUGGUUCAGCCACCACGUGGCCUACUUCCAUGCAAGUGACAAAUCGAUUGAUUUAUUGAUUUAACGAUCUAAAGAUUACAAGAAUAUUAAAAACUUUACAUAGAACAAUUUAUAAUAGGAAAUAUCCCUGUAAUCGCUCUCUUAAGUCAAGAAACCGAUUUCAGAGAUUUGCCGCUCUUUCUAACACACUUGACAGAGGUUUGGCAAAAUUUAGGUCAGAACAAGCGACUAACGUGUGUAUCACAUGUGACCACAAUUUUGCUAUAAAACCAGACUUGCAUUGGACUUGAACGAUUAAAAUGUAAAACUUCAAUGUACAAAACUCAGUCGUUUUGCAGCCGUUUGAUUAACCAUCAACAACUUGUAAUCCUCUGACAGUUUGAAACCAGAACAUAAUUAGUAUAAGCACAUAAAUUUUAGGAUCGAUUUAGACAUGGUAUGGUUUGAGUAUUUCUAACACUUCCUAGUGAUGCAUCUAUAGGAGUUUCUUUUAGAAAAUAUAUCAUUAAAUUGACCAUCUUGACCAUUGACCAUCGUCUGAUUAUUAUUUUUUUUUAUCUCGCUUACCACGUUGAUAGUGCGGCAUUUUGGGUACUACAAAAAGCACAACAACGAUUAAAGAGCUGCUUCAAAUAAUUCAUCUUUCACUUUUGUUGGGUGAAGUGCCGCUUAACUACUCCAUGAUCCCCCCAGCACUUGAAGAGGGUACGUGUUUGUGUACUUAAGACUAUCUAUAGUUUCUAUUUGUUGGGACUGUACGGUCUGCCCUUCUGUCAUAACAAUGGAUUCAAAGUGUAUUUGAAUUCCACUUAUCAUAUUAAUUAUUCUGUUCAUUAUUUUGUUUUUGCUUUUUCGUUUUCAUUUUUCAUUAAUCCUCCCCUCAUUUUUUGAGGAUAUAAAUUACUUAUUUGAUCAGCUCUAGUGGUAUGUACAUAUACAUACAUACAUACAUACAUACAUACAUACAUAUAUAUAAAUUUUUACAAAAAGAUGAUUUUGUCUUUGUAAUGUAAGUUUAACAAAGGUUAUAUUUGUUGAUUUAUACAUAUAAUAGAUUGUUUGAAUCUCCUAACAAGAGGAACAAAAGUAAUUACAAAUGAUUUGUCAAAUUUUGUUAAGUUACAAAAUAGUAUAUUAUACACUCAAAUCUAACAUCAAAUACAUAGCAAACAACAACUUCAAAAGCAAAAUCCCUAGAAGCAACUCCCAUAUCUUCAUCAACCAACGGCUUCAAAAGCAUCCCAUGAUUUUUGUUAAAAAUUCAUAGUUUCAUGACUGCAUAUUUUUAUUGAGUGAAGCCUUGCUUAAAAAACCCAUUCCACGAUCCCAGUCCCACCACGCACUUUGUAUAAAAUUCAAUUUAUUAGAAUAAUUAAAAUCAUUAGUAGAGGAAUUCAACCAACAACUUCAAAAGCAUCCCAUGAUUUUUGUCGAUAAUUCAUAGUUUCAUGACUGCAUACUUUUAUUACGUGAAGCCUUGCUUAAACAACCCAUUCCAAGAUCCCAGUCCCACCAUGUACCAUUUGGAAAUAUCACAUUUUAUUCCCCAAUGCGACAUAUUUUCUUCUCCAUUGAAGGUUCUCUGAAUGCUAUUAACCAAAAAAUGCAACAUUCUGUUCUGUUUAUGAAUUGGGAUUAUUUGCUUCUGGCUGUCACUGACUCAUUGACCAUUAGCAAUAUAGCAUUAGGUAGUGCCAGCUCUUUUCUUUUUUGUCUUUGUCUUCUCUAAUUCGAGCUACAAAUCCAUGUUCCGAUGAAUUCCUUUUCCAUCUCCUCUCCAUUGUUUGGCUUCAAUAUUUUGGAUUUGAAGUAAAUUUUCCGCAUAUUUAUUUUGCAUCAACCUUAACAUCGUAUGUGAAAAAAUUCUGCAUAUUUAUUUUGUCCUACAGAGACGAUUUUUUUGAAAUUCACAUACAAUAACAUAAGGCAGCUUCAAAGAAAUUACUGGGUGGAGUUCAAAAUGAGAAAAGAAAUUAAAUUUUAUUGGACCACCGUCAUGAAAUUUUAAAUUUUUUGGACCACAAUCCGCCUUUGUCUUUUCAUGUGAUUGCAAGCUACUCGAUGACAUUGACUGAUCAUUGACCAUUUGGUGCUCUCUUCCCUUCGUCUUCUAAUUCAACUUACCGUCAUCAAAUUAAACUGUCAUUCACAUAAUAUACGGCAAAUAUCAAUCACAUAAAGCGUACACGGAUAAGUCAGUGUUUACGGGGAAAGAUAAAAAAAAAAAAUAUUCCACUAUUAAAAUGGGGAAUAUAAAUAUUGAAAUAUUUAUCUUACAAUCCAAAUUCUUAAUACAAUCAAGUUCUCAGAUCACUUGAGAACAUUUUAGUUAUCUCAGUUACUAAAGAAUUGCAUUUUAGUUAUCUCAGUUACUAAAGAUUGCUUUUCAUAAAACACACGUUAAGUUUUCAAAUUGUUGGAGAACUUUUCUCACACUGGCUCAUGAAUUUUGCAUCCAAUUUAUAAACAAAUCUAGAUUUCAAAUGUAAAAUUAUGAUUUUUUGUCCUUCACAUCCAGCAUCCAGGAAGGCUCAAGGAAAGUAAGUAAUCGUGAGUAUGAAUCUAUUAAAAAAUAUGCUCUGAGAUUAAUUGUUCUUUUAAAUUAAUUGGUCUUUUAUUUUAUUUUUAUUAUUUUCCUUAGUGACGGUGGUGAAUAGUAUUUACGCCUUUUUUUUUAUUAUUAAUUUUUAGCUAUCAUUCCCUAUUUCUUUCCUUUGGAAAAACGCGGUUCAACAGUAACCAUAAAGCUGCAUUUAAUUGUGGAGGGUGCACAAGAGUAAUAUAGAGUGUUUUAGUCUAUUCAGUGUGCAAAUAACCCAAUGUUAUAAGAGUUAUGAAUAUAUGUUGUAUGUAUUUGUAAUAUUUUUGUUUUGGGCGGGGGUUAUAUUAAUUUAAGAAUUUAAUUUAAAUCUAGACAUUAAAAUAUGACCAUUUAUUUCGUUCAAUCAAUUAACACACGAGGAUUGUUUGUUGAUUGGAGAGGCUAAAACUGAGUGGGAAAGUAAAGCAACAGAGGAAUAGAAAAGAUCUAUGACAAAGAUCGAUGAACAGAAGUGGAGAGGAACAACAGUGGGCAUGAUCUAAUAUUGAAUUACAAAUAUGUUGGCCUUACGGAAUAUGUCGUUGACAAAAUUAUGGAGUAUUGAUUUCUUGGGGAUGAAUAUGAUUUGUGAGAAUGGGGAUGAAUUUUGAUUCCCCCAAUUUAGGUUAGGAAUUGCUAUUACUAGUAUAAUCGUUGAGGAAUGAGGAAAAAGAGUCGGUAUUCUCUCUCUCUUCCUUUAUUAAGUUUUAAUAUGUCAUCUAUGCUUUUUGUUUUCUGAAUCUUAUUUAUUAAAGUUUUACUAUCACAUAAUCAAUCAUCUCAUACCUUAGAUUGAAUUAAAUAAAUUUUAAAGUUUUGAUGCUUAGAUUACAAUCAUAUUCUUAAGUUAAAAUAUCCCCUCCCGUUUGUUUUUUAUCUAAAAAAAGAAAAAAAACAUUGGUACUAAAAAAUAAAUAAUCUUAUUUUUACUAAAAAUACAAUAUUUUUAGUCUUCUAAUUUGUUUAUUUUAAAAGUAACUCAUUCACUGCUUUGCAAAAUCAAAAUCUCCUGUGGCAAUGAAUUGAUUUUACAAGAAGUAAUUUUAAUAGUUUUUACCAACCAUUUAAAUUCAUCAUUAGCUUCUCAAUAUCACUUUUGAAAAUCCCAACAACAAUCUCAAAUUGGUCAAUAAAUUACUUCAUUUUCUAAAUAGUAAACAUAAAAUGAUGGAAAUAAUUUUUAUAUCAUGAAAGUAAAAAUAAUUUUAUUAUUUGCAUCAAAUUAAUAUUAUUUAGAUAUAUUUAUAUUUAAUUAUUAUGUUAUUAAAUUAUCAAAUAAUAAAAAUAAUAUUUUUAUUCACAAUAAGACAAAUUUAGAGAAAAAUUAGAUGGUGUUUGCUAGGAAACUUAAGAGAAAAAUUAAUAUGGAACUGUCCCACCACUUGGGAUUCUUUCACGUAGCGUUUCAGUGGAUCUCAUUGAAUUUUAUUUUGAAAAAGGAUAUUAUCAUUUUCCCACCAAAGUUAUUCUGACACAUCAUGUCAAUACCACGGUUUGGUAAAACUAUCAAUUUACUACCAAACAUUUAAACUGUUAGCAUUUUCCUACCAUUCCGUUAAAACUCAGUUAAUAUGUAACGAAAUUUUUUUAAAAGGUCAAAUUUACCCUUGGAGCAUAAAAGAUCAUGUAAUUAAUCUUUUAUGAAUUUUGUAAUUAAAUCAUCAUUUGUUGUUCUUCCUUCUUAAAGGAUAAAAAUUACCCUUUAUGAAUUUUGUAAAAUUGACCGUGUGGUGUUAGGUACUUCAUAAAUUGAUUUAAUUUAUUUAAUUUUUAAAGGGCAAAUUUAUUUAUUUAAUUUUGUGUAAAAUUAUUAUCAUCAUAUCAAAGAUUAAAUUGCUUCUUUUGCACAUUCUUUUUUUUUUUCCCUUUCAUAAAUUGAUUUUUAGUAGUAGAAUAAAUUGUCUUUAGCUCGUCAAUUUAAUAAAUAAAUUUGCCCUUUAAAAAUUAAAUAAAUUAAAUCAAUUUAUGAAGUACCUAGCACCACACGGUCAAUUUUACAAAAUUUAUAAAGGGUAAUUUUUGUCCUUUAAGAAGGAAGAACAACAAAUGAUGAUUUAAUUACAAAAUUCAUAAAAGGUUAAUUACAUGGUCUUUUACGCUACAGGGGUAAAAUUGACCUUUUAUGAAUUUUCUAUUACAUAUUAACUGAGUUUUAACGGAAUUGUGGGAAAAUGCUAACAGUUUAAACGUUUGGUGGUAAAUUGAUAGUUUUACCAAACUGUGGUACUAACAUGAUGUGUCAGAAUACUUUUGGUGAGAAAAUGAUAAUAUCCCUUUUGAAAAAUCAAUUGAUAAUACUGGGAUGGUAUAGCCUGGUAGGGUGAUACUCUAAGCGGUCCCUUUAACCUUUUUAGUUGUCGUACACGAAUUAUUUCUUCAUUUGGAAUAAAAAUCAACAAAGCUGCAUCUUCACUGAAAUUAUUGUCCACAGUGCUUCCAGGAAAAUGAGAUAAAGAUAAUUUUAAAGAAACUUUUAGGAAGAUUCCAAGCAUUAAUAAUUAUUUAUAUUUAUUUAUAAUAAAUUACUUUUAAUAAUAAUAAUUUAUAUCAUGAGUAUUUUUAUUAUAAAAUUUUUAUAUGAAUGUAAGUGCAUAAAAUAAUUGUUUAGAGUGUAAAUAAUCUCGUCUAAUUGAUAAUCCUCGCUAAUCAAAUACAAUUUGUUAAUAGGGCACGAGUCACUGCCCCCUUGAGAAUUGAGCACAGAAGCAUUUACUAUUUUCUAUGGUGGAUUGUUGGGAAAUUUACACCCUUUCCACCUUUUUAGCUGCAUUUACUAUUUUCUUUCUUCACUUGAUUAUACAAUUUGAUUAUCAAGAAACAACCUGGAAGGUUCCAAGCAUCGUUUUACUCUGCACAGAUACUGCAGUCACCAACGUUUGCUCGAGAAAAAUACGACGAAUUUUCCGGGAAAUUUUUGCUUUUUCUCUUCAAACUUAAAGUUUGGGGGCAGAAAUGUUAAAGGUUUAAAGGUGGGUACAAUUAUUCUUCUUUUUGUUAUUUACGCAUUGCCUUCCAUUCACAUUAGUCGGUCUUCAAUUAAUUUUAGAUAAGGAGAUGAAACUACCAUAAAAUUAACUCCAAGUGAGGGACUACUGAAGCAGCCAUAUAUUUCCACGCGCAUUUUAUUCAAUUAAUUUACUUAUGAUCACAUCCCACAUCAUAUUAUUAUUGUAUCAACUUGCACGGCCGUAACAAUUAACAGAAAUUUUCAUUAAAAUUAUUACAUUAAUUUUUAAAUAGAAAUAAGAAAAAAAUUCUUAAUAGUGAAAAAACAUAAGAUGAAAUCGUGUGUCGUUUGUCACGAGUCAAACUUUUGAGAAAAAUACACGAAUGAAUGUGGCGCGUAAAAGGUGUUGAUGUACUAUCAACAUUUUCAUUUUAUUUUUAUUUUUCUUGAACUUUCAUAUUUUUUUUAUAAGCUGUCAUCAAUUAUUUGGGUCUUCCUAAGCUACAACUCAUGUAAUUUGAUUUUUACAUGUUUCGCAUGAGUUGUAAAUUACAUAUUUUUACAUGUUUUGCAUGGAUUGUAAAUUAUAUGAAUUGUAAAUUAGCAAAACCCUUAUCACGAAACUUAAGUCUCAGGAAGAUUCCCACUUCCAAGCAUAAUGUGUUCUUGAUUUCAUCUCGUCGAAAUUUCGAAGUUGGUAACUGCUUUUGGUAAUUAUAUCUUCAUCACUUGCAAUCUUUUAUUGCUUUUCCAAGUUAAUUUUUAGGGUAAGUAUCAUAAACCUCUGCUAGAUUUGAUUUAUUCACAGUUUCAUAGAUUGUAUUCGUAUAUUCUCAAAUACCUCCCUUAACGUUAGUAUAAUGUUUCUUUGAUUGUUUGUUGCACAAUAAAUGAUCAAAAUACUCCAGCAAAAAUUAUUUUAUACUGAAAAUAAAUAAUUCUGUACCAACAUGUUUGAUUUGGCGCCAAGGGAUGUAAAUAUAAAUAAAAUACCAAAUCACCCCCCACUACUUUUUAAAAUGACUUUGAUGGAUGAAACAAACAAAAGAUUUGACUUAUGUCAAAUAUCAGCGAAUUCGAAAGGAAGCUUUUUUGCACUUUGCCUCAUUGCUCUGCUUUCUACAUCAAAUUUCUUUAAUCUUGGUGAAGAUUUUGGUGUCCCGAUUUGUGUCUCUCUCUCUAAUUUUCUAUUUUUCAUUUCAUGAGCACAUCUUCCCUUAAAAUUGUAGAGAUACUAUAUGAAAUCACCAAACCCUGAAAAUAUUAUAUUAGAGAAAAAAAAACAAUUAUAACUUAAACAAUAUUUGUAAUCAGCAUUUGCACUUUCAUUCAUGGUUAAUUUCUUUUAUACAUAACGAAAGCUUGAUUAGGGAGAGAGAAUUUUAGUCGAUCCCAAAAGAUAUUCAUAAGAAAAAAAAUUAUUGGUUAAAUUCAAGCCUUGAGCAAUAAUAAAUUUUUGGCCAAAUCGAAAUAUAUAACAACUUCAUGCAAUUUUAAUUCAGUUGAAUAAUAAAUGGGUUUUCAUGAUCACGUAUAAAUUUUCUCGCGCAAUCAAUUAUCUCGUCGCAGUCAGCUUUCUAGUAUCCAUUCUGCAUUCAACUAACCUAUCCUGUUCUAUCUCUUCAAUUAAUUUAUUUCGUGAGCUUUGUCAAACUAAUCAAAUUCAUUAAUGGAGCAAAACCGUGAAGGAUUAUUUUUCAAACUUUUGAAGAAAAUAAACAUGUUAGCAACCAGUCAGGGGCAUGAAAAUGGUUGUGCAUAUAUAUCUUUGUUGACAAUUCCUCUUUGAAAUUAAUUGUCUUUUAUAUUAUCUAUCGAAAUGUAACAUAUCUGAUCGCAUGGAUUAAUUUAGAGGAUACAUAAUUUCAAUGAAAGACUACUAAUCGAGGGCAAUUUCGAUUCUGAUUGAAUGGUAGAUGUAUAUAUGAGCAUCAUUCUAAUCAUUAAAUUGAUAAAAUUAGGAAGUUAACUUCGAUCCAACAAUUAACUUUAAUGGAGCAGCAGGGAAUUGUUUUGUUUAUGUUAGAGUUAUUUUAUUAAUAAAAAAUUGGGUUAUUAUUAUUUCACUACUUCAAAAAUUGUGAAAUAUCAAAUGACUACAACAAGUAUUGUCUCUUAUCAUUUUUCUAUCAUAUCUGUAUAAAAUUAUCAUUUAACUACUUUUUUAUUAUAACCAUUAGUUGACCAGUUAAUUGACUAGUUAAUUGUUGAAUAAUUUUAACCAUUAGUUUAUAAAAUUAUCAAAAUUUUCUGGUCAAAAUCUUUGAACACUGUAGUUAAUUGAAUGAAACACGUCGCAUUUUCUGGGAAAUAUUUUAGCUUUUUGUCAUUGCCUCACAUUAGUCGGUCUUCAGUGGUAGUGAAGCAUCCAUAUCUCUUACGUGCAUUUCAUUCAAUUAAUUAAUUAUCAUCACAUCCCACAUUAUUGUUUCACCUUGCACCGUCCGAAUAACUAACAAGAAUCUUUAUUGAAAUUAUUGUGCCACUUUUAGAAAAGAGAUAGGGAAAAAGUUGAAUUCACAAGUCCAACUUUAAAAAGGCAGAAAAAAAAAAAAGGACUGGAGUAGAUGUCACAGGUAUUAAAUGCAUUGAUGAGGUUUCAACAUUUUUUAAAAAUAUUUUUAUAUAAUUUUUUACCAAAGUUCAAAUAACUAUUUUCAAUUAGUUUUAAAGUAAUAUAUAUAAGAUGAUGAUGAUAAUACGGGAUCAACAUCAACAUAAAAUUCAUUGGUGCUCCAUCAACAUUGAUUUUCCCAUCUCUUCAGUAAAUGUUUUACAUAUUUAUUUUGCAUCUAAUUUAAUAUUAUUGAAAGUUAAUAGACGUGAUUAGUAAUAAAUAGAAGACUAAAAAUAUUUAAAGAAAUAGAGCUAAGCGUGCUGCGUGCAUGAAAUUGCAUCUAUACUUUACCAAAGGGAAAAAAAAUUGCCACGCAACAGCGUGGAAGGUUCAGAGAAAAUAUUUGUUAGCGUUUUCUUUUUGUUAAAUAUAAUUGGUUGAAUUUUUUAUUUUUUAUUUUUUUAAAAUAGAAAACUAUAUUACAAAACUUCCCGGUAGGUUCCAAGGAACUAUCUAAUAAAGCAUCUUUAUAUAACCUCCAUAGACACAGCCGCAUUAAAUUAUUUUCACAUCCCAAAUUUUCACAUCUGAUCAAUUUUCUCAUCACUGAACUGUUAUGGCUUCUUCUUCUUCUUGUCCACCUCGAAACGCUAAGAAGAUGUAUGAUGUUUUUCUGAGUUUCAGAGGAGAGGACACCCGUGACAACUUUACUAGCAUUCUUCACUAUGUUUUGUCUCUGAAAAGUAUCAAAACUUUCAUUGAUGACCAACUUAUCAGAGGAGAGAACAUUUCACAUUCUCUUCUUGAUACAAUUGAAGCAUCGAGCAUUUCAAUUAUCAUUUUCUCAGAAAGGUAUGCUUCUUCUAGAUGGUGUCUCGAUGAACUUUUGAAGAUCCUCGAAUGCAAGCACGAAUAUGGACAGAUUGUGAUUCCAGUUUUCUAUCACGUUGAACCAUCACAUGUGAGAUCGCAAAGCCAGGAUUCUUCUUUUGGGAAGUAUUUUAGUGGGCUUGAAACACGUUAUCCAGAGAAGAUGCAAAGAUGGAAGAAUGCUUUGACCGAAGCAGCCAAUCUCUCUGGCUUUGAUUCUAAUGUCAUUAGGUACGAUAAUUUUCUGUCUAAUUCUUAGUAUUAAUCUAGUACAAGUAAUAAUAUAUAACAUUAACUAUGACUAUGUGUUUAAAUAUUUAUCAAUAAUAUAUCAAUUAAAUCGUUCUUAAUUAUAAGGAUUAGGUUAUUUUCUUGCACAUUUGAAUAAGUUUCCAAUUAAAUAGCUAUUUGAUGAAAUUGAUCUUCACAUUCUAUUAAUUAGCCAUUUUAUAUUGCAACUAAUUAAAAACACACGAUUCUCUGUCUCGUUUACAUAUAUUUGAACUAAUUGCUGUUAUUUUUUUAACUAGGCCUGAAUCUAAACUUAUUGAGGAAAUUGCCAAUGAAGUUUUGAAGGGGCUAGAUGAAACUUUUCAAAGUGAUAACAAAGACUUGGUUGGAGUUGAAUGCCCCAUUGAAGAAAUCGAAUCAUUAUUACACAUUGAGUCUGAGGGUGUUUACAAACUAGGGAUUUGGGGCAUCGGUGGUAUAGGCAAGACAACAAUCGCUGAUGCUGUUUUUAACAAAAUCUCUAGACAUUUUGAAGGUUCUUACUUUGCGCAAAAUGUUAGAGAAGCAGAAGAAACUGGCGGAAUGAAGGACUUACAGAAGGAACUUCUGUCCAAGUUAUUGAAUGAUAGAAAUGUGAGGAACAUCGAGUCUCAACUCAACAGACUUGCUCGCAAGAAGGUUCUAAUUGUUUUUGAUGAUGUGACUCAUCCAAGACAAAUAGAAUCAUUAAUUAGACGCCUUGAUCGGUUAGCUUCAGGGAGUCGAGUGAUAAUAACAACAAGGGAUAAACAAGUUCUUAAAAAUUGUCGGGCCAGGCAAAUAUAUCGGAUGAAGGAAUUAGAAGAUGCUGAUGCUCAUAAGCUAUUCUGUCAGUGUGCUUUUGGAGGAGACCAUCCAGAUACAAGUCAUACAGAGCUCAUAGACAAGGCAAUCAAAUAUGCGCAGGGGGUUCCUUUAGCUCUUAAAGUUUUGGGUCGCCAUCUAUGCGGAAGGAGCAAAGAGGAAUGGGAAAGUGCAAUGAGAAAACUGGAAGUAAUUCCUGACAAGGAAAUCCAGAAGGUAUUAAAAAUAAGUUAUGAUAGCUUGGAUGACUCUCAGAAGAAUAUUUUUCUAGAUAUUGCAUGUUUCUUGGAAGCUCCGCAUAGAGACUAUGUGAUAAGCUUUUUUGAUGCCUGUGGCUUCGAAGCUAAAAUAGAGUUAAGUGUUCUUGAAGGUAAGUCUCUCAUAAAUUUAGACUUAUCUGACCGGAUAAGAAUGCAUGACUUGAUACGAGAUAUGGGAAGAGAAAUUGUUCGAAAUGAAUCUAUCGAUCAUCCAGGAGAGCGCAGUAGGUUGUGGUAUCACGAGGAUAUUUAUAAAGUUUUGAAGAACAAUACGGUGAGGAAUAAUAAGUUUUUAAUUGUAUCUUAUUUGUGUUACAUUUAUAUUAGCAAUUGGUCGAAUAUGUCUUUUUGAAUAAGAAUAGCAUUAAUACAGCUUAAAAUUAAUUGAAAAAUAAUAUUAGAAAAUUGGUAAAAUAAAAUAGAUAGAUCCGAUGUUUCCCCAACUCAGUUUGAAACAUGCCUCUAAAAUCCCCAGCAAACUAGCGCCUUCGGAGAGAGACCCACAAAAAAAAAAACACCUCAAUCUUAUAGCAUUUCCUUUUCAACUCAAGCUAUGCCCCUAUCCUUAUUUUUCACUAAAAAAAAAAAUUGAUUGAAUUAAUUUUACAGUUUACAUAUUAAGCAUUUUCUUGAAUUUUCUAUUUUACACUUCCUAAAAGCCUUACCCAAAUAGUUUAUUAUAAAGUGAGUGUAAUAUCUCUCUUUUGGUUUGACGGCUUAAAAAUAAUUGUUUAUUUGUUUGCUUUAAUUAUAUACCAACUUAUGAUCUCCUAUUUGAUUGUUAGGGAACUGAAGCACUCAAGGGUAUCUCCUUGGAUAUGAAUAAAGUCAAUGGAGAGAUACACAUGAAUUCCAAUGCUUUCUCAAGGAUGCCUAAAUUGAGAUUCUUGAGAUUUUAUGGAGAUAAGAACAAAUGUAUCAAGGGUAUCUCCUCGGAUAUGAAUAAAGUCAAUAGAGAGAUAUACAUGUCUCAUUUGGAGGGUGUGCCGUUUGCUGAAGUGAGGCACCUCGAGUGGCCUCAAUGUCCUUUGAAAACGUUGAAUAUAUGUGCGGAGAAACUUGUUUCACUUAAAAUGCCUCGCAGCAAAGUCCAACAACUUUGGGAUGAUGUUCAGGUAUAUAUUUAUUCAAAAUUCUUUCGGUAAUAAAUUCUAAAUACAAUUGAUGAUAUAAUUAAUAUAUGUUAUGGUAUCUGUUUAUUCAUAAAGAUGAUGAUGAUGAUGAUGAUAAUAAUAAUAAUAAUAAUAAUUUUUGGGGGGGCGCAGGAUCUUGUUAACUUAAAAGAAAUAGACCUCUCUGGAUCCAAGUCGUUAACGAAACUCCCAGACUUGUCACAGGCCGAAAAUCUUGAGUUUCUGAUAUUAGGCGGCUGUUUAAGUUUGAUGGAGACUCACUCAUCUAUUCAAUAUCUAAAUAAACUUGAAAUUCUUUCUCUAGAAAAGUGCAAAAGCCUGAGGAGUCUUCCAACUAGCAUUCAUUCGAAAUAUCUCCUGAUACUUGAUAUUUCGGAUUGUUCAAAUUUGAAAAACUUCCCAGAGAUCACAUCUUGUCAUAUGUGGAGUUUAGAGUUAACAGAAGUUGGAAUCAAAGAACUGCCCUCAUCCAUCGAGGGCCUAUCCAAUCUGAAAGAACUACAUAUUAAGGACUGUUCAGAGCUUGAGAGCAUCUCGAGUAGCAUAUUUAAGUUGAAGUCUCUUGGAUCUAUUGAAAUCUCUAAUUGUUCAAAUUUGAAGAGGUUUCUAGAGAUCCCGUCUUGUAAUAUGGAUGGAGGUACUGGAAUUGAGCAACUAGCCUCAUGUAAGUUGGUACUGGAAAAAUGUUCAAGUCUUGAGAGUCUCCCUAGCAGCCUGUUUAAGUUCGCAUGUAUUUUAGAGUUAACAGAAUUGGAAUCAAAGAACUGCCCUCAUCCAUCGAGUGCCUAUCCAAUCUGAAAGAACUAUAUAUUAAGGACUGUUCAGAGCUUGAGAGCAUCUCGAGUAGCAUAUUUAAGUUGAAGUCUCUUGAAUCUAUUGGAAUCUCUAAUUGUUCAAAGUUGAAGAGGUUUCUAGAGAUCCCGUCUUGUAAUAUAGAUGGAGGUACUGGAAUUGAGCAACUAGCCUUAUGUAAGUUGGUACUGGAAACAUGUUCAAGUCUUGAGAGUCUCCCUAGUAGCCUAUGUAUGUUCAAAUCUCUGACAUCUCUUGAAAUCGUUGACUGCCAAAAUUUCAAGAGAUUGCCUGAUGAACUUGGAAAUUUAGAAGCCUUGGAGGCGCUGACAGUUAAUGGAACAGCUAUAAGAGAAGUACCAGAAAGCCUUGGUCAGUUAUCCUCACUAGAAAAUUUGGUACUAGCUAAUAACAAUUUGGAGAGAUUACCAGAAAGCCUCAGUCAAUUAUCCUCACUAGAGUAUUUGCACCUAUCCGGAAACAGUUUGGAGGGAAUACUAGAAUACCUGAGGAGUCUUCAAAGUAAGUUGACAUCACUCAAAGUUUUAUCUGUUGAGUUUAGAAAUUGUUUGAAAUUGGACCCGAAGGAGCUCAUUGAAAUCGCCAAAGAUGAGUGGAUGAAGCAGGUGUGUCUCUUAACUCACUCCUUUCAUUCUAUUUUCUUUUUCUUUUUUCUUUAAUUAUUUUUCAUAAAUUACUAAUUUUUUAUUUUUGUGUUGCAGUCGUUUCAUGGUAACAUCAAUAGCGCUAGAAGUAUUUAUUUCCGUGGGAAUGAAAUUCCAAAGUGGUUUAGGAAUCAAAGCAUGAGGAUCUUCUGUAACCGUGAAGACGCCGCCAGCAGAUUUCCUCAAUACAACCUCAGAGUACUUUGAGCAUCAAAUCCCAAGGAAAUCUCGACCUGGGAAUUAUGGCGUGUACUGUCAGUGGGAACACAAAUCCCAAAGAAAUAUCUUCCGUCGGUUUUUGCGGAGAAUUAGUUAUGUUGAGUCAGAUCACGUGUUUUUGGGAUCCUAUUUAUUGGGUUAUGAGGAUUUAAGUAAGAGAGACGAUAGUGAAGUCUAUUUCUACAUUCGGCCUCUUGAUUUUGAUGAAGAGGGUGAAGUGAAACAAUGUGGGAUUCAAUGUUAUCGAAUUAAUAAUUCAUUUAACUCAAAGAUUCUACGGAUGAAGAGGAAGAGGAAGGAUGAAGAGGAACCACACACCAAAAGACUGAAAUGUUCUUCAACUCCAAAGCAGCUGGUAUUCCUUGUUACGAAAAUCAAUCUGUAGACCUUGUUUUUGUCUUCAUUUUAUAUAUGCGUUGUUGAUGCGAGAUUUUGGUUAUCCCUCGAUCACGACCAGGAUCUCUGCUCAACCAACUCUACUACGAUCAGUAUUUCUCCUUGUAUGACUUCCUCCAAAGGUUCUUGCGUACACAGAAAAAGGUCAGAGCACGCCGGUUGUUUUCCCAGUGUAAACCCUCCGACGCUCAAGUCAGAAAUGAAGGUUUCUCGUUCCCGGGAAUGUUGGCCAGUAAUCUUAUGGCUUCCUUUUUUGGUACUGAUUAGCCAGUACUCUUUUUUAUCUCAGUUUCAAUGUCCAAAAUUCUAACCCUUUUACCUUCGUUGGCUACUUUUUUAUAGACCUCUCCUGAAUUUAGACCUUCCCUCCAUUCACGCUCGUUAUCCUCCCACCUCUCGAAAGUGGAUGCUGCAUUUCUGUGAUCGUGGGUGGUUGUGUGGCCUUCGUGCCUUGAUUCUCGGAUUGGAGAGCACGUCUUGCCAACCGUCGUUGACUGGGUCUCCUCGACUCAACCCUUAGCAAGAAUGGCUUUAUACCUCCAACAGGAAAUCGGCCUCGCGGAUGAGAUAUUCGUGGACGAGCAUAAUAUUCCUGCUCCUGCUCUCUUGCUACUAGACUCUACUACAAGAUAUACCUGCUCGCGGGACCCUGCUACCAGAUGUCUGCUCAUCAUUGUUAGUCCUCGCCGGAGUACAUCCCCCAAACAUGCAUUUUUUCAAUAUGUUCGUUUAUGUAAUAUUUAUUAAUUGUUUGUUGUGGAUGGAUGAAUCAAUAAAUUCAAAAUAAAUGGCAAUUAACCGAGGAUGUAGAACUAUGAGUUCUCUUUUUUUUGUGUUUCAUUUCCAUUCGGGUCAUGUCUGGAAUAUCCCAAAAAUUACUUAUCCAUUUACUAACUAAGAAUGCGCUGAUUAGAUUAAGAUUAUUUUAGUUAUUCUUACUUUUUCAGUUUUCAAACUUAAUAAGAAUAAAAUCGUUUUAUUAAGUUUUGAGAUUUGAAUUUAAAAGAAAAUACAAAUUUACGCUCGAGGAUUAAAUUUACCGUAUUUAAAAUUAAAUUAAUUACUCUCGAGGAUCCUAUUAGUAGUGAUCUCAGCAAGGCAGUAAAGUACCUGUUUAACUUGUGAUAAAUUACAGGCUCUGUUUAACAUAUAAAAAUACCAAAUUUUAAAUAUUACAAACAAUAACAAACAGAAUGCAGCUCCUAAUCGGUUAUUUGUUUUAGUAAAUAAACUUCACCGUUCCGUUUCAAGUUUCCACAGUCAGUUCCAUCGAUCAUAUGCUGAAGCUACGGUGGAAUGAUAGAUCUUCUUUUAGUUUCCUGCACAUCGAAACUCUCUAAUUGGUGUGUUGUUUUUUCGUGAAAUUUCUAAUAUCUAUUAAUAAUUUCUUAAUGUUACUGAGAAGUUAGUAAAUCAUGGGAUGAGAGCCGAAGACUUUUUGGCUGAUCUAACUCCUAUUACAAUCAAGUUGGUAACUGCAUUUGGUAAUUACAUCUUCAGUACUUGCAAUCUCUUAUCGCCUUUCCAAGUUGAUUUUAGUUAUUUGUCCUUGAUAUUCUAAGUGCAUGGACUUGAUGGAAGGGUCAGGUUCUGUGGUGGUGUUAGAAUUGCUAGAAAACUUGUUGUAUAGGUUGUCAUGAUAUUCUCAUGUGCCAUAUAAAUCAUCAUUGUUUUGCAAGUGCUCUAUGGCAUUCUUUACUGGAUAGGCUAGCCAGGGUGCCUUAGAGGCAAAAGUCAAGACGGAAAUGACAUAUAUCUAAAGCUUCAGACAAGCACAGGUUGGUCAUUUUAUCAUUUAUAAGUCUUCUAUCUCUUUUAACUUAGUCUAACAUCUUGUUGAACCCAAGCAAGAUUCAUUUCACAGAGGCUUAAUGUCAUGACCCAACCCAGACCUGGCAAGAUAUUGUCCGCUUUAGGCCUUAACAAGGCCCGCACGGAUUUGUUCUUGGGGUGCCCAUACACCCCAAAACGCGUCUUGCCAAUUAAGGUGUGGAUCACUCCUUAUAAACCCAGCAUCUCUCCCGUGCUUUGCCGAUGUGGGAUUCGCCUAGGGUGUUACAUACACCCCCCCUUGGGGACUCAGCGUCCUCGCUGAGGUUUGCCCCACCAUCGCUCAAGAGGACACGCGGAGCCGCUCUGAUACCAUAAUGUCAUGACCCAACCCAGACCUGGCAAGAUAUUGUCCGCUUUGGUCCUUAACAAGGCCCGCACGGAUUUGUUCUUGGGGUGCCCAUACACCCCAAAACGCGUCUUGCCAAUUAAGGUGUGGAUCACUCCUUAUAAACCCAGCAUCUCUCCCGUGCUUUGCCGAUGUGGGAUUCGCCUAGGGUGUUACAUACACCCCCCCUUGGGGACUCAGCGUCCUCGCUGAGGUUUGCCCCACCAUCGCUCAAGAGGACACGCGGAGCCGCUCUGAUACCAUAAUGUCAUGACCCAACCCAGACCUGGCAAGAUAUUGUCCGCUUUAGGCCUUAACAAGGCCCGCACGGAUUUGUUCUUGGGGUGCCCAUACACCCCAAAACGCGUCUUGCCAAUUAAGGUGUGGAUCACUCCUUAUAAACCCAGCAUCUCUCCCGUGCUUUGCCGAUGUGGGAUUCGCCUAGGGUGUUACAUACACCCCCCCUUGGGGACUCAGCGUCCUCGCUGAGGUUUGCCCCACCAUCGCUCAAGAGGACACGCGGAGCCGCUCUGAUACCAUAAUGUCAUGACCCAACCCAGACCUGGCAAGAUAUUGUCCGCUUUGGGCCUUAACAAGGCCCGCACGGAUUUGUUCUUGGGGCGCUUAUACACCCCAAAACGCGUCUUGCCAAUUAAGGUGUGGAUCACUCCUUAUAAACCCAGCAUCUCUCCCGUGCUUUGCCGAUGUGGGAUUCGCCUAGGGUGUUACAUACACCCCCCCUUGGGGACUCAGCGUCCUCGCUGAGGUUUGCCCCACCAUCGCUCAAGAGGACACGCGGAGCCGCUCUGAUACCAUAAUGUCAUGACCCAACCCAGACUUGGCAAGAUAUUGUCCGCUUUGGUCCUUAACAAGGCCCGCACGGAUUUGUUCUUGGGGUGCCCAUACACCCCAAAACGCGUCUUGCCAAUUAAGGUGUGGAUCACUCCUUAUGCCUUUUGGAUUAACUAAUGCUCCUGCAGCGUUCAUGGAUUUGAUGAAUAGGAUCUUCCAACCUUAUCUUGACCAGUUUGUCAUCGUCUUUAUUGAUGACAUAUUGAUUUACUCUAAGAAUAAGGAGGAGCAUGAGACGCACUUGAGGAUUGUAUUAGAAACAUUGCGGGAGAAGAAGUUGUAUGGAAAAUUUAAGAAAUGUGAGUUUUGGCUUGAUCGUGUGAUGUUUUUGGGACAUAUAGUGACGAAGGAUGGUAUUUCAGCAGAUCCAGCCAAAUUGGAGGUAUUUCAGUUUGAAGCUUAUGAGUAAAGAUUAUGAUUUGUGAGUAACCUCCUUCUUCACGUGCUUCGCACGUGUUAGAUUUGGGGUGUUACAAUUGUGGUAUUGUUCUUGGGGUGCCCAUACACCCCAAAACGCGUCUUGCCAAUUAAGGUGUGGAUCACUCCUUAUAAACCCAGCAUCUCUCCCGUGCUUUGCCGAUGUGGGAUUCGCCUAGGGUGUUACAAGACAUCUAUUGGGAUCUUACUUUUGUUGAUGAGAGGGUCUGAAACAGCUGGUGCAAUAAGUAAAAUUGAUUUUAUGUAGACUAGAAAGCUCUGCCCGCUGUGAAGGCUUUCCUGUUAAAUGAAGAUUGUGAAGGCUUUCCUCUAUUGGGAUCUUACUUUCCUGUGCAAUAAGUAAAAUUGAUUUUAUGUAAAAUUGAACCUUAGAGAACAGAUUUUUAUUAAUUUUUAAUAGAUAAUAAUCAUAUUAAAUGGAAUUAGACUGUCGAAAAUUGUGAAAUACUGCUUCCUUUUGGCCAUCCUUCGCACUGUUGUUCCUAGCAGACUAGGCCACCUGGGACCCUGCACUGGCAAUCAAGGCUGCUUGACCCUAAGAUGAUCCUAGUGACCUCAAACUUCUGCAGACUUGGAUUUUCCUCUUAUGUUAUCUUGAGCCAGAGGCUUGACUUUUUAUAUGGUUCAAAAAUUGAUUAGGAACUUUGAUAAGUGCUGUAUGAAGGGCAGCUGAUAUUGAUGAUUCUAUAGCUAAGGUUCUGUUUGAAUUUUAGAGAACGUCCUGGACCAUAAUGCAGUUCGUUGUGAGCUGUCAGUGUUCUUUGUCUAUAAAUGACAAAAUAGGAAGUAGAAUACCUGCUGAAGAGGUGGGGUUUAUAUUGCUAUGCCCUAAGCCAUUGUCCUUUGUUGAGUAAAGACAUUCUUCAUGUGUUUGAACCUUCUUCUUUUCUGACACUGAAUUCUCUUGUUCUAAUCUUCAGCUUGUUAGCCAUCAAAAAGGUAAUAUGGGAAGGCUAAGCAAUAGGUUGGGAAUGUGGAUGUUUGAUCAGGCGCUCAUGAUGGAUGAUAUUUCACGCUUUUUAAAUUGAAACUUGUCUCUUACUCAUGUCUUGAAAUUUUGUUUGAAACCUUUAAGAACAGGAUUCUGUAUUGCUUAAGAUUUUUAAUGAGUAGAAACUUUGAAUUAUGAGGGAGGAGGAGUUUCCACCUUGUGAGUCAUCUAUCAUAUCAAGGGUUUUUUCUUUAAUUUCUACACGGGUAAAAUAAUCACAUGACAACAUGAACAUUGGUGUGUUUUGAGGUUUUUAAUAAGUUCUUAGCUAGUAUCUUAUUUAUUCAAUCAUUUACGGAAUGCAAUGCCAAUAAGAAAUUCAAGUAACCAUCAUUGAAUUGGAAUUGACAGGUUUGGCCGCCAAAUAUUUGCUUAAUUUAUUGUUAACAUAUUGUUAUGAGCUCGCGCUGAGAGGAAAAAGGAAAAAGUUGCAUAUUGUUAGCAUGCCUCAGAAAUUCAGAAUAAUGUCUAAGUGCAGUUGAUAACCCUUGAAUUAUAACUUUUAGCAUGAGAGAUAUUUUAUGAGCAUAAUUUCCAUCUUAUCAUUUAAAAAAAAAAAAAGGAUGCUCCAAUUUUGAGGGCUCUUGUAGGUUAGCUUCAUGAAGCAUAUCAUCUUGUAGAAUAUCUGCGGUUUGAGUAUUUUAUAGAAUGACUUUGGGAUGGGGAUGAACUGGCAUUGUUGUCAAGGUAAAAUUUAUACUUGGAAAUUUGGCAGUCUGAAAUCAUGUUGGCUCAGUUCUCUUCAAAAUUGCUAUAUUGCAUGCAGCUAUAUAAAGCUUUUGUAAUCUGCUGUUAUAAUCAUGCUGAAUUUUAAUCACUACAGGGACUGAGCUCCCUGUAUGUGCUGUGGAUUACAGUUGCUUGAUUCAUUUAAUGGCACGGUGUUUUGCAUAUGGUUUAUUAACUUUUUUGGUGCCUUAUCUAAUGGUUUUUUUUUUUUGGGUCUUGAUUUUGCAGCACCACCAUUGAAAUUAAUUGACUUGCCUGGAUUGGAUCAACGAAUAAUGGACGAUUCAUUGGUGAGGGCUUGUUUAAUUUUUUUAGACCUUGAUGCUCUAAAUAUUCAUGUGUCCCAUUAUAUAUUUAUUUGAUAGAUGUUAUUUGCUUGUGUUUUCAAUGGUGGAAAGAUGUGGUCUGUUCUUUGCAUGUGAAUUAUGGUUGGUAACUUAUAAGUUAGUAACAAUAAUUUUGUGAUGUCCCUCAUAGGUUAGUGAAUAUGCCGAGUACAAUGAUGCUAUUUUACUAGUAAUUAUUCCUGCUGCCCAAGCGCCUGAAAUUGCUUCAUCUCGAGCUCUUAGAGUUGCCAAGGAGUAUGACGGAGAUGGUAAUAUGCUUAGACAUUUUUAUACCUCUAAUUUUGCUGUUAAAUUUUUUGAUUUGUAAAUCAAAAGAUAUGCUAUUUAUGAUUUUCAUAAUCUUUGGCACACUAGUACAUUUUUUGGUGCAUCCUUUGAAGUUGCAGGAAUGUAACUCUGCCUUCUCCUUCCUAUUGCUAUCAUUACUGUUUCCUUGUUAAUUCUUUAUCUCGCUAAUUUGGGAGCUUAUUUUGUUAACGUCAGGAACCAGAACUGUUGGUGUAAUAAGGAAAAUAGAUCAAGCUUCUGCAGACCAAAAAGCUCUUGCUGCUGUGCAGGCUCUCCUGUUAAAUCAAGGUCCACCAAAAACAGCUGACAUUCCGUGGGUUGCAUUAAUUGGUCAAUCGGUAUCAAUAGCUACUGCUCAGUCUGGAUCUGAGAGCUCCUUAGAAACUGCUUGGAGGGCAGAAAGUGAGUCUCUUAAGUCUAUAUUGACUGGUGCUCCUCAGAGUAAGUUAGGCAGAAUAGCAUUGGUGGAUGCUUUGGCUCAGCAGAUCCGCAAGCGUAUGAAAGUCCGGUUGUUAAACCUUCUCUCUGGGUAUUAAAUGAUUUCCACAUGCUGCACGAAAAGUUUCAAUUUUACGCAUGUUUUAGUUUAUCUUUGGAAAGUUGUAUUCUUUUUUCUUUUUUUUUUUUUGACACAUGAAAAUGAUUUUCUUGAACACACUUAGAUCCUUGGAACUUGUUUUACUGUCACAAAUGGAUUGUGAGAACUUGGCAAUAGGAAGUUCGAGAUACAUUUAACCAUUAAAAUUUCUCUUCUGCCUGGUAGGCAUGUCAUUACUAAUCAUUGUGCUUGUACUUGUCCUCGAUGGUUAGAAGAUGACGAUUAUUAUUGUUGUUAUUAUUAUUAUUAUUUUAACUUCUAUCACCCCUAUAACUCUGUCUUGCACUUUGCAUUGUAGUUAAUAAACGCAGUUCAGUGGGAGUUAAAAUUGAAAAUAAAGAUAUCUUAAUUCAUAUAAUUAAUUAUUCCUCGACCCUUUUUCAUGACCCAGCUUAAUGAGUAAAUAUGUAUUCAGUUUUUCCUUUAUGAAGGGUAUGAGUACUUCUUCCAGUUAAGGUAACUCCUUUAUUACGUAUACCUGUGCAGGUUACAAGGAAAGUCUCAAAUAGUUCAGGAUGAGUUAGCGUGGCUUGGUGAGCAGAUGGUCCAGAGUGCUGAGGGCAGGAGAUCUUUGGCUUUGGAGCUUUGUCGUGAAUUUGAGGGUCAGUUUCUGCAACACAUUACAACUGGUGAGGUGACUUAUUUUUGUUUUUGUGCUUGGUGACUUUCAUGUAGCAUAUGUCUUCUUUCUUGGCUUGCUUAUGUUGUUUUGAUUUCUCAAUUUGUUUUUCAGUAAUAGUGUAUAUUACCAUGUACAAGAAAAAGCUUUAUAUAGAAAUUUGAAGGAGGAAAUCUAAGACAUAGAUGAGGGGAAUAUGUUACUUUUUUUGAUAAGAGACGGGAUUGUGAUACUAUCACCUCUGGAAUUGAAGCCUUCUAUAAAAUUAGAUGGAAGUGAGCUCCAUUACUUGUAUCAAUUUGUAAUCCCUCUCAUUGUAGAAGUUUACCUGGUUCUUGGACCUCUAAUGAGAAGCUUCUUAAUGUAUAACGUGGAUACUGCUUCUACCUAAUGGAAUGUGUGAAGCUGGCAGGGACUAGGGGUCUUUUGUAGGAGAAACGAUUUUUUCAAACCUAUUCAAGUGCUUAGAGGUAGUGCUUGUUUUUACUAGGUCAGCUGAGGAGGGGUUGAUGUCUGCUUUGCGGUCAUUGUAACCUUAUUAGUUCCAGGUAGCUCCUUUAAAGUUGUUUUUGCUCUCUAACGCUUUUUCGGUUGACGAGUGUGUCUGGUCAUGGAAAUGUAGGGGCUGGAUUCCAAGUGUUGGAAGUUCAUAUGGUAGUAUGAGGAUGCCCCUUUUCCAAAUUUGGUUAGCUAAAAUGGAUCUAAUUGGUACUUCAUGCUUGUUCUGUUCCUUUGGUCUUUUAUUAUUUUUUCCCUUUUUCUUACUUAUAAGUUUCAGGCCAUGUCUAAUUGAUAAAUCUCUAAGUAUCAGUACUUCUUCUGGUUAAAAUAGUUAAUGUAUCCAAACUUUGUUUAGUGUCCUGCUCUCUGUUUUUAUUGGCUAGUGAUUUUGGUCGUGCUUUUUUGAGUGGCCUAUGGUAUUUUCCUCCGUCACUACCUGAAAAGUAGAGGAUACUGAUUUUUUGAGAUAUCAGUUGUCAUAACAUUAUGUCGAUGCAGGGUUCUGGUUGGAAAAUUGUUGCCAGUUUUGAGGGGAAUUUCCCGAAAAGGAUCAAACAGCUUCCUUUGGACAGACAUUUUGAUAUUAAUAAUGUCAAGAGGGUAUGUUGGUGCUCUACUGCUUAUAUCUAUUGUGUUCCUGUUGCUUUAAUCUAAUUUUUUAGAUUUUGCAUUUGCAUUGAUCUUCUCAUAUUCAUUUCUUAUCAGAUUGUGUCAGAAGCGGAUGGCUAUCAACCAUAUCUAAUAUCCCCUGAUAAGGGUUUGAGAUCUUUGAUCAAAGGUGUCCUGGAGCUUGCAAAAGAACCCUCUCAUCUUUGUGUUGAUGAGGUAAUGGAACCAUGUAUAUAAAGAUUUUACCCUUUUUCUCUUUUUAUGAUGUUGAAUGUUAAAUUUUUUGUUUUGGCCUUAACAUGUGGUUCCUUCAUAGUAUUGUUAGUCAAUAGUAUGCUCUCUGUUGGAUGCAUGAUAUGGACAUCCAAAUGAUACACUUUUUAAUAUUUUUCCGAGGCACUACAUUUUAUGUUCUUUUUGUUCCUCAAGAACAUGCUUAACUAAUGACAAGUACUUCAGGUUCAAUAAGAAGGAUUUGUCAACUUUUAUUUGACUUAAGAGGUCAGAUAUUCUUAAAAUUUGUUUUUCUAGAAUAGGUACAUCAGGUCAUUUGAUGUCUUUUACCCAAUUUUCUUUAUGGAUGGCAGUGAAAAUCUGAAGCAAUUAUUGUUUCUGCUGACUGAUAGAGUUCCUGGCUGACUGGUAAAACAGGUACACCGUGUUCUGGUGCUGCAAAUGCUACACCAGGCCUGGGAAGAUAUCCUCCUUUCAAGAGAGAGGUAUGGCUGCUUUUGAUUAUGUGUCACAAUAGCUUUUCUGCAUUUGUACAUGAUUAGACCUAUAUGUGGUUCAAAUUUCCUUUUCCGUGUGGCAAUAGUUGAAUGGUUUGAAACUUUUACAAGGUUGUGGCCAUUGCAAGUGCUGCCUUAGAUGGGUUUAAGAAUGAAGCAAGAAAGAUGGUGGGUGCACUAGUUGACAUGGAGAGAGCUUUUGUCCCUCCGCAACAUUUCAUUCGUUUGGUGCAGCGGAGGUGUGAUAUGAUUGAACUUCUUCGAUAUAUUUGAGAUAUGUGCAACAUUGUCUUCCGGAUAUCUGGGUCUGAGUUCUUGUGACGGGAUGGCUUGUCAAUAUUUAUUUCUGGAACAUUUUGCUUAGAAAAUGCUGACAUUACCAACUUUUCUGAAAUUUAUGUCAUAGUCUAUUUCUUCUCUCUCCCCAAUUUUGCAUGAGCUGAGUUUUGAAUGCAUGCAAAUGCAACUCCACGAAUUUAGAAAAUUUGGUAUUUAUUAGUCUCUAAAUACUAUUGUUGGGUAUUUUCCUAUCAACUUAAAGCUAGCAGUUUUGUAUUUGACUUUUGUUGUCAGUCGGGCUAGUGUUUAGAUCCGAUUGUGUUUGUGUGGGUUUGGUUCCAGAUGAUAUCAAAUUCUCUAUGCAUGAAACCAGCAUUUUUUCAGUUUAAACUCAGUUGUUUGGGCCUUUUCUAUUAGUUUAAGCCUUUGGGACCUAUGGUUCCUUAGCAUUACUAUUUUUUUUUUUUUUCUGUAAGUUCUUUCCUGAAAUUCCUGUGCACCAUGCUUAUUGCGUAAUCUAUUUAUUUUGUUAGGAUGGGAAGACAGCGGCGAGAGGAGGAGGUGAAGACGCGAUCUUCGAAGAAACCAAAUGAGGCAGAACAAGAAAUACUGAAGAAGGUACGAUUUCCUUUUCCUAAUGUAAUUGGAGUAUGACAUGAGGAGAAUGGGACAUACUGAGGAGGCACUAGUUCCUUUUAAUUUCUCCUUAAGAAACGCAUUUAAAUCUCUAUUUUAUGUUUUUCCAUAUAUUCUCUUUCAGGCAACCAGUCCUCAAACAGGUGGUCAGCAAACGGGUGGAAGUUUAAAAGCAAUGAAGGAUAAAUCCAGUCAAGCAGUGAAAGAAGCAAAUGAAGCUUCUGCUUUAAAGACUGCAGGCCCUGAAGGAGAAAUAACAGCAGGUUUGUGGAAAAAACUGUCACUGUGUGUACUCAGACGAGCCUAUCAUAUUUCAUCAUAUAUGUGCAUGUAUAAUCUAGUCCCCAAAGGACAAAAGCACCCAAGCACACGGCCCAAAACCUCUGUGUGUACUUAGACGAGCCUCAAAAGCUUGUAUCUCAUCUGUAUCAUCUGUAUCUCAUAUCUGUAUCUCUGUAAUCAUCAUACCGCAUGCAUAUGCCCCCAAAAGGCAGAAACGCCCAAACACACGGCCCAAAGCCUCUAUGUGUGUUCAGACGGGCCUAAAUGCCUCUAUCUCAUCUCAUUUUUAUCACUGUAUCUGGAGGGGAAGGAUACUAUCUAAUUAUUUAAAAAACAAUCAUUAUACUCAUAUUCACAUACCUUUUAACCAUACUUUAAAUCAUACCACAUUUGAAUCCACUUUUCUUGUCUUUAAAAUACUAUAAUGUUUUAUUCAAAAUCGAUACACAAAAUCAUUAAUCAAACAUUUUAAUAAAAUACCAAUGCGUGAAUAAAAUCUAUUUUGAGAAAAUCAUUAAAUUAGAACAUUUAAAACACUUAUUUCGCAAACAUACUUUACUUUCAUAAUUAACUAUGAAAAUAUGUUUUAUAUAUUCCACUCACAGUGACGGUGUUCACGCUCGGUUAUUGUCCACGUCUGCGGAUCAGUACUCGCUCGCGGACCCCCCUAAAUCAAGAAAACGAAAUAAUUAUUUUUCGUAAAUUGAAAUUAGGACUAAAUUUAUGCAAUAAACUCGAAACGAAUAUCUAUCCAUAAUUUACAACUCCUGUAUCGAUAGAAUUACCAAAAUACCCUCGAAUCUGUAAAUCGUUAAAAUACUUCAAAAUCGUAAGUCACCGAAUUACUCUUGGAAUCAUAAUUAUACUCCACUCCUCAAUUUUAGGAAUUAUUAAAAUAUUCAUAGGCUCAUAAACUAUAAAAUUGCCCUCAAAGAGUGAAAUUACCGAAAUGCCCUUGCCGGUCAACGGUCACCGGAAUUUAGUCAACGCUGGCCAAGAAGCUCAAGUCUGAAAGUUCCAAUCACGCUGAAUCUAAUAGUGCCGCAACGACGCCGGAAUCUAGCUCGGCAGCCGUGAAUUUCCAACAAUUGGCCGGCGGAGAAACAGUGACUCCCGGUGACUGUGGAUGGUUGGGAAUUGAAGAGGGAGUCGUCGGGAACAAAACUGAGGUGGUGACGUGGUCAAAUUCCGGUGGAAUCAACGGCGGUGGUGAUGGGUUUCGGCUCAAGCCUUAAACGGCGGUGUUCCGGUCAAUUUUCGGCGAAGAUGACAGCUGCAAUAUGACCAACGUCUCACGGGCUUUCGAUUGAUACCUUGAUCAACCGGAGGGGUGGCCGGAAAUUGGAGACAUGGCCGGGUCACGUUCGCGGGUCGGGUCGGGUUUUGGGUCUGUUUUUGGUCGCUUCUCCCCUUCACACGUGUGCCUCUGUUUUCCCCUGUUUUCUCUUUCAUUUAUUUUAACUUUUAGCCGCCUCAUCUUAGUAUUUAUUUUUCUUCUAUUUUCACAUAUGUUUACUUAAACAACAUUUUUGAACUAUUGAAAGAAAUGAUCAUGGGUUACUAGAUGGGCCUGAUUCGUUAGUCUAUUAACCUUGGAUGCAUUUGAUCCAUAACAAUACCUGUGGUACGUGAUUGACUGGAAUCAUUUGCAUUCAUAGUCGUUCACUAGAAUCAUUUGAAUACCACCACACUGCUUUCCGAUCCUCUAGGGGUAACCUUGCUGUUUUGCUUGUGUUGAAAUAAGCCGAGAUUCAUAGGGGUGGAUGAAGUUUUGAACAUCAAACUCUUUCUUGGCUGAGUGUCAUCGUCUUCUAUCUUAUGCUGCAUUGGCUUGUUCAUUUUGUUCCUUGGACUGCAUUUGGAGAAAUAGAUGCCUGAAUUCAGUAUGAGCAAAGUUAAGAGUAGAUAAUAUACAUCACAUAUUUUCUGAUUGCUAAAAUAGUAUUAACUAGGGUUGGUCCCUGAUGUGUAUCUUGACAUGGUCUUAAACCUUCAUUACUUUUUCAUCAAGCCAUAAAGUGCCUGCAUACAAGUUGAAAACCAGGAAACUUGCAACUGCUGCCCAAGACUAUAUACUGUUGUAGCAGAUAAUUAGCUAUUCAAUAAUUUUGGUAUAUCUCAUUAGUAUUUGUGGAAUGCCUUUGAAAUCCUUGCAUGCAUGCUUCAUAUCCCAGCAGUUUAUGGAUAAAGGCACGUUAAUCCCCCUCUAGAUGAAAUUACUUAAUUGCUUAAAUGAUUUUUUUUUUCACACAUUUAUAUUUAGAAGUUUGUGACUAUUUUUUGUUGUCCAGGUUUCUUGUUGAAGAAAAGUGCAAAAACUAAUGGAUGGAGCAAGCGAUGGUUUGUUCUGAAUGAGAAGACUGGAAAGGUUUGUAACUAACAUUUUGUCCCAUACGCUUACAUUUUUUAGACAUGGAGUAGUUAUGCUAUUCAUAUGUUUUAGGUGCUUUUAGGCAUGGUAUCUAACCUUUGUUAAAUGAUUUUAGCAUUAUAAAAUUUUUAAAAUGAGUUACAUUCUAGCCUCCAUUCUCUUAUUUUUUAUGUUUUUGCAUUAAAGAAAUAUAGGACACUGUUAUGAUAGGCAUGAUUUAAUCUCAAUCAUCCUUUGUUAGACAGCUGGGCUACACCAAAAAGCAAGAGGAAAGGCAUUUUUGUGGUGUCAUUGCUUUGGAGGUAUGGAGAAUUACUACUCUGUUUCAGUUUUGGUAUUAUAUUAUCUAUUCUUUUGUCACAACCUUUUUUCACCAUUUUGUAGUUUAUUGCCAUCUUACUGGCUGGGCAGGAGUAAGUUGUAUAUGAAUAGGCCUAUAAAUAACCUUUAUGAAUGAAGUUUGCCUUAUUACUGCAAUAGGAACACUUUCUAAGUUAAAAUGGAUAAAGAUGGCCAAUGAUAAAUUUAACAAGUUAACAGUUGCCUCACAUACUAACGAACUUCAAGUAAAAUAUUUUAAGCUUUUUCUUAGUUUUCUAACUUCUAGUAAAUUUUUUUAAGCUUUUUCUUUGGAUACAUGCUACCCAGUGUUCAUUCCUUUGGAUGUUACUUUAAAUAUUUUACCAAGUAGCUUCUGUUUUGAGCUAUUUUUAAUCGUACUUCGCAAUAAUGUAUGUACAUUUGCUGGCGCAGGAAUGUAAUAUUCAGGAGAUUCCGGAGGAGGAGGAACCUCCAGCUAAAAGUUCGAAGGAUAAAAAGGCUAAUGGACCUGAUUCUGGGAAGCACCAAGUCUUGUAUUUAAGAUUACUAGCAAAAUUCCUUAUAAAACUGUUCUGAAAGGUAUUCUUUAUGUUUAAAUCAUGGAGUUCCUCUGGUGGUAAAUUUUCUUUUUUUAUUCACUUUAUCUUGCAGCCCACAAUGCUGUUGUUUUGAAAGCUGAGAGCACCGCUGAUAAGGCGGAAUGGAUAAACAAGAUAAGCAAAGUUAUUCAAGCUAGGGGAGGACUUGUUAGAGUUGCUGAAAGUGGUCAUACGAUGCGUCAGAGUCUUUCUGAUGGUUCUCUUGUGAGUUUACACUCUCUUAACUUUGCAAUACAAAUUUUGAAGUAAAGAGCUACUUACCUGUGAAGGAUGUUGUUCCUUUUGCACAUGCAUAGAAAUUGUGAUCGAGUGUUAAUUUCUCUUCUUGGUGGUUUUUCUAGGAUACAAUGGCUCGAAGACCUGCUGACCCUGAGGAAGAACUUCGAUGGAUGUGUCAAGAAGUACGUGGUUACGUUGAAGCAGUUUUGAAUAGUUUAGCAGCUAAUGUGCCCAAAGUAAGCGCAUUCCUUAACUUUGCCAAUUUAGUAUUUUCAGUUGGUUACUUAAUAGAUCUGAUAUUUUUGUGAAUGGUUGAGCAGGCAGUUGUACUUUGCCAAGUCGAGAAAGCGAAGGAAGACAUGUUGAAUCAGUUAUAUAGCUCUGUCAGGUUGAUGGCUUUCUUAUUUCUCUCUUAUCAAUUAAUGAUCAUUUUGUUUGUAGUAAUUGUGCAUGGAUUCAAUAUAUGGUAACAUUAUUGAAAUUUUGUUAGAAAGCUGAUUGAUGCUAAAUAAUUUGUAUUUUACCUUGGGUAGUGCACAAAGCACGGCAAGGAUUGAAGAGCUGCUUCAGGAGGACCAGAAUGUGAAGCGUAGGAGGGAUCGCUAUCAGAAACAGUCUGAACUCCUGUCUAAACUAACCCGCCAACUUAGCAUUCAUGACAACCGAGCGGCUGCUGCCGCUAACUGGUCGGACGGUGGUGGUGGAGCAGGUACGUGGUCUUUUGUUCAUAUACCAAGUGGAAAAGAUUGUUCAAUUUAACAUUUCCCUUUUGUCUGUUUAAAAAAUUAAACAUUGAACUUUGAGUAAAUAUCUAUAGUCUAAUGACAGUGGAUCUUUUCUUAACCUAAUUGUUUGCUGAUUUUGGAAUUAAAAAUUUUGUUCUGAACUUGAAUUAAAUUAUUGGAAAGGUUUCUCAGGUGACACUCAAGAAAUGCUAACCAAACCUAUUAAUUGCUUGAACAGUCUUACUAUUGAGCUACUUUCUGACAAAAGAUUGUUAGAUUGAUUUGUUUAUACCGUUGGAUUUUAAAAUUUUUCUUUAUUUGUACCAUUUAAUUAACAAUUUUUUUUUAUAAGACCGUCAUUUUGAUUUUAAAAUGUUACUUUGUUAAGUCUCUAUUUGAAACAUUUUGAUGAUGGAAGUAUUGGGUUAUGUAAUAUGCAGAAAGCAGCCCUAGAACAAGUGCCGCAUCAGGUGAUGACUGGGGAUCCGCAUUUGAUGCUGCUGCCAAUGGACCUGUAAGCCUUCGCAGCUACUCUCGGUCUGCAUCCAAUGGUCACAGCCGGUGUUACUGUGAUCCAGCCGAGAAUGGUGAUGUGAGAUCUGUUUCAAACUCGGGCAGUCGUCGUACUCCUAAUCGGGUGCCGCCGCCUCCACCACCAACACAGUCAGGCUCCAAGUACUUUUAGGUGGCUUACAGAUUUUGGUUGACAAUUCAUAUUUUCUCUGCAUAUUUUUAGUGAGUGAAGGCCUGC
This 145003-nucleotide long non-coding RNA is filed under the name Citrus maxima (pomelo). Its description in RNAcentral is "long non-coding RNA (CMAX_LNC001913)". The stretch from base 95678 to 95781 matches the Rfam family "Plant small nucleolar RNA R71". The record is from RNAcentral. Lineage: Eukaryota; Viridiplantae; Streptophyta; Magnoliopsida; Sapindales; Rutaceae.